RNAcentral lists this long non-coding RNA (91702 nucleotides) under Populus tremula. RNAcentral describes it as "long non-coding RNA (PTRE_LNC000653)". The record is from RNAcentral. Lineage: Eukaryota; Viridiplantae; Streptophyta; Magnoliopsida; Malpighiales; Salicaceae.
ACUCUCCCAGCCCCUUUCAGAGAAAUAUAUGUACAUAUGUUAUCCGCACUUGCUACCACACAUUUAGAAGCACAGAUGGAGCAAGAAAGGAAAGUCAUUAAGGAUCCCCAUCUGGCUAUGUAAGCCUUAAUUAUUUAGAAAGCACACAUCUUGUAAUCCUUACAAGGCCCACGGAGGUGAAUUUGUUAGGUUAUAAUUUUUUGAAUGGCAUGAUAAGAUGAGAUGAUGAACAUGUAGUCACUAACAGUGGUUUAAUCUAAGUGAUCAUCAACAAAGAAAACAAGACAACAGCUGGAACCAAAGUAAACAGGAGAUAAGAAAGAGAGAGUACCUGCAAGUUUCCCUUUCCCUUCUCUCUUAAGUUGUGGCUGCUGUUCUGGAUCAGUAAUCUAGUCUUUUUUUUUAUUUGUUUGCUGAAAAAUAAUUUUUUUUUAAAUAAAUUUUUAAAAGGUAAUUUUUAAAAAAGUUAGUUAUUUUUUGAUAUUUGAUAGUGCAAUAAAAAAUAAAUUGAAAAAUAUUUUCCGGUGUUUGGUUAUAUCAUGAAAAAUAAACUGAAAAAUAACUUAUUAAUGUUUUUUUUUUCUUAAAUUUAUUAAAAUAAUAAGGAACAAAUCUUACAAAUUAAAAGGUUAAAUGGGAAUGAAAUUAAAAAAUAUAUAAUUUCAUAAAUUAUCUCAAAUAAAAUAAAUAAUGAUCAAAAUAAUAGAGAUCAAAUCUAAACAAUAAUAAAAAAAAAGAUGAAGAAAUUAAAAUAAUAAUAAUAAUAAAUAUUUCAUAAAUUAUUUCAAAUAAAAAAUAAAAAGAAUAAUAAAAAAGAAUAAGGACCAAAUUUGAUAAAUAAAAAAUUUCAAUAAAAAAAUAAUAAUAAAAAAAAACAAAUAACAAUUAUAAAAAAGAGGAUCAAAAUUAAUAUAAAAAGAUCAAAAUUAAUAUAAAAAUUAAAUUUUAAAAGAUAAAAUUGAAAAAUAAAUAUUUAAAAUAAAAUAUAUAUAGCAAUUAAAAAUUUAAAGAUCAAAUUUGAUAUAAUUAAUAAAUAAUAUAAUAUUUUUAAAACUUUUAAAACAUAUUUUCCACCCAAAGUUUUCAAAAAACAUAACAUAAGUGGUUUACUCAAACUUUUAAGACAGUCCUUAAGUCAUAAUAUUAUAAAUAAAAUAUUUUAUUAUAUAGGAAUGCGAGGUAUAGACACUCGCAUAAUCCAAUUCAUCCACUCUCGCUGUGUGCCUGCUCUGGCCCUAUCUCUAUCCUCUCGCAUCCAAAACUAGCAUCAACACCACCCACCAAUAAGAAAAAGGCACGUGGAGGAUCAUGACUCUGAAUCAGCUACUGGGUCGGCUACCGAGUGGAGUUCCGUUUUGAGCCAUUGAGUAUUGCUGUGGAGUGGAGGGACAUUGAAGCUGCACAGUGUUUGGUGUCUUACAAGUGCUAAUCCCUAAUAGCAAGAGGUUUAUUGAGUGGGGGUUCUAUAAGAAUGGAGGUUCCAUGGUGUGAUAGUAAUAGGAUUCUGUUGUCAAAAGAGUAUGUGAGGUUUCCCGUUGAGUUGGCUCAUCGGAAAAUUGGAAGAGAACUCGAGCGUUUUUUAGUUGUUUAAGAGAAAACAGCAAAUGGGUUUGUGGAGUUCACCAUCUUGGAAAAUGGUGAGCAGCAACAAGGUGACAAGUAAGAUAAGAUAUUUAAUAUAUUUUAUUAUAAAUACAAGAUUUUAUAAAUAAAAAUCAAUUAAUAUAAUAAUAACAUAUUACAACGGAAAAAAAAGUGAAAGCCAUUACAAAUAUUUAUAAAUAAAAGAUCUCAUGCUAUACAAAGAAAGAAGGAAGAUUACUAGAGAUACAAAACUAUUUUCCUGAUAAGCUUUUCAAAAAAAAAUAAAAAACAAUUUGAAAAGCUUUCCACUUUUGUUGUUGAAUUUUAAUUCUAUCUUUUAAUUUGAUAUUUUUCAAUCAUAAUUAAUUUUAAAAGUUUUUAUUUUGAUGAUUAUUAUAUUUUAUUUUUAUAAAAAAAUAUAUCUAUAUUAAUUUAUUGUAAAAAUUUAAUAUAAUCAAAUUAAUUUUUAAUUAAAAUAAAAUAUAUUCAAAUUAUAGAAUCCUCUUAAUUAUAUUUUCAAGACAUGUCCACUUUUUUUAUUAUUACAAGUGAACUUGUCUGGAAAGGAUAUAUGUAUGGAAAGGAUAUAUGUAGAAGCAAAAAAGAAUUACCAAUUAAAUUUUACCGUGUAUUAUUUUUUAUUUUAUUUUUAUAUAAAAAGAUGAAAUAAAAUAGAUAAAAUAACAUAAAAAAUAAAUCAUUACAUAUAUUUUGGUAUUGACACAUAAAAUAAUAUAUCUUAUUAUAAAUCCAAGAUUUUAUAAAUAAAAAUCAAUUAAUAAAAUAAUAUCAUAUUACAGGGAAAAAAGAAAAAAAAAGUGAAAGUCCUGACAAAUAUUUAUAAAUAAAAGAUCUCAUGCUUUCCAUUAUAAAGAAAGGAGGAAGAUACAAAACUAUUUUCAUGAUAAGCUUUUCAAGAAAAAAGAAAAAACCAUUUCAAAAGCUUUCCAGCUUUUUUAAUGUUACGGUUCAAAUCUGAAAAAGCAAACCUCUACUUUGGGUAUGCUGACGUCACACAAGUUCUAGACCUCUCUUUGCAAAAUACCAACAAUCGGCAUUGCCAUCAUUGGUUUUAGUAUGGAAACAACAAUAAUAAUUUAUAAAAAAACGAGAAGUUAUUUCUACUCUGGUUACGUGUGCUGCAUCAUCAUCAUCAUCAUCGCUACUGUUGUGGGCAUUGAUAACUUCAUCCUUUGAUUGGAUAUCAUCAUCAUCCUCUCCUUCCUCUUGAUGCAACCAUCGUUUACCAAUCGUCCUUACUUGAAUAGUUGGACCAUGUGGACGCACUGAAAUACUCACGUCAUCACCAUUAUCAAAUGUAGGAUCACUGCCCCCUAAUUUCCUGUGCAAUAGCGAUUGCAUUUCACGAACACAACAAGCGUACCUCAUAGGGAAGACAAAGGCUAUACAAAGCAUGGACCGAUCACUGGUAUUGUUUCUGAUUUCAAUAUAAAAAGGACCAUGUACCCUGACGUCAAACUAAACCUUGUAAACAGAUUAAAGCCACAUAUCUGGUGCGCAGGAGGUGAGAAUAGUUUGAAUGAAAAGUUAUCUACAAACUCAUUCUGAAUUUGCCAUUUAUCUUCUUCUUCCUCCUCAUCAAACCACCUCGACUUCUCUUCUUCAUCAAAUACAGGUACGACAACGCAUAAUAAGCCAUGAUUAAAUACUACCUGUACCACCAAAACAAAGUCUAUAAAAUGAGCAAAAGAAAAGUAUUCAAAUGUAGAUUUCCAAAACAAUAAAAUGGGAGAGGGAGGACCUGAAAUCUCGAUGGCUGUAUUUGAGCACUAAACGUUUCCAUUAUUCUGAACAUAUGAGAAUCAAAUUUUUGGAUUAAUUCUUGCUUUAUCCGAUCUUGGAACAGUAAAAAACAUACACAGAGUUUUCAAAGGGAUUCAAUUGUUUUAUUUUCACUUAAAGCUUCCUCUGUUACAAGCAAAAUAUAUAUAGCUACUCUACAUAAGAAUCCCUACGUAUCAGAUCCUAUAGUUUAGGACUGAUUUGCUAAUUACAUGGAAACCUAUUUCUACUAGGAUACAAUCACGUAUUUACUGGGAUGCUGGAAUAUAUCUUUCCAGCUAAUAUCAAAGACAAUGUAGGACUUGAAUGCUGCAAAUCCAACUUGGAGAUAAUUACCGUAAUUGUUAGCACUCCCCCUCAAGUUGGUGCGUAGAUGUCACUCAUUCCAAUUUCGCUGAGAAUUGCACUAAACGCGUGGUUUGACAGUGCCUUGGUUAGUAUAUCAGCGAGCUGGUCUUGAGAUCGAACAUGAGGAACUUCAAUUAGCUUUUCUUCUAGCUUUUCCUUGAUAAAAUGCCUAUCAACUUCAACAUGUUUAGUACGAUCAUGUUGAACAGGAUUAUGAGCAAUAUCACAUGCUGCCUUGUUGUCACAAUACAACUCCAUAGGAUUGACUGGCUUAAUAUGUAAAUCUAUCAUCAGAUUUCUAAUCCACAACAAUUCGCAUAUAGCUUUAGCCAUCCCUCUAUAUUCAGCCUCAGCACUUGAUCUAGCAACUACCUCCUGUUUUUUACUUCGCCAUGUAACCAAGUUUCCUCCUACAAACGUGAAAUAACCAGAAGUAGAACGUCGAUCUUGAAUAGAACCAGCCCAAUCAGCAUCUGUAUAACCAUUAACAUCCAAAUUGUGUCCUUUUGUGAACAAAAUUCCUUUUCCUGGAGACGACUUCAAGUAGCGUAAGAUACGGGUGACAGCAUUCAUGUGUUCUUCGCUUGGAGAAUGCAUAAAUUGACUGACCACACUCAAUGAAUAAGCUAAAUCAGGUCGAGUAUGUGCAAGAUACAUUAACCUUCCAACCAACCUCUGAUAGCGUUCUUUGUUAGUCGGAACUUGAUUGGAAUCACCAUGUAGUUUCAAGUUCUCUUCCAUAGGAGUGCUAGCUGGAUUGCAUGUUGUCAUACCUGUUUCACUUAGUAAGUCUAAGACAUAUUUUCUUUGUGAAAGAAAAAUACCUUUAUCUGACCGUGACACUUCAAUGCCCAAGAAAUACUUCAACUCUCCAAGGUCUUUCAUCUCAAACUCACGGGCAAGGUGCUCGUGUAAUCUCUUCCUCUCUCCUGGAUCAUCUCCGGUUACUAUUAUAUCAUCAACAUACACAAUGAGAAUUGUAAUGUGUUUUUCAUUAUGCUUCAAGAAUAAAGUGUGAUCCGAGUUACUUUGUGUGUAACCAACUGUCUUCAUAAAAUUUGUGAACCUUCCGAACCACGCUCUGGGACACUGCUUUAAACCAUAUAGGGAUUUUCUCAACCUACAGACCUGUUUAUUACCUUCCGUUUGUUGUUUACAGCUGGGAGGUAAUUCCAUAUACACUUCUUCUUGGAGUGUUCCAUGUAGAAAUGCAUUCUUUACAUCAAAUUGAUGUAGCGGCCAGUCAAGAUUAACUGCUAGAGAUAGUAUAAUACGAACAGUAUUAAGUUUGGCCACCGGUGAAAAAGUCUCCAUAUAAUCAAUUCCAUAUGUUUGAGUAUAUCCCUUGGCUACCAGCCUUGCUUUGCAUCGUUCAAUAGUUCCAUCAGCUUUGUAUUUAAUGGUGAAGACCCACCUACACCCAACAGGUUUCUUUCCUUUCGGCAAGUCAACAACGUCCCAUGUUGAGUUUUGUUGAAGGGCUUUCAUUUCUUCAUUCAUUGCCUCCCUCCAUCUAGGAUCAGCCAAGGCUUCCUGCACAUUGUUAGGAAUAGAUACAACGGAUAAUUGAUGUACAAAUGCCAUUUUUUCGUUUGACAAUCUAUGAUAGGAUACAUAGUUAUUCAUAGGGUAUUUGAGUUUUGAGUGAAGGGUUGGUUCAUAGUUCACCUUGGGUUUACCUCUUGUGACUCGAUUAGGUAGUUCUUUUAGGGACUCAACUGGAUGAAUAUUAUGAGACUCAAGUCUGGAAUCAACCGGGGAAGACAAUUGGUUAACUGGUACACUGUGGGAAACUGUCGGCCCCUCCAAGGUAUCCUGGUUACCAUCAACGAUUUCUGGACCAUUUUCACUGGUAUACUCUUCCCUGUCCUGGUGUUCCUCUGUGUUCUCAUUAACUGGACAUUCUUCAUUAGUCUCCAAGCUAUCCAAAGUAUCAAUCAGUUGGUUACCAUGUGCAAUGAUAUCCACAUUGUCUGUAGGCUUAGUUGCUAUCUGCACUUCAUCGUUCUCCUUAGUUUGAGAUGAAUAAUACAUAGUAGUUUCAUGGAAGACCACAUCCAGAGUAACAUAAAGUUGGCGAGAAGGAGGGUGAUAACAUCGAUAGCCUUUUUGGUGCAGAGCAUAGCCACCAAACACACAUCGAAGUCCCCGAGGUUCCAACUUAGUUCUCAAACCUUUAUGAAGAUGUACAUAAGCUACACAUCCAAAAACUUUAGGAGGUAAGUUUGGCAUUGUAGGAGCACUUACAAGGCGAUGGAGAACCUCGAAGGGGGUUUGGAAUUGCAGAGAACUAGAAGGUACCCUGUUGAUAAUGUAUGCUCCGGUAGUAACAACUUCUCCCCAGUAACUAGUAGGCAUGUGAGCUUCAAAUAAGGAGGCACGAACGACCUCAAGGAGAUGACGAUUUUUCCGUUCAGCCACCCCAUUCUGUUGAGGGGUGUAAGGGCAAGUUGUUUGAUGAAUAAUGCCAUGUGUGUUCAAGUAAUCUUUCAAGCUGUGAUUGAUAAACUGUCCCCCAUUAUCAGUCCUGAUCACCUGAAUAUUGGUCUGAUACUGUGUUGCUAUCAUUUUGUGGAAUUGCUGGAAUAAAGAACUCACUUCACUCUUUGAUUUCAUUAAGCAAAUCCACGUCAUGCGGGUGUGAUCAUCAAUGAAUGAAACAAACCAACGUGAUCCAUUUAGAGAAGGAGUGUUUGUUGGUCCCCAUACAUCCGAGUGAACAACCAUAAAAGGUGCAGGAUUUUUAUUCAUACUAAUAGGAAAUGAAACACGAUGACUUUUAGCACGUUCACAUACAUCACACUUAAAAUCUGAAACAAUCAAUUGUGAAAAUAAUUGUGGGAAUAAUUUCUGUAAAUAUCCAAAGGAUGCAUGGCCUAAACGCCUAUGCCAUAGCCAAAUUUCAGACUUCUGGUGUUCAUUAGCUGUAUUAGUUGAGAAGACUUGUGCCAACUGAUUUGAGCUUGCUGGAAUCAGAUCCAGGUAGUAGAGCUUCCCUCUCCUAGUACCAUAACCAAUUGUGUUCCGAGUUUGAAUGUCCUUGAAUAUGCAAAGGUUCGGCCAAAAAAUUACAACACACAUCAAGGCACAAGUUAUUUGAGCAACAGAUAAUAAAUUAUGAUUGAGAUUCGGAACAAUAAGAACUGACUCUAAACUCAGAUUUUUUUAAGAGUAACCGUGCCUUCUCCUGACACAGAAGAAGGAGUUCCAUUGGCUGUGAAAACUACAUGGUGGUUUGAGGGUUGUAUGGUCUGAAUAUUAUUGUUAAACGUCAUAUGAUUUGUGGCACCUGAAUCAAUUAUCCAUUCACUAUUUCUAACAGAAGUGGAGGUAUGAAGAGCCUUACCUGCAUUUAUAGCAUCAGCACCUGUGUUCUCAGCAGUGUCGCGUGCAUUCCCAGUAAUAGCACCAGAAGAGGAGUCUUUCCCAGAUUUAUUGCCAAACAUAUGAUUUGGUUCUGCCACAGCAACAGACACAUGAGGAUUUGCCUUUAAGUUUCUCUUACGGGGUGCUUUGGAAAAAUCCCACCAUUCUGGAUAUCCAAUCAAUUCAUAGCAGCGUAGCUUAGUGUGUCCAGUUUCACCACAGUGAGUGCAUAUGCGUUCUGGUCGUGCAGCUCCUAUUUCAUAGCUGCGAUUUUGCGAUCCAAUUGAAUGAUUAUGAUUCAGUGAACUAGAAGCUCGAUCUGGUUUCAGGUUCUGUGGUCGUUGAUACUUACUUCGGCGAGCUAUCAUAGCAGAUGGCUCUAAGUGUCCAGGUUCCCCAUUCAGUGUGUUUCGACGGAUAGAGUCACGGCGAACAUAAGCAUAUGUUUCUUCAAGGUCUAGUGCAGAAUGCGAACAUAAGCAUAUGUUUCUUCAAGGUCUAGUGCAGAAUCUCUCCUUAGGAUCUCACCACGAAUUUGUUCAAAUUCUUCAUCAAGGCCAUUCAGAAAAAUAUGCACCCGCAGUCUCUCAACUGAUUUUUUAUAGGCAAUGACAUCAUCGGGAUCUUUCAUAACAAUCUUGUCACGAUGAUCUAGUUCUUGAAAUAUUUCUACCAAAUCACCAUAAUAGGUAGAGAUAGGACGACCAACCUGUUUGGUGGAGAACGCACGUUGGUUCAAGGUAAAUAGUUGUGAUUCAUCUGCCCCAUCAUAGAAUGCUUUGGCUAGAGCAUUCCAGAUUUCAUGUGCAGUAGGCAAUCUAAGAUAGCGUUUCAUAAUUUCUGGUGACAUGGAGGUCAACAACCAUCCUUUAAUCUUUUGAUUCUCAGCAUACCAUUUAGCAUAGGAUGGAUCAGUUUUUUCUGGGAUUGUGUUGCUUACAAGGUAUUCAAGUUUCUCUCGUCCUGCAAUUUGCAUCUCCAUGAUUUGAGACCAGACAUCAUAGUUGCUUUCAGUAAGGGUGACAUUGGUUGAGAAACUGGAAUUCUCUGACUGAACCUGGAUAACUGGAAAAGAGGAUGAUUCGGUUUUGUCAUUGGCCAUGGUACGAGAAGGAGGAUUCGUAAGAUUUAUAAGGUUUGUGGGUGAUAUAAAGAGCAGAUAAUAAACCUGCUCUGAUACCAAGUAAAAAACGUACGCAGAGUUUUCAAAGGGAUUCAAUUGUUUUAUUUUCACUUAAAGCUUCCUCUGUUACAAGCAGAAUAUAUAUAGCUACUCUACAUAAGAAUCCCUACGUAUCAGAUCCUAUAGUUUAGGACUGAUUUGCUAAUUACAUGGAAACCUAUUUCUACUAGGAUACAAUCACGUAUUUACUGGGAUGCUGGAAUAUAUCUUUCCAGCUAAUAUCAGAGACAAUAUAGGACUUGAAUGCUGCAAAUCCAACUUGGAGAUAAUUACCGUAAUUGUUAACAGGAACUCGACUAAGUGAUCACAACCAUCUGCUAAAAUCCAACGGUAUCGAUUUGCAAGGCUUUGCAGUGAACAACAAAAGGACACAUCUAACGAACCCAAAUGGGAUGGAGUGCCUGAAGCAUUUUGCAAUUUCUUAAACAUAGGUAAUUGAGUAGACCAAGAUCCUUGAUGCUUUCUGGAAGAAAAUGAAUUUGAGUUCCACUUAAAUCUAGACUCUCCAAGGAGCGUGCCAGUGAAAACAAGGUAAAUCUCAACAUUUUCCAUCACUUUGAAAACCUAGAGGAAAAGAAUAGCUUCAAUGGAAGAGAUGUAAUGUACGAUGCACUUGCAACAAUUCCAUCACUUUGAAGCAAGCUACGCCCCUGAUGAUGCUCUAACUCCAUAUUCAAGAUGUCAAGAUUUGAGCAACCACCUAAAACCAGCUUUUGAAGUGAAUUCAAUCUACUCAUUUCUUCUGGAAGCUCCAUAAGACCUGUACAAUUUCUUAGAUUUAAGAUCAACAGUUUUUGUAAAUCACCAAUAGAUUCGUGAAUUUGAACCAAACGGAUGCAGUCUUCAAGUAUUAGCUUUUCAAGGGCUGGGAGACCCGACAAGUCAGGGGUUCUAAUGAGAUCAAGAGAGUGACGUAGAUCAAGAACUUUCAAUUUUGGAAGAAACUGUGACAAUACAUGAAUUUAGUUGUUAUAUAUUGAAAACGAGAGAAAUAGCUAUAGAGAUAGCUAUAGAAACUGUGACAAUAUAUGAAUUUAAUUUAUACAUACCAGUUUGCCUUUCCAAGCAUCAACUAGACAACUUCUGGAUAGAUCAAGAACCACGAGCUUCUCCAAGCAUACGUGAUUUGGUAUGGAUCUCGAAGACAAUCCAUGCCAACAUAACCAUAUCAAAUUCUUAGGAAAGUGCUCAAAACUUCCAUGAAAAUUAGUGUAGUUUAGUUGGAGAAAUUUUACAUCUAUCAUCUUUCUAAAAGCAUCCGUGUUGAGGAUAGGAAACAAACUUGUUUGUAAUUUUUCCCCAUCGGAAAAAUCAGAAAGCCAUUGUUGAAAGAAGUUAAGCCUGCGACGCUUUCGGCUUACACAUUGAAUCAGUAUAGACAACUUUUGCAUAAUUAUCUUCCAUUAAUGCAUGCAUAUCAAUAGUAAAGCCACGCAAUUUUUCAGCAUCCUGCAUAAUAAUAUUAAAAGUACAUGAGAAAGGAAAGUAAAUGAAAGAAGAUGUUAAGGCACCACAAACCAUUUAAGUAGACAUAUAAAAAAAUUGAGCUACUUACAAUAGUUCCUUUCAAAAUGGUAAAAGCAUCCUCGUGACGCCAUAUUCUUUGACAUUUGGGAGAUUCUUGACGAGCAAUUUCCCUUCCCAUAUCUCUUACUAGUUGAUGCAUCCACAACCUUUGAUCAAUGUUGAUUUCAACAAGACAUCUAUCGAUGAGAUUGUCAAUCCCAAAUCUUGCACCUUUAUCGAGUCCAUCUAGUAUCCUAACUACAUCAUCCACAUCCAUUCCAUUGAAGAAACAUGAGAUAUCAAGGAAUAAGUUCUUCGGAUAAUCACCAUCAAGAAAGUCGUAACUUAUUCGAAGAACCUUUUGAACUUCAAAAUUAGGAAUCACUUCCAAUUGUUGUAAUGCACUUUCCCAUAUUUCUCUUCCUUUUCCGGACAAUGAGGAGCCAAUAACUCCAAGAGCUAAUGGAAGUCCAUUACAGUGACGUACUAUUCUCCAAGAGUCUUCUACAAAACCAUCAACAGGGUCAGCUUGUCCAAAGGCAUUCCAACUAAAAAGCUCAAAAGAUUUUUCAAUAUCUAGCGGUUCGACUUUGCACCGGACCCACUCAAUAUCAUUAGCUGAAAACAGACCCUUAUUUCUGGUUGUUACAAUGAUUUUACUUCCUUUACAAAGCCAGUUUUGCAUGCCAACGAUUUUAUUGAAUUGUUCCCUUUUGUCCACAUCAUCUAGAACAAUAAGAGUUCUUCUGCAACAUAAGACAUCCUUAAUCUUCAGAAUUCCUUCAUCAGGAUCAUUUAUCUCAUCAACAGUCUUUUUUAGGAUGUCGGAAAGAAGUUGCCUCUGUAGGCAAACUAUAUGCUUUGAUCUAAAAUUUGACAGGAAGCUCUUUCCUUCAAAUUUAUAAAAGUUCUGGUUAUAAACACUUUUAGCUAUGGCUGUCUUUCCAACUCCACCAAUUCCAUAGAGUAAAGCAAUGGCAGCACCAUGGGAUCCAUCUUGCAACCAUGAGUUGAUAGCUUGUACUAGAGCAUCUCUUCCAAUGAAAUGAAGGGGGACAUGAAAUAUUUUUGGAUCCAAAUUAAUGCUUUGAGACAUUCUCCACAAUAGAUUGGACAAAUUGUGCCUCAUACCUACAUCAAAAGGUAAAGUACAAUGUAUGAUAAUUGCUAGUCUCUCUAUAAAGGAUAAAAAUAAAGAACAUUUAGCUAAGAAAUUAAAGCAGGUUGCGUGUCCAUGAUUGAUAGUUAAAUUGGUCCAUGAUUGAUAGUUAAAAAUCUGUAGGUGCGUUAUCACCACCUAUUAAAACCAAAUCAUGUUUGGAAAAAAAAAACAACAAACAAAAGAAGAAGAUUUUUUUUUCUUUAAUGUUUUCUUAUCAGUCUUCCUUUCUUUUCUUUUUUUUUUGCUAAUAGUCGAAAUUUUAUUAAAAAAAAGACUACAACAAUAGUAGCCUAACUUACAUUAGAUGAAUAAAAGGAAAGCACAAAAACUGUUUCAUGAAACAGGGGAGUUCACGACCAGCAUUCUAGUCUUAUGCUAUGUGUAGUUUCAUAAGAGAUACAACUUACCCAUCUCCUAAAACCAUUCCAGCUAAAUCUGCAACUUCCUUCAAAGCAAUCCUCCACCCGUUCACCCGCUCCAUCUCCUCCUUGAAGUGCUUUUCUUGUUCCACAAAUGCUGCAACAAAGCUCCCUGUUUGAUUUCUGACUUCAGAUGGAAAAACAUCAUAGAAAACUGGGAAAACUAUGGAGACGGUAGUCCUCCUACGUUCCAUGAUCAUUACGAGUUCAUCGAGGCACCAUCUCGACGAAGCAUAGUUUUUGGAGAACACGAUUAUCGAUAUUUUUUAUUCUUGUAUUGCCUUCUGGAGCUCGAAAUCUAUAUUCUCUCCUCUCCGAAUAAUUACCGACCGAAUUACCGACAGAAAAUUCAGAAUUAAUGAAAAAAGGGCGGGUAGGUGGCGCGGAGGUUUUGGCGGGUGAUUUUUCUGACGGAAUCACCGACGGAUUUGAAAUGUCAGAUCCGUAUCGGUGACGUGACCGGUGCACCGUCAAAAAUACCGACGGAAUCACCGAGGGAUUUGAAUAGCAGGUCCGUGCGGUGACGUGUCGAUUGCGUGUCAGAAUUACCGACGGUUUCGCCGACGGAUUCACCGACGGAAUAAAACCGUCGGUAAGUCCGUCGGCAAAAGUGAAUAUACACUCUGCCGACACUCUCCUCCCCAUUUCUCCUUCUUCUUCCUAAUCCUAACCCUCCCCAUCUGCAAAAUAACCAGCCCCCCCUGGCCCCAAAACAAAAAUCUUCCUCAUCUCAGCACAACAAGUUGUAUUUCUUGAAGUUUUGUGGUCACAGCAUCCGUGUUUUGAUUUACCGACGGAUUUUAUCAUUUUUUGUAAGUAAUUCUAUCUUUCAAAAUUUUAACAUUUAAAUGUCAAUUUUAUUGUUUUUUUAGUAUAUGUAUUUUUUUUUAGUAGAUGUACAUGUUUUAUUGUUAUUUCUCAAACAAACUUGUAGUAUAUGAAUGUAUAAUUUUAUACUUGUUAUGGUUUGUUUUAGAUUUUGUAAGAUUGUAUUUGUUUGAAAAUUGUUAAAACUUAAUUUGUAGAAUUACCGAAUUACAUGUUAUGUUUUGAAAUAAUUAAGAGCUUGCUUAAUGGGUCCUUUUUAUAGAGGUUCGAUAGAAGUCAUGGAUGAUCGUUCAUGGAUGUAUCUAGAUUCACCCCAAGGAUUGCGGAGGAUGGAUUAUUGUAACGGGGUUCAGGGUUUUAUUAAUUUCGCAACAUCUAUUCCCAGAAAUUUUACUGGAGGCGGUAUUAGGUGUCCAUGCAGGAAGUGUCAAAAUAAAAAGUAUCUGCAUCCAGAUGUUGUAAUGAUGCAUCUUCUACACAAAGGGUUUGUGGAGGAUUACGAGUGUUGGUAUGCACAUGGAGAGGUAUUUGUUAGUAAUAGGAGAAUGGGAGAAACGGUGGUUGGGUCAACUUCUAGUGCUAGCAACGUGCAUGAAGCGGCAAAUGACAACACUAAUCCUUACAGAAACAUGGUUAUGGAUGCAAUGAGAAUGAAUCAAGAUAAUGUCAAUCAAUGUCCAAUCGUAGAAGAAGAACCUAAUGCAGAGGCAGCUAGGUUUUUUGAUUUGUUGAAAGAUUCUGACGAACCAUUAUGGGAUGGCUGCACAAACCACAGUAAAUUAUCGGCGUGGCACAGGUGUUCACCAUCAAGUCAGAUCACGGGUUGAGUGAGGCCGGGUAUGACAAAAUUAUUGAUUGGGCAAGAAGCAUUUUACCUGAAGGGAACAGGCUCAAAGAGAACUUCUAUGCUGCGAAGUCCAUGAUGAAACCCCUCGGUUUAGGAUACCAGAAAAUUGACAUGUGCCCUAACUUCUGCAUGUUAUACUACCUUGAAAAUGCUGAGAUGACCGAGUGCAUGACAUGCGGGCAUUCCCGUUACAAACCCAGAACUGGCAGGGGGAAGACUCUAGUGGCAUAUAAAAAACUUAGAUAUUUCCCGAUCACACCUAGACUGCAGAGGUUAUUUAUGUCACCAAGGACUGCUGAGCACAUGACAUGGCACCAAACACACGAUGUCGUUGAUGGUGUGAUGGUGCAUCCUUCUGACGGCGAAGCGUGGAAACGCUUUAACAGUGUUCAUCCUGACUUUUCUGCUGAAUCAAGGAAUGUUCGACUUGGGUUGUGUACAGACGGGUUCAACCCAUUUGGGUCAUUUGCUGCUCCCUAUUCUUGUUGGCCGGUCAUUCUCACAGUUUAUAACUUGCCACCGGGAAUGUGUAUGAGGCCGGAGUUCAUGUUUCUAUCUACUGUCAUACCCGGUCCAAGCAGCCCGGGGCGGAAUAUAGAUGUUUGUCUUCGACCGUUGAUAGAUGAGCUGGCGCAGUUGUGGUCCUCCGGAUCUCUGACUUAUGAUAUAUCGAGGAAACAAAAUUUCCUUAUGAGGGCGGCUUUGAUGUGGACUAUCAGUGAUUUUCCAGCUUAUGGAAUGCUUUCUGGUUGGAGCACGCAUGGGAAACUCGCAUGUCCAUACUGCAUGGAAAACAACAAGGCAUUCACGCUAGCAAACGGAGGUAAAGCUUCUUUUUUUGACUGUCACCGUCGCUUCUUGCCACUUAAUCACAGGUUCAGAAAGAACAAAAGAUUUCUUUGUUGGUAGAGUUGAAAAAGAUGUUGCAUCCCCGCGUCUUUCUGGUGAAGAAUUGCAUCAUGUUGUAUCAGAGUACGGUGACAUUGUGUUUGGCCUUCAAUCAGGUAAGCAAAAGUUUCCUGGUUUUGGUUUGACCCAUAAUUGGGUAAAGCGAAGUAUCUUUUGGGAGCUUCCGUAUUGGAAGACUAAUCUUCUCCGCCAUAACCUUGACGUCAUGCACAUCGAAAAGAACGUGUUUGAGAAUAUUUUCAACACCGUCAUGGAUGUGAAGGGGAAGACAAAGGACAACAUGAAGGCUAGAUUGGAUAUAGCUUUAUACUGUAACCGUAAAAAUAUGGAGUUGGUUUAUGACGAGUCACGGGUUGCAAAACCAAGGGCAAGCUUCGUGUUAGAGAAAAACGCACAACUGCUAGUCUACAAAUGGCUUAAGAGUCUGCGUUUCCCGGAUGGACAUGCAUCGAACAUAUCAAGGCUUGUUAACAUAGAGGACUGCAGAUUGUAUGGAAUGAAGAGCCAUGACUGCCACGUGUUUAUGCAAACACUCAUCCCAUUAGCUUUUCGUGAUUUGUUGCCAAAGGGAAUAUGGGAUGCACUAACGGAGAUCAGUCAUUUCUUCAGAGAUAUAUGCUCCAGCAAGAUGAAUGUUGAGCACAUUGAGAUGCUUCAAACGAAUAUCAUCGAGACACUAUGCAAACUUGAGAUGAUAUUCCCUCCUUCAUUUUUUGACUCAAUGGAGCAUCUCCCUAUACAUCUACCGUUCGAGGCAAAAGCUGGAGGACCGGUCCAGUAUAGAUGGAUGUACCCAUUCGAACGGUGAGAUAUUACAGUUGCAAUGGAAUUCAUAUCUUAAAGUAUUUUCUAUGUUUUUCUUAUUUGAAAAUACUUGAAUUGUACUUCAAUGCAGGUACUUGUUUAAUCUAAAAAAAAAGGUUAAGAACAAGGCGCAUGUUGAGGCUUCGAUAUCUGAGGCCUAUAUUGUUGAAGAGAUAUCAACAUUUAUCUCGUACUAUUUCGAACCUCAUCUGAGAACAAGAAUCAAUCGCGUUCCACGGCAUGACGAUGGCGGUGAAGUGCCUUCCAGUGGGAACUUGUCAAUAUUCUCCAAUACUGGACGACCCACACCUAAAAAUGCCGUAAGAGGAAGAUAUUUGUCGGAAAUAGAAUUCAAACAAGCACACAACUAUGUUCUAUUUAACUGUGAUGAGCUGAGACCAUUUAUUCAGUAAGUCUAUAUAUGUGUAAUACUAAUUAAACUUUGUCAGUAAUAUACUGUUAAUUAUAUAUUGUAAUAUCAUACACUCAUUAUCACUUGCAGGCAACAUCGACAAUAUUUGCUCUCCAAUAACUCGCAGCUGACCGAAUCCCAGAUCUUUCAAUUACAAGAUGAACAAUUUGCCACAUGGUUCAGAACACAUGUAAGCACUAUCACAAACUCAUUCUAACGUAUGCAUGUCAUUACGAGAUUCUCGUUCAUUUACCGUGUAUUGAUGUACAUUUAAUUACAUAUAUUUACAAGGUUUAUCAAAUGGGAAGGAGUGCGCCCAAGUCAUUGUCUUCACUAAGCCUCGGCCCUGAAAGAAAAGUUAAGUGCUACAACGGGUAUUUUGUCAAUGGAUAUGUUUUCCAUACUGAAGAAUACGGGCAAGGAAGAAAGACAUACAACUGCGGUGUUUGUGUUAAGGGAUCCACAAGUAGCCAGUUAGAAGUUGACUACUAUGGUAGAUUAGAAGAGGUCGUCGAACUGCAAUAUCAUAGCGAGCAGAAUAAAGUGUUUUUAUUCAAAUGCUAUUGGUAUGACACGACGGACAGAGGAAUCAGAGUUGAUCCGCACCAUGGUCUGGUCGAAAUCAACUCAAAAGCUAGACUCCGCAACAUAAACGAUGUCUUUGUUUUCGCAAAGCAAUGUCAACAAGUUUAUUACACAUACACCCCUUCAUUUAGAAAGGAUCGUUCAAGAGUUGAUUGGUUGUCCGAAAAACGAAACCACGGGGUCGUGUCGAGGUUGUUCAGGAUGAGAACGAAGACACAAGUGUGCGAGAUGAAGUCUUUCAAGUUCGUGAGUUGGUUGAACCAUAUCGAGUUGCUCCUUCGAUUGAAUUGGAAGAAAAUUCAAAUUUUCGAGUUCUCGAUGAUAGUCUUGUUGAUAUUGACGGAGAGGAGUUGAAUGUUGUUCUCAGCUCUAGCGGACAAGCAAAUGUCGAUGAAGAAGAUGAUAUCCAUAUUGAAGAUUGCGAUGAAGAUGAUGACAAUUCAAUUGAUGAGGAAGAAGAAGAAAAUUCCGACUAAUUAUGAAAAUGAAGCCCUAUGUAAAAACAUUUGUCUCAUGUAAUUUAGAUUAUGAUGAUGUAUUUUGUAAAACAAAAUAUUUACUGUUUAAGCAAUGUGGUUAUUGUUUUAUGUGAUGGACAGUUUAUCAGUUAAGUUUUGCAGGAAGGUAAACAGGCAAUACAAAGACAACCUUUCCUGCAUAAUGCAACUUACCGACGUCCAUACCGACGGAUACCAUCCGUCGGUAUCUCACAGAGAGUUCGAAAUUAUUACGCGAAAUGCCACCAACACCGACGAAUUACCGACGGCUUCAUCGACAUACACGACGAAUAUCCGUCGGUAUUCACAGAGAGUUCGAAAAUAUUACAACAAAAUGCCACAAUCACCGACGGAUAACCGACGGAUCAUCCGUCGGUAUCUCACAGAGAGUUCGAAAAUAUUUACAACAAAAUGCCACAAUCACGACGGAUACCGACGGAUUCUAGUCCGUCGGUAUCUUACAGAGAGUUCGAAAAUAUUUACAACAAAAUGCCACAAUCAGCGACGGAUACACCGACGGAUUCUAGUCCGUCGGUAUCUCACAGAGAGUUCGAAAAUAUUUACAACAAAAUGCCACAAUCAGCGACGGGUAUACCGACGGAAUAGGUCCGUCGGUAUUUUGUCGGUCACACAUAUUACCGACAGAAAUACCGACGGACCGCGCGAUUUCCAAAGUAUGUGAAUUAAUGCGCCUCUGAACUUGUCAGAUUACUGACGGAAUCACCGACGGACUGCGAAAAAAAUGGAGGGCUUUUAAAAAUUCGGGGCAAAAUUCAAAAAAUACCGACGGAUUUUUGUCCUGUUACCGACGGAAUGUUUUACCUUUUACCGACGGAAUUACUUCCGUCGGUGAUUCCGUCGGUAAACCUGACCUAUAAGUUCCAGCCCCCGCCGCUUCCCCUCAUUUUUUCUUCUUCUCCCCGCCGCUUCGCUUCUCCUCCGUUUUUCACGUAAGAUUUUUCAUUUUUUUCCCCUCAAUCCUUAAACACCUUCACCUUUAAUCUCUAGCAAGAUUUGGUGUUGUAAAUCUUCAUCAUAUUAAAAGGUAUGUGUUUUUUUUCUAUUUUAUUUUAUUUUUUGUUGUUUUUAUUUUUGUUGUUUUGGUGUUUUUUGUUGCAAUGUAGAUAAAGUUUUGAAUUUGACACAUUAUUAAGGUAUGUAUAUUUCGUUCCUUUUCUUGAUGUAGGUUUUUUUAAAAAAAAUUUUGAAUAUUUUUUGUGUUGUGUUGUGUUGUGUUGUUAGAAUUAUUAUUAGUUAAUUUAACUUAGAAUUAGUUAAAGUUGAAUGUUUGAAUUUUUUUGAAUUUGUUGAAUAUUUGUUAAUUUAAUUGUUAGUCUAUAUUUUUUUUAAUUUAUUGAAUAUAAUUUAUUGUUGUAUUGCCUAUAUAAUUAUUGAUUAAUUUAUUGAAUUAAUAUUGUUAAUGUUGAAUUUACCUUAGAAUUAAUAAUUGCGUUUGUUGGAAUAAUUAUCGAUUUCCAAUUUAAUUUAUUUACUUUUAAUUUAUUUUUAGUUGUUUUUAUUUUUUUUGUUUUGGUGUUUUUUUUGGUAAUGUAGAUAAAGUUUUGAAUUUGUCACAUUAUUAAGGUAUGCAUAUUUCGUUCCUUUUAUUGAUGUAGGUUUUUUUUUUGAAUUUUUUGAAUAUUUUUUAUUGUUUUGUUGUCAUAAUUAUAAUGAUUAAUUUGUUGAAUUAUAAUUGUUAAUGUUGAAUUAUAAUGAUUAAUUUGUUGAAGUAUAAUUUGUUGAAUUUAUUGAAUUUAUUUGUUGUCAUAUUUUUUAUUGUUUUGAAUAUAAUUAUUGAUUAAUUUGUUGAAUUAUAAUUGUUAAUGUUGAAUUGUAAUGAUUAAUUUGUUGAAUUAUAAUUUGUUGAAUUUAUUGAAUUUAUUUUUUUUCAUAUUUUUUAUUGUUUUGAAUAUAAUUAUUGAUUAAUUUGUUGAAUUAUAAUUGUUAAUGUUGAAUUGUAAUGAUUAAUUUGUUGAAUUUAUUGAAUUUAUUUUUUGUCAUAUUUUUUAUUGUUUUGAAUAUAAUUAUUGAUUAAUUUGUGAAUUGUAAUUGUUAUCAUUUAAUUUAUCUUAGGAUUAAUAGUUGAAUAUGUUGGAAUAAUUAGUAUAGAUUGGUUCAAUUGGUUGUGGCUAUUGUUAAUAUUUGCAGGUUUGUGGAUUUGGGUAGUAUCCAGUAUAGGGGAGGUGCUGCCGAUUUUUUUUUAACAUUUGAAUUUUAUUAUACAAUUAUUAAUAUAAAAUUGUUUAGAUGCGUAGAAUGAAAACCAGAGUUGGUCGUUCACGUCCAGUCGAAUCAAGUUCGUCUAGCAGCGAUGAUGAUGUUUCCUUAGGUGCCUCUCAAGAAGAGGCACCUACACCACCUGCGCCGUUAACCGAUGCUGCCUCUUCCAGCGAUGUUUCACAUCGCAGAAGCGGCGUGCCUUCGACGCGGAAUCAAUUUACCCGCCAGUACGAGGCACAGUGGAAGGACAAUCUUUCAAUGUAAGUUUGUUAAGGUUUUAUUUUUUAUAUAUAUAAAAAAAACAAAUUUAAAACAUAAUUUAUGAAGUAAUCACAAAUUAAUUUCAUUUCUUUUCAGGUUCACAAACAUUGAGGCCGCCCGAGUAAUAUCAUCGGCAUUUAAAGCGUCGAUGGAGAUUCCAUUGUUUCAAUGGAGUCAGAUAUCCAGACAUCCUGAAUGGAUGCCUCAAAUCAAUGCAUGGUUUCGUAGAUUUGAGGUUCGUGUUAAUAUAUAAUUUUCAGCUUUUUUCUAAUAAAUUCUAGUUAUAAUUGUAAAUAAAUUAUUAACAUUUUAAAAAAUUAUUUUUUUAUAUACAGCAUCGAUUCUACUGGGACGAUGAACAUGACACUGUUGUGAGGAGGGUGUGGGAAAAUCACGCGGCAAUUAGGUAACAUCGAAAACAAUACGACUUUUUUUUACAUAAUUAUUUAUGUUUCGAAAUGUAAUUUUUUCGUGCGUGAAUUAGGUUGCGUGAUUUUUGGUAUGACACCAGAAAAAAGCAAAAAAAACAGCGAGGGAUAAGGGGUUCCAAGGCUGGAACGAUGUUGCGGUUUGGAGGGAUUUCAAACCAAUAUACAUCCCGGAAGAUAUAUGGCCGCACUAUCUUCAGCACGUGACGUCUGAGCGGUUACUCGACGCUCACAGUCCGGUGCUGGCAACCGGAAUCGGCCAAUUCAUGGCUCGGUGACAACGCACACCGGCGGCUCCGUUCCGUUUUUUGCACAUGCGAAACGGAUGGUAAGAUUAAUUUAAAUGAAAUAUAUCGUUCAAUUAAUUUGUUGUUAAUACAUUUUUUCAUUAUAGGCUACGUCUCUUGGACGUCAGCCGAGCCCUAUGGAGCUGUUUGUGGAGACGCACGUGCGAAGUCAUGACCGCCAAAAGGGACGCAACAGUUCGUUGACAACCGUGCUCAACAUUUUGUGGUAUGUUUGUUCAACCAUUUUAUUUUGUAAGUUAUUAUUAUGUUUAUUGAAUUGAAUAUGAUGAUUUUUUUUUUCAGGAGACCUAUAAUAAUCGGUUGAGGGAGAGAUACGGGGACGAUCCAUCGACCCAUCCGGAAUUCGAUCCGGAUUUGUGGAUGGAGGCUGGAUCGUCAGGUGGACCCGAUAAAAAUCGGGUUUACGGGCUCUCCAACACUACCGCGGCCAACUUGCGGUCGACCGGUACUGCUUCAACCGCUGGGAGCUCCCAAUCUGUAUCGAGCUCCCAAUCUAAGGAGUUUGUGGCCUUGCAGCAAAGGUGCAACCACCUAUCAGAAGCAUACACACAGCUCAAAGAAGAGCAAAGAUUGGCGAACGAACAACACAGAGCAGAGUCUGAACAACAAAGAGCGGCCUAUGAAGAGCUUCGGCAAAUGGUCAUGAACAUGACACAAGGUGGAACAUGUGCGCCUAAUCCUUUUUGGCCGCCUAACCCCCAUCCUCCUCCUCCUCCUCCUCCUCCACCUUUAUAUUAAUUUUUAAUAAAUUAUUUACAUUCAUUAUUUACAUUUAAAAUUUUGUUUAAUGUUUUUUUGAAACACAUUCAUUUUGUAAUGAAUAUUAUUUCACUUUGAGUUUUUGUUGCUUAAUAUAAAUUUUAUUUGCAUAAUUGGUUUGUAUUACCAUUAAUUUAUAUUAUUUUUUCAAAAUAAUUAAAAAACAAUUAAAAAAAACAAUUACACAGGGAUUUACCGACGGAAAAACUCCGUCGGAAUUCGACAGUGCCUGCCACCGUCACCGACCAUCACCGACGGAACAAAUCCGUCGGUAUACAUUUACCGACGUAUUUACCGACGGACGUAUUCGGUCGGUAUAAAAUAUCACCGACACUUUUUCCGACGGAGUUAGUCCGUCGGUAUGUUUAUAACACCGACGGAAAAUAUUCCGUCGGUAUAUUCCAAGCGGGAAACUUUUUUUUUUGGCGCGCACGGUCCGUCGGUAAAAGUUUUUUUUGUAUUUCCGACCGAUAUAGCGACGGAAUGUGGAAACACCGACAAAAGGUAUUCCGACGGGAGUAUUCCGUCGGUAAUAUAGUCGGUAAAUACUUUACCGACGAAAGUUCUAUCACACACCGACGGAAUAUUUCCGUCGGUAAAACUGUGAAAUCUUGUAGUGAUAGUUCAAGAUCGACACAGCACACCAAUAAUCUGAAGUAUUCAUAUAAUAUUAUCUUACUUUUUCUGUAAAACAAUUUUCAAGUUAAUUCCCUGCAAUCAACUCCUCCAUGCCCUUUCAUAAAAAUAUCUGUACAUAUAAUAAAUCUCUAUGCUGAUCCAAAAAAAUCGGUUGACGAGAUCAUCAAUAAUUAGUUUCUAACAGUGAAUUAAUCGAAGUGAUUCUCAGUUACAGCAGAGUUACAUUCCGCAAUAUAACAUAAUACUAAAAGAGAUAAGAGAGAGAGAGUACCUGCAAUCUUCACUUUCCCUUCGUUGAUGUUCUCUUAUCAGUUCAUCAAUUUUCUGCUUUUAAAUCAACCUUAAAAGUCUCUGUGGUACGGACCAUUUCCGCGUUAGGACCUCUUUUUUUUUUUUAAUUUGCUCAAAAUUGAGAGAGAAAGGGUGGAUUGUAAUUUUAAGACAAUUCAUCCCCACAAGUCCACUCUCUCUAUGGUAUGGAACGUUUCCGCGUGAGGAAUUUUCCAUGGCUAAUGCCGGAAGCAGAAAGUCAGAAUGUCUAGGCAUGACAUCCUGAAGUAAGAAUGAAGUUAGAAAAAACCAACAGGUUGUGGCUCAGUGGUUGUUGGGGCAACUCUCCUUCCUUUGAACUUCAGUUCGAGUCCCAGUGGGAGUGGGGCUGGAGAGUUUGUUCCCUUCCUGUUUCUAUUGGGUCCUCUCUGUGCGGUAUGCCUGUCACCCCCGCGGUGCCUUACCUGCUCACUGGGCUUGCAGGAUGUUCAGUGGGCCGUGGGAUUAGUCGUGGUGCGCGCAAGCUGGCCUGGACACCCACGUUAAUCAAAAAAAAAAGAAAAAAGAAUGAAGUUAGAAAAAUCUAAUUAAGAGAAGAAGUUGAUGGCUAUUAACAUCGUGAAGUAAGAAUGAAGUUAGAAAAAUCUAAUUAAGAGGAGAAGUUGAUGGCUAUCAACAUCAUUUCUGUUUCUCUCUUUUUACUUUUAAUAGCCACAAGUGUGAUUGCAGGAUACGUUUGGUUUUAACAAGACAGCAGAGUUAUGAGUAUUUGAUUCAUUUGCAAGGGCAGGGAUGGCAGGAGGGGAAGUUGCUUGUUACAUCUUUGUGUAGAUUUCUUCCCCAUAACUUUCCUGACCUUGCUGUUCUUUAGGAAUUUUCUUCCCACAUAUAUUAAUAGCACCAUGGGGCAGGCCAAUCUUACAUUAAUUAACUAUAUAUAAUUGAUGUGUAUAAUCUCUUUUACAGUGCUUCGUCUUACUUCCAGCGCAAUAUUCCUUUUUCUUUUUCUUUUUUCAUUUUUUGUGAAAUCCAACACAUCUAAUUAUGUUAAAUUAAAAUGUUAACUUGCACAUAAACUAGCACGUAUCAAAACUUAAACAUUAAGAUCAAAAUCAGGAUAAAGAUAAAGUAAAUUUGAUGUUUUUUUUUUUUUUUGUAUAAAGUAAAUUUGAUAUUGACAUCACAUGGAAGUAAAUAACUAAAACUAAUGGAAUAUUUGUUAAGGAAUAAUAGGGACUUGAUACUUAAUGUAUAUAGUUUAAACUUUAACUUGCAUUUAUAUUUAAACAUAGGUAAGUUAUUUCAUUAGUCAGAAAAUAAGAAUCAUGAAAUAAAAAUAUUCUUGGGAUUUAAAAUUUAUUAUCUUAUUUAUUUUAACUCCUUACUAAAAAAUUAUUAACUUUAUCAUCUACUUUUCGAGGUUUAAAAAAUAAAUAUUUACGUGAACAUGAAAUUAAUUAUUAUUUAAAUAUAAAAUAACAUUAUUUUUUAGCAUACUAAUUUUUAAACAUCAUCAAAACUUACCUAUUUAUCCAAAAAAAAAGAAGGCAUGCAAUAUUUUUAGCAUAGAAAUAAGAAAUGCAAUCGAUGAUGCUAGUGAAUUGUCCAAUAAUGCCACCGAGAAGCAUUGUGUUACCCUCUGUCCAAUAAAAUAAGGCAAAGCAUUAGCUAAAAACCCUUCACCCACGUAUUCACCCACUACGGGGGUUUGAAUAUGAUGGAAUUUGAAGUGUUUAAUGGUUUGUUCUUAUAUAUAAAAAACGCGUGACUUGGAUUUUUUAUAGAUAAAAUUUUAAUUUAAAUAAAAAAAAUUAAUUUAACUAAAUCUUGUGAACUCCUGAAAUUAAAUCAGAUCAAUAUCAAAUAAUUAUUUUUAAAACAAAAAUAAAAUUAUUUUAUUUUUAUAAAAUAAUUGACUUAAGAUAAUUGCAUAAUGCAGUUACCCAGAAUUUAUUUUAAAUUUGUCCUCAGACCAAAAGCUUCUUUUGUUUUGCACCAGCUUUUUUGUUUGCGGUGCAAAAAAAUAUAGCAAAGUGUUUGAUAAUUGUUAAAAUUACAUUUAAUACUGCAAAACCCUCUAAAACAUUGAGUUUGAAACGUAUUUUUCUUGAAUCAGUUUUUACAUGUUUUCUUAAUCAAGUUUCGUAAAAUACUGUUUGUUUUUGGAUUUUAAAAGCGCUUUUAAAAAAAUUUAAUUAUUUUUUAUUUUUUUUUCAUUUGCUUCAAAUUAAUAUUUUUUUGGUAUUUUUAGAUCAUUUUGAUGUACUGAUAUAAAAAAAAAUAAAAAAAAAUACAUUAUUUUCAUGCAUUUCCAAGUAAAAAGCAUUUUGAAAAACAACCACAACCACACAACUACCAAAUAUUUUAUACAUGUUUUUUGCUGCACAUAAACUUCAACCAUAUUUUUUACCAAACACAUAUCUAAAUUCAACUAACUUUUGUUAAUCAUACUUUUUUAAAAUUUAUAUUUUUCAAACUAUAACUAUAAAAACUACCUCAAAAACAAAUACACUCAAGUUCCUACCGGUUCAAGACAUGGGCGAAUGGUUUUAAUAUUGAGAGAGAAAGGGUGGAUUGUAAUUUUAAGACAAGUCAUCCCUACAAGUCCACUCUCUCUCUAUGGUAUGGAACGUUUCCGAGUGAGGAAUUUUUUGGUUUUAUUUUGAUCAAGACUUGGAUGUUGAAUAUAAUUACUAAUUUUGGUGCCAGGAAUUGAUGGCUAUAUAUUGACAUGGUGAAGUAAGAAUCAAGUUAGAAAAUAAAUUCCACAAGUUGAUGGCUAGUGACAUCGUGAAGUAAGAAUCAAGUUAGAAAAAUCUAAUUAAGAGGAGAAGUUUAUAUCUGUUUUAUAUCUGUUUGCCAUUAAUUUCUCUUAGUUUUCCAUUACGUCUAAUUGCCUUUUUUCUAAAAUAUCUCCUGUAUAUUCCAAUCAGUUUCUCUGACCUCACAUGCUUUUGUAAUUUGUUUUUGUUUUUUUUCAUAAAACAUCGUUAGUAGACCAAACAACAAGCAGUUGUAAGUGGUAAAUUAAUAAAAAACAAUAUUGUCUUCGGUUUAGACCAAAACGUAUUGUAUCAAAUGUCUUUCAAGUAGUUGAGCAAAGAUAUCGGAUCAUACUAAAAACAAAUAGGGAUUGCUGUCAAUUUACUCCUAACAUUUAGGGCUAAUGCAAUUUUUCUUUUUUAGUCGUUUCAUUACUAGAAAACUAGCAAAUAGCUAUGAAAAUACCUACAAAAAAUAUUCCACCAAUAAGAUAGAAAAUUUAUGCCAUUUAUUUCUAACAUAGCGAUGAAAUAUAUAAUAUCAAAAAUUUCUGACUAAAUAAAAAAAAAAAUUCCGUUUAAAAUUUCACUCUGAAAGUACUCAACGAGCUUGCGUUAUAAAUGGAUGUUUAUCUUUCACGUGUUUAUUCUUUGUCAGCACCUAACAAUUCAUGGUUGUCAGAAGCAUUGCUAAAAGAACUAGCAGUGAUUAUGUUUACAUGACACGCAAUUGACUUUCCCCUUGAUAUUUACACAAAUUAAAAAAUUAAAAUAUCAUAAACCAUUUCUAUUUAAAACCAAAUAGCAACACCUCCUCUAUACAAGAAAAAAUAAUUUAAAUUAAAUUGCUACAAACCAAUUGAUUUUAUUCAAUCUGUUUCUUAUCAUUGAGUGAAGAAUUCACUCAACUUGUAUUUGACCUAGUUUUAAAAUUAUUUUUUUAAAAUUGUUUUCUAUUAAUACAUAUAUUUAAUGGGCAGCCUUUAUUAUGUUUCAAAUUGUAUGUUAAUUAGCCAAUUGCAUGUAAAUGAGUUUAAUUCUGAACUAAUUACCUAAAAAUAAUUUUAAUAAGUGAAAGUCAAUUUUGGUCCUUAUUUUGAUUGCUAUAUAUAUAUAUAUAUAUAUAUAUAUAUAUUAUUUUGAUUUUUUUUUCAAUUUCAUCCCUUAGAAUUUGAUUUUUAUGAAAUGGUAAUUAUUAUUAUUUUAAUUUCUUCAUCUUUCAAUUUUUUUAUUUAUUAUAUUUGAUCUUUAUUAUUUUUAUUAUUAUUUAUUUUAUUUGAGAUAAUUUAUGAAAUUAUAUUUUUUUAAUAAUUUAAUUUUCAUUCAACUUCUUAAUUUAUAAGAUUUGUUUUUUAUUAUUUUAAUAAACUUGAAAAAAUAAAAUAUUAAAAUUUAUUUUACAACUGGACCCAAGACAUGAGCAAAUGGUUUUUAAAAUUGAGAGAAAGGGUGGGUUGUAAAUUUAAGACAAGUCAUCCCCACAAGUCCACUCUCUCUAUGGUAUGGAAUGUUUCCGCGUGAGGACUUUAUUGGUUUUAGUUUGAUCAAGACUUGGAUGUUGAAUACAAUCACUAAUCUAUUUGAUUAUAAUCUCGACAAUUAAUGCACACUGAAUUUUCCAUGGACGUAAUCGGAAUGCAACUUGACCAGUUAUGCUAUUGACAUCCUUAAGUAAGAAUCAAGUUAGAAAAAUCUAAUUAAGAGGAGAAGUUGAUGGCUAUUGACAUCAUUUCGGCCAAAAAUUCUAUCGAAAAAUUAAGGGGUAAGAAACCCAGACUCUACCCCUUCGUAUUGUUUCUGAUUUCAAGAAAACCAAGACGAUAAGGAUUGCAUACUGACAUAGCAGAAAACCAUGUGAAUAGAUCAAAGCCACAUAUCCGGUACUCUACAAACUCUUUCUAAAGUAGCCACUCCUGUUCUUCCUCCUCGUGAAACCACAUUAACAUCUCAUUUUCAUCAUAUUCAAGGACAAUGCUGCAUCUGUUGCCCUAAAGUUGUAUCUGUUCCAUCAAAGCACAAUUUAUAAAAUGAGCAAAGGGAAAAUUUUCUAGAUAUACAAGAACAAAAAUGUAGAGUUGAAAUAAAGCAGAACUUAUAAAAUGAGCAACGGAGAUCAAGAAUUUUAAAUUUUGGAAGAGACUCUGAAAACACUUGAAAUCAGUUGUUGUCCAUUGAAAAUAAGAGAGAUAGCUGUAUAGAGAGACUAAAUACAGAGCAUGCCUUUCCAAGCAACAAUUAGACUGGUUCUGAAUUAGAUUAAGAGCCACGAGCUUCUCCAAGCAGAAGUGCUUUGGUUUGGAUCUUGUAAUAACCCAACCCUUUUUUAUUAUUAUUUUCCUUGAAAAAUGAUAAUAAAAAAAAUAAUGAUGAAAAAAACAAAUAAAAAAUAAAAUAAAUGAAGAUGAAUUAAAAUUUGGGUUAACGCAAUAUGAGUUGAAGUUUUGGGAUUUAAUUAAACUUUGAAUUUGUUUUAUUAACCAAAUUAAGAGUUUAAUUGAGGAAUUGAUAAGUUUGAGACUUAAUUGAACUUGAAAUUAGUUAAUUAAUGAAAUCAGGGGCUUAAUUAAAUAAAUAUCAAAGUUUAGGACUGAUUCUAGUUAAAAUUGCAAGAAAUUAAAAUCCAAUGACCAAUUUGUAAAUAGCGCUGAGAUGUAGGGUUCCAAUUAAAAUUUAUCCGGGGGGCUUGCUUACAAAGCUUUCAAAACAUCAGACCAAAACGAAAAUGGCCAUCAAUACUGUUCAUCUUCUUCAACGAACUAGACCAGAAACGGACGCCCCACGAUCCCUAUUACUCCUGCAAUAACAAGGGUCGGUCGCCUCAUUAUUUAGAGGAGGUGACCGCAUGGCAUUCUCUGGUCGGUCGCCACACGGGGGGGGGGGGGCUGGGGGAAGGAGAAACGUAAAGAAGAACGUAUAUAAAAAAAAAACAGAAGAGAGAAACAAGGGAUGACAGAGAAGAGAUUGAAGCGAAAAACUAAGGAAAAACCAAAAGAACCAGGGCAGGAAACAGAGGUAGAAACCCGGGGAGGACAAAGAAAAAAAAAAACAGCCGAACAGAGGAGAGGGAGUGAAAGUAGGAAACACAGAAUCCGCAGAGAAGAACAGAGCAUAUACGGGGAGACUAAAAGAAAAAUAGAGAAAAACAAACACAGGCAAAGGUUGCACCGAGAGAAAGCAAAAUAAAAGAAAGAACCAGAGGAAAAGUAAACGAAAGGACGAACAGCACGCCAUCGCCUUCAUCCUGCUCCCAGGUAAGUGUCUCCAAUUUUGCAAAAUAAUUCAUCAACACUGUGUAUUAGAGAUUUAAUUACAUGGCGACUGUAGGAAGCGUUUGUGAACAAUUCACGCAUGUUUGUGGGUAAAAACUGCCCACUAGACCUAACCUAAAAAAAAAAAAUAAUAAAUAAAGAUAAAAAAAAAACAAGUAAAAUAAAAUAAAAUAAAUGUAUGCAUGCAUACAUAAAAAAAUAAAUUUGGUUUAUUAGUUUAUUUACUAAUAUUAGAGUCAAGAAUAAAAAUACUUAUUUAAAUUUAUUUUAUUAUAUUUUGUUAUUAUUAUUUUCUAGCUAUGUAAUAUUUAUUAACACUAGAUUUGAAAAUAUUUAUAGUUGAAUAUUCACUGACGCUAGAGUCGAGAAUAUUACAAGCAAACCAUCAGAGCAUAAACCAACAAAUUUUUAGGAAUUUAAAAUAAAAUCAACAAUGCAGCAUGUCAUAGGCAGAAAGUUUAAGAGGUGAUAAUGUCUUCCCUUUAUAACUAGUCUUGUACCAUAGAAUCUUUGUUGACCAUUUAGGAUUCCUAAUGACCAUAAUAUUAGAUGACGACUCUUUAAACAAGAUCAUUUUCCAUAAAAAAAAACAAGAUAUCAAAUGUCUGUUCUUUUCUCUUAUAAGGUUUCAUUUUUUCAUGGUCGCGCGAAGUCCAAUGUGACAUAUCUUAAAGGGAAUCCAUGCCAACAUAACUACAUCAAAUUCUUGGAAAAGUGUUCAUAACUUCCACAGAACUUGUGUAAUUUAACUGGAGAAAUUUUACAUUUUUCAUCUUUCUAAAUGUAUCCGUGCUGAGGACAAGAAACAAACUUGUUUGGUUAAUUUGUACUUGUUCCCCCAAGAAAAACUUAGAAAGCCACUAUUGAGAGAGGAGUGUAGGAAGAAGACAUUGUUGAAAGAAGUUAAGCCUGCAGCGGUUGCAAGUGCACCAUUGAAUCAAUACAGACAACUUCUGUACUUAUUCAUGCAUAUACAGGGUAAGGUCACACAAUUUUUCAGCAUCAUGCUUCCCAAAUGUUGAAAGUAAAUGAGAAAAGAAAGUAAAAGCAUGAACAUUUUAACACACCUAAAUACCAUGAAGAUAGGAAAACAGAACCAGUUACUCUUACACUUGUUUCUUUCAAAACUGUAAAAGCUUCCAUGUGUGAUGCCAUAUUCUUUGACAUUUGGGUGAUUCUUGACGAGCAAUUUCCCUUCCCAUGUCUCUUACAAGUUGAUGCAUUUAUAAAUUUUUUUCAUUUUAUUUUAACAAUUUUUACAAGACAUCAAUCGAUGAGAUAGUCAAUCCUAAAUCUUGCAUCUAUACCGAACCCAUCAACUGUCCUAACUGUAUAAUUCUCAUCCAUUCCAUUGAAGAAAGAAGCAAUAUCAAGGAAUAAGUUCUUCUGAUAAUCAUCAUCAGGAGAGUUCUAACUUUUUGCAAGAACCUUUUGAACUUGACAAUUUGGAAUCACUUCCAUUUCAUGUAAUGCGCUUUCCCAUACUUUUCUGCUUUUACUAAAAAAUGUAGAACCAAUAGCACAAAGGGCUACUGGAAGUCCAUUACAAUGAUGUACUAUUCUCCAAGAUUCCUCCAUAAAAUCUUCAACUGGGUAAGCUUGUCCACAGGCAUGCCAACUCAAAAGAUUAAGUGAUUUUUUGUUAUCUAGAGGUUCAUCUUUGCACUUGACACACUCACCAUCAUCUACAAUCAAAGCCUUAUUUCUAGUUCUUACAAUGAUUUACUUCCUUCGCGAAGCCAAUUUCGCGUGCCAACAAUUGCAUUGAAGUGGUCCCAUUUGUCCACAUCAUCAAGAACAAUAAGAUUUCUUCUGCAACAUAAAGCAUCCUUGAUAUAAUCCCUCCAUCAACAUCAUGUAUGCCAUCAGCAUUGUUUAGGAUAUCUGAAAGAUUAAGGGUGCAUUAUGUUGCAGAAGAACUCUUAUUGUUGCUCAUACCUUACGAUAGAUUGGACAAGCUGUGCCUCAUACCUGCAUCAGAAAGAAAAAUGUAAUGUAUAAUUCUCUCCGUAAAGUUUCAAAAUCUUAGCAUCCUGGAAAAAAGAAAUUAAACCAGGAUGUGCGUCAAUGAUGGAUUGCUACUUUUGCAGCUAUGUUAUCACCACAUAUUAAAACCAAAAAUGGAAUAAUGUAGAAAUCUUUGCUUUUUCAGGUAGUCAAGGAAAAAAAAGAGAAAAAAAUAUCUUCUAUUUUUAUUUUCCUUGUAUGUUCUUUGAGUUGGGAGUGUUAUAGUUUCACUAAAUUGUAGUGGUAUUAUCAAUUAUCAUCCAAAUGCUUAACUACAAACCUGAAAAAAUUAAGAGUUCAAAACCAGCAUUCUAGUAUUAUGUUAUGUGUAGUUUCAUCAAGAAAUACAACUUACCCAUCUCCUAAAACCAUUCCUCCUCGAUCUGCAACUUCCUUCAAAGCAAUCCGCCACCCAUUCACUUGCUCCAUCUCCUUCAUGAUCCACAAAUGCUGCAGCAAAGCUCCCUGUUUGAUUUCUGACUUCAGACGGAUCCACAUCAUAGAAGACCGGCAAAAUUAUGCAGUCAGUAUUCCUCUUACGUUCCAUGAUCAUUACAAGUUCAUCCAGGCACCACCGCUACAAAGCAUAUGCUUUGGAGAACACGAUUAUCGAUAUUUUUUAUUGUUGUAUUGCCUGUUGGAGCUCUGACUUUAUAUUUUCUCCUCUCCCAAUUUCAUCAUCGUCUCUAAAUGUGUGAAUCUCUGCUUGAACCAGGGCUGUGUAGAGGUGAUCGGUAAAGUUCUUGCGGGUGUCUUCACCUCUAAAACUCUAGAACACUUGAUAUUUACAACUAGAGAACCGUGAAAAUGAGGAUUCUUGAUAUUUACAACCAAUCCCAUAGAGUAUAUCAAAGGCAGAACUGUGGGAGCCAUAUUCUUGCAACCAUAAGUUGAUAUGUUUUCCUAGAGGAUCUCUUCCAAUGAAAUAAAGGGGGAUAUGAAAUAUUUUAUGAUCCAAUUUCUUUGAGACCUUGUCGACAAUAGAUUGGACAAUGUGUGCCUCAUGCCUGCAUCAAAAAGAAAAUGCAACAUAUGAUAAUUAGCAAGUCUCUCUAUAAAGUUUCAAAAUCUUAGUGUCUUGGAAAAAAGAAAUUAAACCAGGCUGUGCGUCAAUGAUUGAAACCGAAAAUGGAAUAAUGUAGAAAUCAUUGCUUUUUUCAGGUAACUAAGAACGAAAAUAUCAGAAAAUGAGAAAAACAAGUUUUUUUAUUUUUAUUUUUAUUUUUCUUUAAUGUUCACUGAGUUGUGAGUGGUACAGUUUUUUCUAAAUUGAAGAGGUAAUAUCAGUCAUUGUCUAAAUGCUUUACUACAAACCUGAAAAAAUUAAGAGUUCACUAGCAGCAUUCUAGUCUUAUGUUAUGUGUAAUUUCAUUCAGAAAUACAACUUACCCAUCUCCUAAAACCAUUCCUCCUUGAAACGCUUUUCAUGAUCCAAUAAUGCUACAGCGACUUCAGAUGGAUCCACAUCAUAGAAUACUAGCAAAACUAUGCAGUCAAUAUUCCUCUUGCACUCCAUGAUCAUUACAAGUUCAUCGAAGCACCACCUUGACGAAGCAUAAUUCAAUAAUUAUUUUUUUAUUUUUUAUUUGUUAAUUUUAUUCUUUAACAUAUGAUUGUUUAGAAUUGAGAUUCAUAUUUUUUUUUAUAAGGUUGUUAUAUUUUUAUUUGAUUUUUUUUCUUCGUUACCAAAUACUAUGAGGAUAUAUUUGUUAUCAAAUACUAUGAGGAUAUAUUUAUGUAAUAUUGGUAAGCAUUUUUUUUUAGUUGAUCAUUGUGAAUUUCUUUAAUUAUUAGUUUGUUUUGUUUAUUGUUGUUCUCAAUUUUUUUAAUUAUAUUAUUAAAUUAAUUAUAUUUAUUGAAUUAAGGCAACUUAACAACCUAUGUCUUUAAUUAUUUUUAUUUUAAAAAAAAAAAACACUACCAUCACCUCAACAUCUUUUUUAUAUUAAAAAAAACUUUGCCCUACUAGUAAUAAAGUUCAGGUAAAUAAUCUAGUUUAAGCUAAUCACGUGGCCACAAAGCCCCACUGGGAUUCAUAUUCAAUAUUCAUUCGAUGGUGUGUAUGGUAGGCUAGACAUGUGAAGCCCAUUAAUUGAUUCUGUCCAUAUUAUUUAUGUUAACCCGACCCGGUUGUGCUUUUUGAAGGUCCACCAGGCUUGAACCGAGGUCUCAUAGGCAGUCAAAGUUGUUGGCUACUGUAGAAAAUUUUAGGAUUUCCACUUUUGUUAUUAAAUUUUAAUUCUAUCUUUUAAUUUGAUAAUUUUCAAUUAAAAUUAACUUUUAAAUUUCUAAUUUUGAUGAUUAUUAUUUUUUUAUUUUUACAAUAAAAAUAUCCAUAUUAAUUUAUUGUGAAAACUUAAUACAAUCAAAUCAAUUUUUAAUUAAAAUGAAAUAUAUUCAAAUUAUAAAAUUUUUUCAACUAUAUUUUCAAGACAUUCUCAAAUAUUUUUAACUGCAAGUGAACUUGUCUCGAGAGGAUAUAUGUAGAAACAAAAAAACAAUUACAAAUAAAAUUUCAUCAUAUAUUAUUUUUACAUAAAAAAAAAUGAAAUAAAAUAGAUAAAAUAAUAUGAAAAAGAACUGGUUCUUCACAUAUAUUUUGGUCAAUAAAAGAAGGUUGACAUAUAAAAUAAAAUAUUUAAUAUAUCUUAUUAUAAUAAUGCAAGAUUCUAUAAAUAAAAAUUAAUUAAUAAAGUAAUAUCAUAUGAUAUUAAAAAAGAAUAUGAAAGCUAUUAUAAAUAUUUAUAAAUAAAAUAUCUCUAGACAAAGAAAGGAGGAACAUUAAUAGAGAUACAAAACUCUUCAAGAUAAGGUUUUGAAGGAAAAAAAAAAAAACUCUUUCAAAAGCUUUGGAGCUUUUUUUUCAUUUUACGGUUGAAAUCUAAAAAAGCAAACCUCUACUAGUUGACGUCUAAUAUAAUACAAGUUCUAGACCUUUCUUUGCAAAAUACCACCAAGCGAAAUUGCCAGCAGGCCGAGCACUGUAUUUACCGUAUUUACCAUGGAAAGCACAAUAAUAAUUUCUAAAAAUACGAGAAGCUAUUUCUACUUUGGCUACGUGUGCUGCAUCAUCAUCAUCAUCAUCAUCCCUACUGUUGUGGGCAUUGAUAACUUCAUCCUUUGAUUGGAUAUCAUCAUCCUUUCCUUUCUCUUCAUGCAACCACUGUACACCAAUCGCCUUUACUUGAAUAGCUAGAUCAUGUGGAAGCACUGAAAUACUCACGUCAUCACCAUCAUCAAAUGUAGGAUCACCGACCCCUAAUUUCCCGUGCAUUAGCGAUUGGAUUUCACGAACCCCGCGCUUGUAACGAAUAGGGAGGAGAUAGGCUUGACAAUGCAUGGAUAGACCAUUGGUAUUGUUUCUGAUUUCAAUAUGAAAAGGAUCAUAUAAACUAUACUCUGACGUCACACAAAACCUUGUGAACAGAUUAAAGCCACAUAUCCGGUGCGCAGGAGGAGGUGAGGAUAUUUUGAAUGAAAAGUUAUCUACAAACUCAUUCUCAAUUAGCCAUUUAUCCUCUUCCUCCUCCUCAUGAAACCUGCUUAACAUCUCAUCUUCAUCAAAUACAUAUUCGACAAAGUUGAUUAUGCCAUCCAUAAAUAUUAUCUGUACCACCAAAACAAUGUCUAUAAAAUGAGCCAAAGAAGAAUAUUCAAAUGUAGAUUUCAAAUACAAUAAAAGGGGUGAGGGAGGACCUGAAAUCUCGAUGGCUGUAUUUGAGCACUAACCGUUUUCAUUAUUCUGAACAUGUGAGAGUCAAACAAUUGGAUUAAUUCUUGCUUCAUCCAAUCUUGGAACUCGACAAAUUGUUCACAACCAUCGGUUUUAGUCCAAACGGUUAGAUUUGCAAGUCUUUGCAGUGAAUAGCAAAAGGACACAUCUAACAGCCGCAAAUGGGAUGGAAGCUCUGGGACUGCCUGAAGCAUUUUGCAAUUUCUUAAAUAUAGGAAAUCGAGUAGACCAAGACCCUUGAUGCUUUCUGGAAGAGAACGCAUUGUUGUUCCACUUAAAUCUAGUCUCGUCAAGGAGCCUGGCAGUGCAAACGAGGUAAAUCUCAACAUUUUCCUCGUUGAAAACCUAGAGGGAAAGAAUAGCUUCAAUGGAAGAGAUGUAAUGAAUGAUGUACUUGCAACAAUUCCAUCACUUUGAAGCAGCUUGCGCCCCUGAUGAUGCUCUAACUCCAUAUUCAGGCUGUUAAGAUUUGAACAACCAUCUAAAACCAGCUCUUGAAGUGAAUUCAAUCUACUCAUUUCUUCUGGAAGCUCCAUAAGACUUGUACAAUUUCUUAGAUUUAAAAUCAACAAUCUUUGUAAAUCACCAAUAGAUUCGUGAAUUUGAACCAAACGGAUGCAGUCUUCAAGUAUUAGCUUUUCAAGGGCUGGGAGACCCGAGAAGUCUGGGGUUCUAAUGAGAUCACGAGAGUGACGAAGAUCAAGAAUUUUCAAUUUUGGAAGAAACUGUGAAAAUACAUGAAUUUAGUUGUUAUCAAUUGAAACGAGAGAGAUAGCUGUAGAGAGAGACUCGAUACAUACCAGUUUGCCUUUCCAAGCAUCAAUUAGACAACUUCUAGAUAAAUCAAGAACCACCAGCUUCUCCAAGCAUACGUGAUUUGGUAUGGAUCUCAAAGACAAUCCAUGCCAACACAACCAUAUCAAAUUCUUGGGAAAGUGUUCAAAACUUCCAUGAAAAUUAGUAUAGUUUAGUUGGAGAAAUUUUACAUCUUUCAUCUUUCUAAAAGCAUCCAUGCUAAGGAUAGGAAACAAACUUGUUUGGCCAGAUUGUAAUUUUCCCUCAUCGGAAAAAUCAGAAAGCAAUUGUUGAAAGAAGUUAAGCCUGCGGCGCUUGCGGCGAACCAUUAAAUCAGUACAGACAACCUCCGCAUUAUUAUCUUUCAUUAAUGCAUGCAUAUCAAGGGUAAGGCCACGCAAUUUUUCAGCAUCCUGCAUUAAAAAUAUUAAAAGUACAUGAGAAAGGAAUGAACAUGUUAGGGCACCACACAAACCAUUUAAGCAGACAUAUAAAAAAUUUGAGCUACUUACAGUAGUUCCUUUCAAAAUUGUAAAAGCAUCCUCGUGACGCCAUAUUCUUUGACAUUUGGUUGAUUGUUGACGAGCAAUUUCCCUUCCCAUAUCUCUUACUAGUUGAUGCAUCCACAACCUCUGAUCGUUGUUGAUUUCAACAAGACAUCUAUCGAUGAGAUUGUCAAUCCCAAAUCUUGCACCUUUAUCGAGCCCAUCGAGUAUCCUAACUGCAUCAUCCACAUCCAUUCCAUUGAUGAAACAUGCGAUAUCAAGGAAUAAGUUCUUCAGAUAAUCACCAUCAAGAAAGUCAUAACUUAUUCGAAGAACCUUUUGAACUUCAAAAUUAGGAAUCACUUCCAAUUGUUGUAAUGCGCUUUCCCAUAUCUCUCUUCCUUUUCCGGACAAUGAAGAGCCAAUAACUUGAAGAGCUAAUGGAAGUCCAUUACAAUGAUGUACUAUUCUCCAAGAGUCUUCUACAAAACCAUCAACAGGGUAAGCUCUUCCAAAGGCAUUCCAACUGAAAAGCUCAAGCGAUUUUUUGUUAUCCAAAGGUUCGACUUCGCACCGGACCCACUCAAUAUCAUUAGCUGAAAACAGACCCUUAUUUCUGGUUGUUACAAUGAUUUUACUUCCUUUACAAAGCCAAUUUUGCAUGCCAAUGAUUUUAUUGAAUUGGUCCCUUUUGUCCACAUCAUCUAGAACAAUAAGAGUUCUUCUGCAACAUAUAUUGCAUCCUUAAUUUUUAGAAUUCCUUCAUCUUCAUCAUUUAUCUCAACAGUCUUGUUUAGGAUGUCAAAAAGAAGUUGGCUCUGUAGGCAAACUAUAUCCUUCGACCUAAAAUUUGAUAGAAAGCUCUUGCCUUCAAAUUUAUAGAAGUUCUGGUUAAAAACACUCUUAGCUAUGGCUGUCUUUCCAACUCCACCAAUUCCAUAGAGUAAAGCAAUGGCACCACCAUGGGAUCCAUCUUGCAACCAUGAGUUGAUAUAUUGUACCAGAGGAUCUCUUCCAAUGAAAUGAAGGGGGGAAUAAAAUAUUUUUGGAUCCAAAUUCUUUGAGAUAUUCUCCACAAUAGAUUGGACAAACUGUGCCUCGUACCUACAUCAGAAGGUAAAAUACAACGUAGGAUAAUAAGUAGCCUCUCUAUAAAGGAUAGAAAUAAACAACAUUUAGCUAAGAAAUUAAAGCAGGUUGCGUGUCAAUGAUUGAUUGAUAGUUAAUUUUGUAGGUGCAUUAUCACCCCUUAUUAAAACCAAAUCAAGAUUGGAAAAAAAAAAACAAUGAAGAAAUCAUAAGUAUUUUAUUUUAUUUUUCUUAUAUGUUUUCUUAUCAGUAUACUUAACUGAAAGAAAUUAAGAGUUCACGACCAACAUUCUAGUCUUAUGCUCUGUGUAGUUUCAUAAAGAGAUACAACUUACCCAUCUCCUAAAUCCAUUCCAGCUAAAUCAGCCACUUCCUUCAAAGCAAUUCUCCACCUAUUCACCCGCUCCAUCUCCUCGUUGAAGCUCUUUUCAUGUUCCACAAAUGCUGCAGCGAAGCUCCCUGUUUGACGUCCGACUUGGGAUGGAUCCACAUGAUAGAAUACUGGCACAACUAUGCAGUCAGCGUUCCUCUUACGUUCCAUGAUCUUCACAAGUUCAUCGAGGCACCAUCUCGACCAAGCAUAGUUUUUGGAGAACACGAUUAUCGCUAUUUUUGAUUGCUGUAUUGCCUUCUGGAGCUCCAGUUGUAUAUUCUUUCCUCUCCGAAUUUCAUCAUCAUCUCUAAAUGUGUGAAACCCUGCAUCAACCAGGGCCUUGUAGAGGUGAUCGGUAAAGUUCUUGCGGGUGUCUUCACCUCUAAAACUCAAGAACACUUGAUAUUUACAAUAAGAAAACCGUGAAGAGUAGGAUUCUUGAUAUUUCCCAGCAGCCAUUUCAAGUCUAGCGAAGAUAAGACUUUUCAAAGAUCUGAACCAAAAAAAAUAGGAGUUGCAGGAUUCAAGUCGAUAGUUCAAGAUCGAUAGCACACCAAUAAGCUGAAGUAUUCAUAUAUUAUUAUCCUACUUUUUCUGUAAAACAAAGUGAUAGAAAAAUAUUUGUACAUUUGAUAAAUCUCUAUGCUGAACCAACAAAAUCGGUUGAUGAGACCAUCAGUAAUUAGUUUCUAACAGUGAAUUAAUUUAAGUGAUUCUCAGUUACAGCAGAGUUACAUUCCACAAUAUAACAUAAUACUAAAAGAGAUAAGAGAGAGAGAGUACCUGAAUCUUCACUCUCCCUUCGCUGAUGUUCUCUUAUCAGUUCAUCAAUUUUAUGCUUUUAAGGUUGUGAUUGAAAGUGUUGUUAUUUUUUAAAGGGAUAUUUUUUUAUAAAUAAUUAAAAUAAUUUUUUUUAUUUUAAAAAUAUUAUUUUUGAUAUAAGGGUAUUAAAAUAAUUUUAAAUAUUAAAAAAAUAAUUUUAAAUAAAAAAGUUUUAAAAUUUUUAAAAAUACAAGUUAUACUACGUUGCCAGACAAUUCUUAUAUAAACCUUACAAGUCUGGGGUAUGGGCCAUUUCCGCUUUAGGGCCAUUUUUUUUUCUUCUAAUUUUCUCAAAAUUCAAAUCAUUUAUCACGCGUAGAGUAUAAUUACCAAAAGGGACAUUAGAGACACUCAUACAAACACAAUUAGGGUAUGCUGGGUAUUGCGGUUUGAAAGUAUUUUAAAAAAAAUUUAAAAUUUAUUUAUUUAUUUUAAAUUAAUAUAUUUUUGAUGUUUUCAAAUUAUUUUGAUGUGUUAAUAUAAAAAAUAAUUUUAAAAAAAUAAAAAAAUAUUAUUUUAAUGUAUUUUGGAAUGAAAAGCAUUUUAAAAAGCAAUUGUUACCACACUCUUAAACACGCUUCGAAAAUAAAUUCUGGGUAGUUGCGUUAUUCAAUUAACUUAAGUCAAUUAUUUUAUAAAAAUAAAAUUAUUUUACUUUUUAUUUUAAAAAUAAUUUUUUGAUAUUGAUCCUAUCGGGAGUUAGCAAGGUUUAGUUAAAUUAAUAUUUUUUAUUUAAAUUUAAAUUUAAUUCAUAAAAAAUCUAAUUCACGAGUUUUUUAUAUCCAGGAACAAACCAUUAAACAUCUCAAAUUCCAUCGUAUUCAUACCUGCCAUUGCCAAUGAUUCAAAGACGCGGAACUCUGCUGUCUUGUUAAAACGAUACGUCUCCGAUAUAUCCUCAGACCAAGUCUACAACUGGGCCCAAGACAUGGGCGAAUGGUUUUAAAAUUGAGAGAGAAAGGGUGGAUUGUAAUUUUAAGACAAGUCAUCCCUACAAGUCCACUCUCUCUAUGGUAUGGAACGUUUCCGCGUGAGGAAUUUUCCAUGGCUAAUUAAUGCCGGAAGCAGAAAGUCGGAAUGUCUAGGCUUGACCAGUUAUGCAUGGAAAAAUUUGGUGCCGGGAAUUGAUGACUAUUGACAUCCUGAAGUAAGAUUAUUUUUUAAAAAACCUUUUCUAUUAAUACAUAUAUUUAAUGGGCAGCCUUUAUUAUGUUUCAAAUUGUAUAUUAAUUAGCCAAUUGCAUGUAAAUGAGUUUAAUUCUGAACAAGUCAACUGGGCCCAAGACAUGGGCGAAUGGUUUUAAAAUUGAGAGAAAAAGGGUGGAUUGUAAUUUUAAGACAAGUCAUCCCUACAAGUCCACUCUCUCUCUAUGGUAUGGAACGUCUCCGCGUGAGGAAUUUUCCAUGGCUAAUGGCGGAAGCAGAAAGUCGGAAUGUCUAGGCUUGACCAGUUAUGCAUGGAAAAUUUUGGUGCCGGGAGUUGACGGCUAAUGACCUGGUGAAGUAAGAAAAAAGUCAGAAAAUAAAUUCCACAAGUUGAUGGCUAGUGGUGACAUCCUGAAGUAAGAAUCUUUUGUUUCUAAUUAAGAGGAGAAGAUGAUGGCUAUUAACAUCAUUUCUGUUUCUCUCUUUUUUCUCAAAUCUUUUGCUUCUGUUUGCCAUCCUGAAGCUAGAAAAUAUUUCAAUAACAUAAUAUUAAAUCCCUAAAUUUUAUAUCUGUUUGCCAUUAAUUUCUCCUAGUUUUCCAUUACGUCUAUUUGCCUUUUUCUAAAAUAUCUCCUCUAUAUUCCAAUCAGCUUCUCUGAACUCACAUGCUUUUAUAAAUGUUUUUUUUUUUUUCUCAUAAGACAUCGUUUAGUAGACCAAUCAACAACAGGUCAAUUAAUUUUAUAAUAAAUAUUGUCUUCGGUUUAGACCAAAACGUAUUGUAUUAAAUGUCUUUCAAGUACUUGAGCAAAGAAAUCUGAUCAUACUAAAAACAAAUGGGGAUUGCUUUCAAUUUACUCCUAACAUUUAGGACUAAUGCAUCAUUUCUUUUAUUUUAGACUGAAAAUAUUUUUUAAAAGUUAUGAAAAAUUUAGAAAUAUCAUAUUAUUUGCUGAUUAUAUCAAAUUUGGUCUUCAAACUUUAUAUAUAUAUAUAUAUAUAUUAUUUUGAAUAUUUUUUUCAAUUUCAUCCCUUAGAAUUUGAUUUUUAUAUUAACUUUGAUACUUAUUUUUAUAAUUAUUAUUUGUUUUUCCCUUACCAUUUUUUAAUUGAAAAUUUUUUUUAUCUAUCAAAUUUGAUCCUCAUUCUUUUGAUUGUUACUUAUUUUAUUUGAAAUAAUUUAUGAAAUGAUAAUUAUUAUUAUUUUAAUUUCUUCAUCUUUCAAUUUUUUUAUUUAUUAUAUUUGAUCUCUAUUAUUUGAUUAUUAUUUAUUUUAUUUGAGAUAAUUUAUGAAAUUAUAUUUUUUAACAAUUUCAUUCUCAUUCAACUUCUAAAUUUGUAAGAUUUGUUCCUCAUUGUUUUAAUAAACUUGAAAAAAAUAAAACAUUAAUAAGUUAUUUUCCAGCUUAUUUUCCAUAACAUAACCAAACACUACAAAGUGUUUUCCAACUUAUUUUCUAUUACACUACCAAACAUCAAAACAUAAUUUACUUUCCUGGAAUUUACUUUCCCAAAAUUCACUUUCCAAAAGGAAACUACUUUCCAGCAAACAAACGGGCCUUAAAAAAAUUUAAUAAGUGAAAGUCAAUUUUGGUCCCUAUUUUCUUGUUAUUUCACAAACAAACCCUCAAUUGGUCACAAUCUUUAAUAAUCUUUUCAAUUAUGACACUUGAUUUCUUUGAUUGAGCCCUUAGUAUCUUUUACAGUAUGAUCAUUGGUCUUGAUAUUCUUUAAUUUCAUCCUCAAUUGCCCUUUUAUACUUUUAAUUUUUUUGAUUUCACCCUUGAUUAAAUUAAUUUGCCUCUCAAAACGUCAACACCCAUUCAUUUUAGUCUUUGAACCUUUAAUUAUUGCAAUCUUGACACAAAUUGACUCUCAAACUUUUUUUUCCUUCAAUUAAGUCCCUAGUUGCAUUAGUUAACAUAAACCAAAUUUCAAUUAAGUCCCUAGACUUAUUGAUUCUUCUAAUUUCUAACAAAUUGACUUCUAAACUUUAUUUUUCUUUCAUUUUAGCUCCUGUUCAAGCCACUUAAACCUUUUUAAAGUUCAAUUAGGUUUUUUUAUUUUUUAAUUUAAUUGAAAAAAAAUUGAAAAAAAACUAAAUAUAACAAAAUUUUCUCAUAUGAAAAAAAUUCAAACAAUUAAGAAAAUAAAUUUUAAAAAAAAAACACACAAAACUUAGAGAAGAAAUAGGAGAAUUCUUACCUUAUAUUAGUUGUGGGUUAAUCUGAGAAUAAAAAAAAUGACAAGUUAUGAGUUAAUUAACAAAUAAAAAAUUAAACAAACCGAGGAGAAAAGAGAAGGAGAAGCCAUACCUGUUAGAGAAAAGAGGGUCGUUGCUCGAGGAGAGAAUGAGAGAGAGAAGAGAAAGAAAGAGUGGGAGGUUGGUUGGCGAGAUAAAUAGCAGAAGAGGAAGAGAGAGAAAGAAAAAAGAGAGAAGUUGUGACAUCCCCAUUUUUAUUCCGGGAUAAAUUCUCAAUUUAACAUGAAAAUUAGGAAUUUUUUUUUUUUUUUGCGUAACAUAUUAAUAGUGUUAAACUAAUUGAGAUCAAACACAAAAAGGAGGCUAGAAUUCUGAAUAAACUGUAUAUUAUGAAUGCAUAGUCUUAACCUAAUUACAAAUAAAGUAUAUAUAGGUUAAACUGAAAGUACUAUUCUACCCUUAAUAAAUAAGACAACAUAAAUAUUAUUUAACAUCUCCCCUCAAACUCACGAUGCGGCAGCUACAAGCAUCGAGAGUUUGCCAACUAGAAAACGAAAACGAGAUAUGGAAUGCGCCUUGGUAAAGAAAUCUGCAAUCUACAAUGAAGAAGGAACAAAGGGCAAAGUAAUGGUUCCAUGCUUGAGAUGAUGACGAGUAAGAUGACAAUCGAUUUCAAUGUGCUUAGUCCGCUCAUGAAAAACCGAGUUGUGAGCAAUCUGAAUAGAACUCUGGUUGUCACAAUACAUAGGAGUAGAAUGGGAAAAGGAAACUCCCAUAUCAGCAAGUAACCAACGUAACCAAAUAAUCUAUUUGGUAGUCGAUGUCAUGGCACGAUAUUCUGCUUCGGUGGAUGAUUGAGAAACAAUAGAUUGUUUCUUGCUCUUCCAAGAAAUAAGAGAAUCACCUAAAAAGAUACAAAACCCGGUAACAGACUUGCGAUCUGUGGGAUCACUACCAUGAUCAGCAUCAGAGUAUGCACGCAACUCCAAGGAAGAGGUGGAUGAAAGUAAAAGACUUUGAAAAACUGUACCCCGAAGAUAUCGCAAAAUACGAAGAACAGCUGCCCAAUGAACAGUAGUAGGAGAAGCAACAAACUGACUAACAACAUGAACAAUAUGCAAUAUCUGGACGAGUAAUGGUGAGAUAUACCAAACUCCCAACAAUAGUGCGGUAUAAAGUAGGAUCUAUCAAAGGUAAACCAUCAGAAGAAGAGUACCUUGCGUUAACCUCAAUAGGAGUAUCCACAGUCUUGUUAUCAGUAAGUCUAGCCCGCUCAAGAAUAUCUGCAACAUAUUUCGACUGAGAAAGAAGGUAACCUCUAGGUGAGUAUGCUACCUCAAUACCCAGGAAAUAUCGAAGAUAACCCAAAUCCUUCAUCUCAAAUCGUCUAGCCAACUCUGUCUUCAAAACUGAAAUACCAUCAAUGUCAUCACCAGUAAUAAUCAUGUCAUCAACAUAUAAAGACAGAAUGAUACGACCUGCAUCAGUGCACUUAAUAAAAAGAGCAGAAUCAUGACUGCUAGAAACAAAGCCAAGUGACGAGAUCACAAUAGAGAAUUUCUCAAACCAAGCACGGGGUGCUUGUUUGAGACCAUAUAAUGCUUUCUUAAGCUUACAAACAUAUCCAGAGUCAUGUGAAAUACCAGGAGGGGGUGCCAUAUAAACUUCUUCUUGAAGAUCUCCAUUCAAGAAGGCAUUUUUAACAUCAAGUUGAGAAAUAUGCCAUUGACGAAUCGAAGCUACGGCAAUAAGAGUACGAAUAGUAGUCAUUUUUGCAACCGGAGCAAAUGUCUCCUCAUAGUCCAUACCAUACUGUUGAGAGUAUCCUUUGGCAACCAACCUAGCUUUAUAUCGCUCAAUAGACCCAUCAGAAUUAGUCUUGAUCUUAUACACCCAACGACAACCAACAACACUCUUACCAGGAGGUAGAGGAACCAGAUCCCAAGUAUCUGUCUUAUGCAAUGCAGAAAGUUCCUCAUCCAUAGCUUGCUGCCAAAGCGGAUCAAGAAUUGCCUCUUUAUAGGAAGAGGGCUCAACAAGACAAUGAAUAGAGGCUAAAAAGGAAGUAAAUGAUGAAGAAUAACAAGAAUAAGCAAAAUCUGGUAGUUUUGUGGACUUACGAAUACGGAUGGACUGACGUGGAGGUGGAUCCACAAUCUCAGAUGAAGCUUGAGGGGCUGUAGAUGAGAAUGGAGCUUCAGGUGUGCCAGAGAGUAAAGUACCAGUACCUGCAGAGUUAUGAGUACAAAUUGAUCGAACAUGGGGAGAGCUAUCAUUACCAGAAUCCUCAGAAAAUGGAUCUAUACUAAUAAGAUCAGAUUUAGUCAGGUUAUGAGUAGUGGAUGGAAUAGAAAAGAAAGGUAUAUGCUCAAGGAAGACAACAUGACGAGACACAUAAAGUUUCUGAGUUAUUGGAUCAAAACAACGAUAACCCUUUUUACCUUCACCAUAGCCCAAAAAGACACAAAUAGCGGAUCGAGAGGAUAGCUUACUUCGUUCUACAUGAGGACGAAGAACGAAACAAGUACAACCAAAGACUCUAAAUGAGGAAUAAUCAGGGACAUACCCAUAUAACUUUUCAAAAGGAGAUAGACCCGAACUAUGAGAAGAUGGAAUUGUAUUAAUCAAGCUUACAGCAGUAAGAACAGCUUCUCCCCAAAACUCACUAGGAACAAAAGCAGACAACAAGAGAGAACGAGCAGUUUCGACAAUGUGCCUAUGUUUUCUUUCAGCAACACCAUUUUGCUCAGGAGUAUCUGUACAUGAAGUUUGGUGGAUGGUUCCAUCUAGGGCAAGCAAUUGGCAAAAUUUAUUAGAAGUGUAUUCCCCACCUAAAUCACACCUAAAGCAUUUGAUCACAGUAGAAUAUUGAGUUUUGAUAAGAGCUCGAAAAGCUGCAUAUAUCUCAAAGAAUUCAGAACGAUGUUUCAUUAAAUAAACCCAACAAUAACGAGUAUGAUCAUCAAUAAAAGAGACAUAAUAUCGAGACCCUCCUUUUGUGGCAACAGGAGAAGGUCCCCAUACAUCAGAAUGAAUCAAAUCAAAUGGUGAAGAAGAAACAGAAAUACUUCGAUUAAAAGGUAAGGCGGAAAAUUUUGCCAAUUUACAUCCACUACAAUCAGAAAUGUCACAAGUUUUCAAAUUUCCUAAAGCUCCUGUGGAUGCCAAAAAUCUCAAACGAGAAGACGAAACAUGACCUAGACGGGAAUGCCAUAAAUAAAAACUAGAAGAUGAAAUACUCAAACGAAAGGAAGACAAAUCAACUGUAGUAGUAGCAGCGGCAGCAGCAGCAACUGGCACUUUUAACUCAUCCAAAAUAUAUAGUCCAUUCUCCCUACGGCCUGUCCCAAUCAGCUUCUGAGACUGCAGAUCCUGUAUACAACAAAAGGAACCAGAAAACAUGACUAAAUAAUCACCAGAAUCACAUAUUUGACCAACAGACGCAAGAUUCAAUUUGAGUUGUGGAAUAAGAUAAACAUUAGGGAGAGACAUGUGAGGUGUGACAACAGAACCAACACCUGCUAAGGGCAUUUGAGUGCCAUCAGCAGUCAUAACAGGAAUGGAGGACAAAGGGGAUACAGAGGUAAAAGAUGAGGAAUCUGGAGACAUAUGAUGAGAAGCACCAGAAUCCAAGACCCAUUCAGAAUGUGACAUACCUGAGGAACUAUGAGGCAACUGACCUAUGGAAGAAGAAGCGGACAUUGCUUGUGGCUGCAAGGAGAGAAACUUCUGAAAUUGCUCAGCCAAAAUAUUAGGAUCGGUAAUAGAACUCGAGGAAGCUACUGCUGCAGUAUUGUGGUGUUGUGGUUUAUAACCCUGAGGUGGUCUAUGAGCAUUAGAUUGUGACUGAUUGCCAGGCUUCCAAGCUUGAUUCUGAUGUCUCAACUUAGGACACUGAGCCUUCCAAUGACCUUUCUGCUUACAGAAGCUGCACUCAUCGAAGCCAACCCUUGUGUGAGACUUAUUCUGAUGAUUAGAGAAUGACCUAGAAGGUACUGCUAGUACAGAAGGAUUUGAAGCAGAAAGAAUUCCUUUUUCAGAAUAAGACUGAAAACGUAUUUCUUCAGCCAAUAACUCACUGACAACAGAGUCAACAGAAGGCAGUGGAGAACGAUGCAGAAUUGAACCUCUAAGUCCUUCGAAAUCACUGCGAAGUGCUGUUAAAAACUGUACCAAUCUUUGCUGCUCUCUACGCUCAAUAUAGGCACCACAUGCCUUUAAUUCUGUCGAUUCAGUAAGAGCCAAUUGAUCCCAAAGAUCUGUCAUAGCAGAAUAAAACUCUUGAAUACUCAUAUUCUUCUGAUGAAGAGCUCGUAUGUCAUUCUCUAAUUGAUACUGUUUUGCAAAAUUUGAUUGUGUGAAUAACCUUUGCAGAUGAUCCCAAACCUCUUUUGCUGUCUCAUAUUUCGCCAACUACGUACCUAUUGAAUGCUCAACAGAAUUGUUGAUCCAAGUAUCUAUCAAACCAGCAUCCCCCUCCUCAAUAUUCUUAGGUAUCACAUAAGUUCCACUAACAUACCCCCACAUCUUCUUACCCUUAAGGAAAUUUUUCAUUACAUAACUUCAAUAUGAAUAGUUCUUCUCAUCCAACCUCACACUCACAGACUGAAGCGAAUCAUCUCUUUCAGUAGCCAUAAUCAACAAUCACAAAUAACUAGAAUGCAAAAGCAGCGGAAGACAAAAUACUCAAUUGCAGAAACUAAACAAAUAUCUUCUCGAAAUUAUACGAUUACUCCCAAAACACAAAACAAAGAGUACGAACUCAAUUGCAGAUACCAAAUUGCAGAAGCUGAAGGGAAGACGAAAUACCAAAAUAAUUGCAGAAACUGUCGAAAUACCAAAAUAAUUGCAGAGACUGUCGAAAUACCUAAUUUUGCAGAAGCGGAAGACAAUUUCUUAGAUUUAAAAUCAACAAUCUUUGUAAAUCACCAAUAGAUUCGUGAAUUUGAACCAAACGGAUGCAGUCUUCAAGUAUUAGCUUUUCAAGGGCUGGGAGACCCGAGAAGUCUGGGGUUCUAAUGAGAUCACGAGAGUGACGAAGAUCAAGAAUUUUCAAUUUUGGAAGAAACUGUGAAAAUACAUGAAUUUAGUUGUUAUCAAUUGAAAACGAGAGAGAUAACUAUACAGAGACUUGAUACAUACCGGUUUUCCCUUCCAAGCAUCAACUAGACAACUUCUGGAUAGAUCAAGAACCACAAGCUUCUCCAAGCAUAUGUGAUUUGGUAUGGAGCUCCAAGACAAUCCAUGCCAACAUAACCAUAUCAAAUUCUUGGGAAAGUGCUCAAAACUUCCAUGAAAAUUAGUGUAGUUUAGUUGGAGAAAUUUUACAUCUAGCAUCUUUCUAAAAGCAUCCGUGCUGAGGAUGGAAAACAAACUUGUUUGGCCAGUUUGUAAUUUUCCCCCAUUGGAAAACUUGGAAAGCCAUUGUUGAAAGAAGUUAAGCCUGCGGCGCUUGCCACAAACCAUUGAAUCAGUACAAACAACUUCUGCAUAAUGAUCUUCCAUUAAUGCAUGCAUAUCAAUGCUAAGGCCACGUAAUUUUUCAGCAUCCUGCAUAAUAAUAUUAAAAGUACAUGAGAAAGGAAAGUAGAUGAAUGAAUAUGUCAAGGCACCACAAACCAUUUAAGUAGACAUUUAAAAAAAUUCAGCUACGUACACUAGUUCCUUUCAAAACUGUAAAAGCAUCCCCAUGAUGCCAUAUUCUUUGACAUUUGGGUGAUUCUUGGCGAGCAAUUUCCCUACCCAUAUCUCUUACUAGUUGAUGCAUCCACAACCUUUGAUCAUUGUUGAUUUCAACAAGACAUCUAUCGAUGAGAUUAUCAAUCCCAAAUCUUGCACCUUUAUGGAGCCCAUCCAGUAUCCUAACCGCAUCAUCCACAUCCAUUCCAUUGAAGAAACAUGCGAUAUCAAGGAAUAAGUUCUUCGGAUAAUCACCAUCAAGAAAGUCGUAACUUAUUCGAAGAACCUUUUGAACUUCAAAAUUAGGAAUCACUUUCAAUUGUUGUAAUGCGCUUUCCCAUAUUUCUCUUUCUUUUCCGGACAAUGAGGAGCCAGUAACUCGAAGAGCUAAUGGAAGUCCAUUACAAUGACGUACUAUUCUCCAAGAGUCUUCUACAAAACCAUCAACAGGGUCAGCUUGUCCAAAGGCAUUCCAACUGAAAAGCUCAAAAGAUUUUUCAAUAUCUAGCGGUUGGACUUUGCACCGGACCCACUCAAUAUCAUUAGCUGAAAACAGACCCUUAUUUCUGGUUGUUAUAAUUAUUUUACUUCCUUUACAAAGCCAAUUUUGCAUGCCAAUGAUUUUAUUGAAUCUGUCCCUUUGGUCCACAUCAUCUAGAACAAUAAGAGUUCUUCUGCAACAUAAGGCAUCCUUAAUCUUCAGAAUUCCUUCAUCUUCAUCAUUUAUCUCAUCAAUAGUCUUUUUUAAGAUGUCGAAAAGAAGUUGCCUCUGUAGGCAAACUAUAUCCUUUGAUCUAAAAUUUGACAGGAAGCUCAUUCCUUCAAAUUUAUAAAAGUUCUGGUUAAAAACACUCUUAGCUAUGGUUGUCUUUCCAACUCCACCAAUUCCAUAGAGUAAAGCAAUGGCAGCACCAUGGGAUCCAUCUUGCAACCAUGAGUUGAUAGCUUGUACUGGAGCAUCUCUUCCAAUGAAAUGAAGGGGGACAUGAAACAUUUUUUGAUCCAAAUUCUUUAAGACAUUCUCCACAAUAGAUUGGACAAACGGUGCCUCGUAACUACAUCAAAACAUAAAGUACAAUGUACGAUAAUUAGUAGUCUCUAAAAAUAGACAACAUUUAGCUAAGAAAUUAAAGCAAGUUGCAUGUCAAUGAUUUGAUAGUUAAAACCAAAUCAUGAUUGGAAAAAAAAAAAAACCAAUGAAGAAAUCAUAAGUAUUUUAUUUUAUUUUUGUUUAUGUUUUCUUAUCAGUAUACUUAAUUGAAAGAAAUUAAGAGUUCACGACCAGCAUUCUAGUCUUAUGCUAUGUAUAGUUUCAUAAAGAGAUACAACUUACCCAUCUCCUAGAACCACUCCAGCUAAAUCAGCCACUUCCUUUAAAGCAAUCCUCCACCCAUUCACCCGCUCCAUCUCCUUGUUGAAGCUCUUUUCAUGUUCCACAAAUGCUGCAGAGAAGCUCCCUGUUUGACGUCCGACUUGGGAUGGAUCCACAUCAUAGAAUACUGGCAAAACUAUGCAGUCAUCAUUCCUCUUACGUUCCAUGAUCAUUACAAGUUCAUCAAGGCACCAUCUCGACGAAGCAUAGUCUUUGGAGAACACGAUUAUCGAUAUUUUUGAUUGUUGUAUUGCCUUCUGGAGCUCGAAAUCUAUAUUCUCUCCUCUCCGAAUUUCAUCAUCAUCUCUAAAUGUGUGAAUCCCUGCAUCAACCAGGGCCUUGUAGAGGUGAUCGGUAAAGUUCUUGCGGGUGUCUUCACCUCUAAAACUCAAGAACACUUGAUAUUUACAAUUAGAAAAGAGAAGAGUAGGAUUCUUGAUAUUUCCCAGCAGCCAUUUCGAGUCUAGCAAAGAUAAGACUUUACAAAGAUCUGGACAAAAAAAAAAGGAAUUGCAGGAUUAAAGUCGAUAGAUCAAGAUCGACAGCACACCAAUAAGCUGAAGUGUUCAUAUAUUAUUAUCUUACUUUUUCUGUAAGACAAUUUUCAAGUUAUUUCCCAGCAAUCAACUCCUCCAUGCCCUUUCAGAAAAAUACUUGUAGAUAUGAUAAAUCUCUAUGCUGAACCAACAAAAUCGGUUGAUGAGAUCAUCAAUAAUUAGUUUCUAAUAGUGAAUUAAUCGAAGUGAUUCUCAGUUACAGCAGAGUUACAUUUCACAAUAUAACAUAAUACUAAAAGAGAUAAGAGAGAGAGAGAGAGAGAGUACCUGCAAUCUUCACUUUCCCUUCGCUGAUGUUCUCUCAUCAGUCCAUCAAUUUUCAGUUUUUAAGUCAACCUCACAAGUCUCUGGGGUCUGGGUCAUUUCCCGCGUUAGGACCAUUUUCUUUUUUUAUUCUUUUUUUUUAUUUGCUCAAAUCAUUUAUCACGCGUGGAGUAUAAUUACCAAAAGAGACAUUAGAGACACUCACACAAACACAAUCCCUUUCAUCAACUCACACGGUUCUUCACUUCUUCUUACUUCACCCACCAGUAUCAUCAAGGCUCUUCGUAUCUUACCAAUCUAUUAGUUGGUCAGUUUGUCGGUGGAGUUGAAAUCAAAAAAUUUGGUUUUUUAGUGAUUUUAUAUUUGAGUUGUGUAAUUACUAAUAUAAUAGUGAUUAAAAUUUUUAGUUUUUUUAUUUCAGUAUAUUAAAGAAAAAAUAAAAAAUAUAUUAUUAAAACGAAAAACUAAACAAACUUUUAAACACGGAUAUUUUACAUAUCAUACACAGAGUUCUGAGUAUUUGAAUCAUUGGCAAAGGCAGGGAUGGCAGGAGGGGAAGUAUCUGUGUAUGAUAUAUUACAUAUCAUACGCAGAGUUCUGACCUUCUUGUUCUUUAGGAUUUUUCUUCCCACAUAUAUUAAGAGCACCCAUGGGUCGGGCCAAUCUUACAUUAAUUAACUAUAUAUAAUUAAUGUGUAUAAUUUCUUUUACAGUGCUUUCUCUUACUUCCAGCGCAAUAUUCUUUUUUCUUUCUUUCUUUUGUGAAAUCCAACACAUCAAAUUAUGUUAAAUUAAAUUUUGAACCUGGCACUUAAAGUAGCACGUAUCAAACUUAAGAUCAAAAUCAAGAUAAAGUUAAAGUAAAUUUGAUGUUUUUUUUAUAUAUAUAAAGUAAAUCUGAUAAAGUUACCUGCAAUCCUCACUUUCCUUCGCUGAUGUUCUCUUAUCAGUUCAUCAAUUUUCUGCUUUUAAAUCAACCUUGAAGGUCUCUGUGGUAUGGGCCAUUUCCGCGUUAGGACCUUUUUUUUUUUCUUUAAUUUGCUCAGAAUAAGAGAAGCUAUUUCUGCUUUUGAUACAGGUACACAUCACUAUUGGGAAAGUGCUCAUAACUUCCGUAGAACUUGUGUAAUUUAGCUGGAGAAAUUUUACAUUUUGCAUCUUUCUAAACGCAUCCGUGCUGAGGACAAGAAACAAACUUGUUUGGUCAAUUUGCACUUGUUCCCCCAAGAAAAACUCAGAAAGCCACUAUUGAGAGAGGAGUGUAAAUCAGUGCAAAGAUCUCUGUAUCAUGUUGAUCAUUGCCUGGGCCAAUUGGAGUGCAUUCUAACUCAUGUUUUAUGUGCGUUCUUAGUCGUGUUUGAUUCAAUGGUUACCUUUGGUGCACCUGAUCGGCAAAUCGCCUGGAAAAAGCUGCCCAGAAUGCUUAGCACCUAACAAAAUCGGAAUUAGAGGAAUUUGCUAGAGCAACAGAAGAGUAAGCAAUCGAAUUGUUCUGUGUUCAUGUAGAAAUUCUCAUAAAUGUGGUUUUGAGGUUGGGCUGCAAUCAAUUUGGAAAGAUUUUGGUCCAUGCGAUGAGAGCAUUCCUUCUGUACUCUGUUAAGUUGCUUCAUUUUUUUUCUUUCAUUUUCCUUUGCACUCAUAUUUGCUCUUGCUGUAUUCAUCUAUCUGGAAGAGAUGUUAGAGAUGUGUGUCAACAGGCAGAACGAUCAUGUGCAUCAAAGGUAACCAACUAAACAUCUCAUGUCCUCUCACAUCGUAUUGUUUACAUGUCUUUGCAUUCGCAGCAUAAUUCGAGGACAAGCAAGUAAAGAUGGAGAACAAGGAAGUCUUCCACCUCUGGCAGAAUACACCAAAAAACUCCAUGAAUUGAAGGUAGGCUCUAGCUAGCAUUGUAGAGCAGAAAAUUCAAGGUUCUAAGCAUAUCAUAUCUACAUGUUUCAGUCUUCCCCCUCUGGCAGAAUACAUCAACAAGCUCCAUGAAUUUAAGGAAGGCUCUAGCUAGCAUUGUAUAGCAGAAAAUUCAAGGUUAUAAGCAUAUCAUCUCUACAUGUUUCAGUCUUCCCCCUCUGGCAGAAUACAUCAACAAGCUCCAUGAAUUGAAGGAAGGCUCUAGCUAGCAUUGUAUAGCAGAAAAUUCAAGGUUCUAAGCAUUUCAUCUCUACAUGUUUCAACCUCUCACCUCUGGCAGAAUACACCGAAAAGCACCUUGAAUCGAAGGAAGGCUCUAGCUAGCAUUGCAGAACAGAAAAUUCGAGGUUCUAUUAUGCACCCACAGAAACCUCAAGUGGAUACAUGUUAGAAAGAUUGACAGAGGAAUUGUAAUUUCAAUGUUAUAUAGCACAAACCCUAGGUAUAUCAAAAGAUGUAUAGCAUGCAUACGAGUCCUAAUAAAUCAGCAGAAGGUCAAUUUCAGGUUUUGCAGUAGGAAUUCUGUACUUAGGGUUUGCAGAACAGUAGUUAGGAUACCACACCAUCAAACAUAAUGCAAAGAAGCAAUGGAUGCAGAUCUCUUUAUUGCUCUGUCCAUUCUUGACUUAAAUAGAGAGAAAACAUCAAGCAGAAAUUUUUAUUUGUUGAAAAGAAAAGAGAAGAAAAGGGCAAGAAACCAGGGCCGAAUACAAAACAAAUAGACUUCAAAAGAAGAAGUUGCAUUGUAGCAAACUUAGCAGCAAAGCUCCUUCCCUGCAUUAACCAAUCACGACUCAGUGAGUUAAGCAGUCAAAAAACAUAUAAAAGUCCGAAACUUUUUCAUUGAGAGAGAAUGAACUGUACCUUGACAGAAUGGGCAUCUCCCCCUCUUCUUCUCCAACUCGUUUCCUCUUUCUACUCGUUCCUUUCCCGGCCACAAUCGAAGCAAUCUGCAACUGAGUCUGCAACAUCAUUCUAGUCAACUCAGCCUCCAACUCCAUCCUCCUUUUCUCUGCCUCCAACCUUGAAGCCUCUCUUGCCUUGAUCAUCUCCAUCUCUGCAAGGUCCAUUCUCGCCAUUGACUCCGAGAAGACCCGGAAACUCGCUGCAAGAUCAGCAAGUCUUGGAGGUGACUCGGAGCUUACAGAGUCAGAACUCAGUGGAUUGUUAGAAUCCUCGCUGUCCGAAGGGACUUCACCAGUUACCAUUCCAGCAUCACAGGCAUGCUUUAAACGGUUCUCCUCUUCCCGGUUCGGUCUGGCUCGAUCGGCUGCGUCUGCCAUUACCUUAUCUUUGUUCUAUUCUACCAUGCUCUCCUACCAUUAUUAUCACAGGGUCACUCAUAAAGUGAAGAUUCUGCCACGUCAGCUAACUUUGUUGUUAAUGGGACCCGCCAACAUCUCGAUGUCUCCUUACUUUGAUGAUUUAAAAGUAGUGAGUUGCCCAACCAAGGCAGUAAACCUAGCAUUUGAUGUCUUGAUUAGUGGUGGAAGGGGAUGUUCCUUUUCAUCUCACCAUGUUUCAAACUUUAUUAUUUGUUAUUUUUAUGAUGCCUUAUAUAUUUAUUAGAUUUGUAAAAUAUUUAAUGGGUCAUAAAAUUAAUUGUAAUACACUCAAACUGAUCCAGAUAUUCUAAAAUAUUUGUGUCAAGGAGAUGUGUGUACUUUUAUGUAUGUAUAACCAUGUGAGUGCGCAACAAUUUAAAUAAAAAUCAUCUCUAAUUCAAGAAUUUAAAUCAAUAAUUUAUAUAUUUUGUGAUCUCUCAUGGUUGGAGGUGAAAUUUAAGAAAAAAAUAUAAUAGAUAAAUAAAUCAAACCUUUAUAUAUUAAAAAAAAAUUACACAACAAAAAAUAUAGAAAAAUAAUUUUAAACUAAAACUUGAGUGAAAUAUUAAUUAUUUCAGGUAUCAAGUAUUUAGACAUUAUAUAUGGGAAUAUCUAAUAAAAAAAUAUAUGAUUAUGAGAGAUUAUGAGAUUAAAUAUAAUAAUGGAAAUCAUCUCUAACCUAAAAAAUUCAUAUGAAUAUCCAAAAAGUGUAAAUUAAGAAAGAAAAUUGCUGAUUAAUGAAUAGAUGAUUGAUUGGUAUAGGUGUCGAACUCUCAAUUAUCAUGGACGAUGACUUGAACCUAGAGUUACUAGGUCCAUGAAUCUAGCACUUGCGAUCGAGUUUCCACACUUCUUUGCAUGGAAUUUUAGACCCUUUAUUUUUAUGUUUUAAAAGUAAUUUGUAAGAAAAAUAAUUAUUUUUUUAUAUUUUUAAAUUAUUUUAAUAUAGUAAUAUUAAAAAUAUUUAUAUAAAAAAAAUAUUAAUGAUCGCAUUAAUAAUAUGUUAUUACUACUUUCAUGCUCGACCCUUGCAAAAGAAAGAUGAAUUUCAUCCGGAUUUCAUAAUAUAUUAAUGAUCAAUUUCUUAUUUACACAUCAUUUGUUAUUUGUUAUUGAUAUUCUAUAAAACUGUUUAGGCAUAAGAGUUGAGUUGAAAGUUUUUUUUAAAAAAAAUUGAUUCUUGAAUUUUUUUAUAUAGUUGAUGAUCUUGGAAUAAUUAAAUUGACAUAAUUUCUAUAUAAUUAAUUUUGAAUUUAAAUCAAAUAAAAAAUUAAAUUUAAUAACAACACAAUUUUUUUGUAGUUUAAAUAUCUGUUGAUAUGUCUAAAAUUAUUUUUUUAUUAUUAAGUAAUGGACAAGACAUGCAUGAAGUAGAAACUGACUCGUAGUUACAGUUACCAUCGCUAAUCUUUGUAUAAAAGGAAAUAUAUAUAUAUAUAAAUUACCGUACCAAAAUUAUUAAUAUCUGCUGGUUAUAGGCUUUUUCUUUCUUCCUAAACCUCAUCGAGUCUCAGCAAAUCUAUCCAAAGCAAAACAAAAAUGGCGUCAAGGGACAAGAAACCAGCAAAACCCUCAAGCAGUCGAGCCGGAGGUAUCCGUACUCUCUCCGAUCUGAACCGGCGUUCCGGGCCUGACUCUGACAGCGACGACGAAGAUGCUCCUCAAGAGUACUACACUGGUGGAGAGAAAAGGUAACAAACAAAUACCCCCUUUAAAACCCUAAUUAUAUAUCGAGAUUUACUUCUUCUGGGAUUUCAAAUUUUGAUUUUUAAUGUAAAGUUGCAAUCUUUUUUGGAUUAGCAAUAAUGGGUUCCUUUUAUAAUUGAUGAAUUCAUUGAUUUGUUUGUUAAUUGGCGGGCUAGUAGUGAUAAUUGAUUGAAUUUUGAAGUGGAUUUUUAGUGCUGAGGGUUGACGAUGAGUCUUUUGAGAAGAAAAAUGAAUGGGGCGGGUGUCUUUAGUCGUGGUAAGAAAGAUACUUGAGUUUAGGCAUUGAAAAUCAUGAAGUAGGAAGUUGCGCAUUUGAGAGUUAGAUAAUUAGGUGGAGGGAUAGUAUGGAUAGGGUUUCUUGGUUUUAUUGCCUGGUUGUGUAGUGUUAGUUUCCUCGGUCAAUGGAAACAGUCCUGCCCCUUAGACGGAUGUAAAUGCUGUCAUCUAUUGUAAAUCAAAAAUUGUCAUUUUGAUUAUUAUUUUGUUUAGGCGAGCAUUGGACUUGCUGAUUUGAAAAUGCUUUUGGGGUGGGUGCAAGAGGAUCUGGAUGACAGCAUUGGUAGGAUCUGAUAGCGAUGGGAUUUGUUUAUAGAGCUUGCUUUUUGUAGAGAUUCAUUUACUAUUGAUGCCAGAGCUGUAACAUAGGUAGAGAAGAAUCAUCUUACUCAGUCUCGACUCUAGGCAUGUAGACUGAGUACUGAGCAAAGAAAGCUCCAUGGUUCUGGAAUGUUUAUAGAUGAUGGCUCUUUAGUGCAUUGUUAGCUUUAUUUCUGUCAUAUAUUUAUCGGCCGUGUCAUAAGCUAUUCCGUUAUAAUUUGUAUUUAAAGCAUUUAUAAUUUCCAAUCCUUUGUAAUUUUGUAAGGAACCAAAUUUGAUCUUGGUGUAUUUUCAUAUUUUCAAUAUUUGUUAAUUCAAUAAUUUUUAGAUUUUUGCUCUUUAUCUUGCAAAUGUUAGAAUGCUUUUCAAUCCCACAACUGUGGCUCCUGAAAUAUUUCACAAAGCUGUAGUUGCUAAUGCCUAUGUCUAUCAUUUGUUUUUAUCUGACUUGUUGCCCUUGGUCAUUCCUUCCUUUAUAUAAUAUAUGUAUGAAAUUUGUUUAUUUAAGUACCUUGCGCAUUUCUAAUUUUUACGGUUGCAGUGGUAUGCUUGUCCAAGAUCCUACAAAGGGUAAUGACGUGGAUGCAAUUUUCAAUCAAGCUAGACAGCUUGGUGCUGUUGAAGGGCCUUUGGAGAAUAUUAAUCAAUCUUCAAGCUCAAGUAGCUUUAGUGGAACUGGUAGAUUACUCUCAGGGGAGACUGUACCAUCUGCUCCUCAACAACCUGAAGCUGUUGUUCACAAUAUUGUUUUCUGGACGAAUGGUUUCACUGUAAAUGAUGGUCCCUUGAGGAGUCUGGACGAUCCUGAAAAUGCAUCUUUCUUAGAGGUAAUAGCAAUACAGAUAUAAAAUAAAUAAAAUAAAUUAUAGAGUGAGAAGAAAAUUUUCACAAAGUGGAGUUUUGAUUUGUAGUUGGUGAUUGUUUCCACCCCUUAUGUGUGAGAAAAAUUUAAAGUUCGUGGUAAUUGCAUCAUUCUCAAUCAAUAUCUUUUCACUAUCUUGCUUGUUUCAAUAAUGACUAAUGAUUCUGCUAGAUAGGUAGUUCAUCCUAAGACUUCUUUUUCUACCUUCUCUUGAACCUUUACUUAUAGCAGCAUAUGCUAGGGCAGCUUUUGUUUUAUGUCGUCAUGUUUUACUUAUUCCUGCUCCCUUAUUUCUUCGUUAGUAAUGUUUGUGGUGAUAUUAUUAUUUUGUUUUAUAAUGUUUUAUUGCAGAGCAUCAGGAAGUCCGAGUGUCCGAAGGAGCUUGAACCAGCGGAUAGAAGGUCCUCAGUUCAUGUCAAUUUGGUUAGGAGGGAUCAAAAGUCCCCAGUGAGUCUCUUUCUCUCACUCUUUUCUUACUUAGACUAAUAAUUAUUUUAGAACUUUAGAAAUUGUCAUCCUUUUUUAAUCCCCGAGUCAGUGUUUUGGUCAGUAAUUGUUCCCGAAAAGAGCAUCAGCAUGCUUUUACAUGUGUGUUUGAAAUACAUCGGUGUUGGUACAUGUGUUUGAAUGACAUUGGUGCUGAGCUGUACUGACACUCCUCUGUCAUUGUCUUCCUGCAGGAACCAGAGAGGCAGCGCCAUCUUCCAUUCCAAGGUGUAGGGAGAACUCUAGGAAGCAGCAGUACUGCACUUGCAACUGAACCAACUGCUGCUUCUGCUCCUCUGAACUCUGCCCCAACCCCUUUUAUGGGCCUGGUUGUGGAUGAAACACUGCCAUCGACUUCAAUUCAGCUUAGGCUGGCUGAUGGGACCCGCAUGGUGGCCCACUUUAAUAAUCAUCACACAGUCAAUGACAUUCGAUCCUUCAUAGAUGCUUCCAGGCCUGGGGCUGCCCUUAAUUAUCAACUGCAGUUGAUGGGGUUCCCACCUAAGCUUCUUACUGAUCCAACACAGACAAUAGAGCAGGCAGGCCUUGCCAAUUCAGUUGUUAUUCAGAAAUUCUAGCAAAAGCUGCAAGAGGGUUGCAUACUGUCUCUAGGCAAGAUGGAGCUGUUUCUCGCAGCAAGUGAACCGAUUUUAUGAACAUGAAGACCUUGAAUAUAUGUUUCCUUGUAUACAAAAAGGAGGGUUGGCGGCUGGUUGAUUGGAAAAUGGAGUUGAAUUUUGUGAUUCCAAAAUGUAUUCUUCUGCGUUGUCUUGUAAAUUGAAUGCCGUUGUUUUGCUUGCUUGACAUUUUCUCGCUUCCCACUUUAUUCAUGUUGCUGGCAUCUGUUCUUCCCCUACAGUCGUUCAAACCAGAGAAACCCAUGCAAGCAUGGCCCUACUUGGUGAAUAGGAUUGAAGUAAAUGAGUACGAGGAACCAUGACUAGAUCCUUGCUGGAUUAGCACUUGCAAAAUCUGCAGUAACCAGCCCAUGGCUCACAAGCCCAGCCCUGAACUGAGGAAAGGACUGUAGCCUUAACAGAGUGGCUAGGCACUAGGCGGCUACAGUAACAUGCCAUGUAUAGUCCUGGACUCGAGGUCGAAGUCUACAAUCUAAAAAUGUCUCUUCUUACCUAACAUCCUUUACAAAGUAAGACUAUAAAAGAUCUCUGUCUCUAAAGCGGAUGCACGCAAGGUAUCUUAUUCACUACUUGGUAAGGCAUCUAAUGAUCACAGUGAGCCGGUGAGGCAUCUCAAAACACCCCUCUCAACAGUUUCUAUCCCCAUUCAUUGUGCCAUGGAUUUGACAAGAUAAAGAUUCUUUUGUCGGCCAAAAUAACCCGUUUGUGCUCCCAUUUGAAAAUUUCCCCUCUUUAGGGCUCGCCGGACUGAAGGGUCCCCCUGAGCCCAUGUGCUAGCCAUGCAUCAACAUGACAGCCUUGCAUGAUUUAGAGCCCGUUAGGCGACAUGGUAUUUUUGUAAGUAUCCCCCCUCAAAAGUCACAAAAAAAAAAAGGUUUUGUAAUUUUCGAAAAGUUGCUUAAAGGCUAGAAAUCAGAAGUUAUUUAUAAUUAUAAUUGCAGAUUUUUUCUGAAGUUUCAUCCAGAAAAGAAACUAUGGUUAACUCAUGUAUUAUUUUUAUUUAAAACAAUAUUAUUCCGAAUGUUUUUAAGUUUUUUUGGUGUUAAAAUGGUUAAAUCACUUAAUUGUAGCUGUGUGAAGAUCAAAACUGGUCUAAAUUAAAACAUUAUUUGAAUUUAAUUUUAAAUUAGGAGUUUUCUAAUUCUAACUAGUGAGAUUGAAUUAGGUUUAAUAAUUAUGCUCGGAAGAACAUUUUAGUGAAAUAUCUCCAAAAUUUUAUUCACUACUAUAUAUAUCUAUACACUUAAAUAAUGCUAUACACAUAGAUAGCACUUGAUGCAUGAAACCAGACAAAACAAGUUCAUCUGCAAGUUAGUUGGUGUGUUCCGAAAGCUCCUUGUUUUUCCCCAUGGGACGACAAACUCAUCUUGUCCAGCCAAAUUUCUUCUGCUCGCCAAACGCACCCUCUCAAGCAAGUCAUCGGGGGUCAUGUCAAGGAACAUGUACAAAAGGCCAUAGAUAGGAUCAUAGGUGAGCUAGCUGCUCAUGCCUCGUGUAGCAAAGCAAGAUUCCCGGCCUCCUCUUGUUGCCAAUUUGCGAGCGAAUAUCAGACCAUUAGGGAAACACACUGAUAGCUUCACGUCCACAUUUCAAAGAAACCGAGAGUGGUGCCAUCCAACUUUAUGAAUCAAAUCAGUGGUUGGAUUGUUGAUUGAAGAUCUUCGCUUCUGUGGUGGUGCUAGUGCACAUACAAUUUUGAAAAGAAAACUGAGACCCCACCAUUCAAAGUGGUUUCCCUCGAGGGUUAAUUUCUCCUUAAUCUACAAGUUGACUGUACUUUGCAUUGAUCAUGACGUCCCAAUUGUGGUUUAAGUUCAUAGACUGUUCGCCAAUAAUAUCGGCCUCUGAGUUGCAUCAGAUAAGUUGACCGUAUGGUUUCUGGCUUGCUGUCAAAAUCAUUAGGAGCUACUUUAAUUAUUAUCUCCAUGCUUAAGACCUCCAAGGAACUUCUUGCUUCCUAUGGCAAGGCACAAGAUAACAGUAUCCUGGUGCCUUUCUAAGCUGUCAAUGGACGAAAGCAUGCAAUUAUCAUUAAAACUCGAGUAAUCAAGUGGUUGUUGCUGCGAGCAAGACCUUUAAUCUGAGACCUACAGCUCAUUUCAUAAUUAAGCUGUCAAGGAACACAAGCAUGCAAUUGUCAUCAAGCAGAUAUCUUUACAACUUCAGCUAUGUAUGGACGCUCAUGGGAUGUUGUUGAAUCUUGCAACUCUUGCAUUACUUUCCCCUUUGCACUGCACGUUGAUCAAUGGGUGUUCAUAUGAUUUUCAUUUCUUGAAGGAACAAAAUAUAUAUAUACUCGAUUAAUAUUUUCUAUCUUCAACAAAUUCAUGCUUGUUAUUUAUGCUGUUUCAACCAAUGUCUAGUACUUUAUUUUUGUAUAGAUAUUUUUUUUUGUUUUUACCCGGGUAUCCUCACACCCUUUUAAAUAGUAAGACUAGUCUCGUUCGGGGUUCGUGGCUGUCCCUCCCAAUAAGUGCGCUUCCUGGAAAUCAAACUUGUAUUCUCACCCUUGUAGGGAUAUAGCAGUGUCUUAACCGCUAGAUCAACACUUCAUUGGUAUUUUUUUUUUUAUAUAGAUUUGAAGAUACUAUUGAAUUGACUAUAAUGAUCAAGACAGACUAUUUGAUUAUUAUCUUAAAAGAAAUUCACAUCAAAAUUAUUUUAAUAAUAUUAUUUUAUUUUUUUAUCACUGAAAUCAAAUAUAUUUUUAUUCUUUUACAAGUAGUGUAUUAGUGAAACACAAUCUAAUAAAGUUAUUGUUUGGAAAAUGAGUUUCAACAUGAUUUUUAUCAAGAUUUGAUUUUAUUCUACUUAAAAUUAAUUAUUUUUUAAUAUAUUCAAAACAUUUAGAUAUGUUAAUAUUAAAAAUAAAUUUAAAAAAUAAAAAUAAAAAUAAAUUAUUUUAAUAAUUUUCUAAAUAAAAAAAUUUUAAAAAACAAUUUUUAUAACAUCAUCAAACAAAUUCAAAUACUUAGCACGCUCACAAAGUUAAUCAAGAAGAUAUGAACAACACCUUGAUCAAUAUCUAGGCCAUUGAAAAUGUUUGGAAAACUUGAUUUUGGAGGAUUAGAGCAGCAGGAUCGAAUCAUCCUAACUUUUAUUGACAAUUCUGAAGGACAUAAACACUUGUUCUCCUAAACAGUACAUGACAUCAACCUCACCCUUCACAAUUCACACCAGUCUUGACACAAUUCUAAUGACAAAUUAUAAUCUCCAACACCUGUAAACAGAAGAUUAGCCAAGGUCUGAUCAUGGCCAGGUGGCCUUCUACUUAAUUUAUUUAAGCUCAGCUAAUAAUUAUAUCCUGUAUCGUUUUAAUUUUGCUGGUUCAUAAAUAAAUAUUUUACCAUGGCGGAAAUUAGUGUAGCAAUUGACUUGCCAGGCCAGGUCCUGAGUAAACGGGUAAUCAAGCUGACUUGUCAUGCUAAGCUGCAGAUCGAUGGGUCAUUGAGUUAACUCGUUAAGUCAGGCCGGGUCCCAUGACACUAAAACGACAACGCCGGUGGCCCUUCCUUGUGUUGUUGUUGGGCGACUAAUCUGAACGUGUAGCUCAAUUUGACAGGAAUGGACGUUCUUUGUUUACAAUAAUAAAGAUAGAAUUUCAAACAAAAGUAUCAUCAAUUGGAUUCCACGGGUUAGUAGAGAACAAUGCUAAAUAGCUAGUUUGAUCACGAUGAUUAGUUGUUUCUCUCUUGCACUUCAAUUAUGGUUCCAUUUAGAAUUUGUAAUUGCUUGUUUAUGCUUUUUAAAUAUAUUUUUUAUGAUUUUGAAUCUUUUGAUAUAUAAAUAAAUAAAAUAAAUUUUAAAAUUUAAAUAAAAUUAUCUUCAUGAAUUUUCAAGUUAAAUUCAUUUUAAAAAACAAUCUAACACUGUCUUCUUUACUAUUCUUGUAAAACUAUCAGGCUAGGGUCCUCUGAAUGCCAAGAUUGUUGUCUUUCGUUUUGAGAUCUUCAUUAUUCUCACAGAACCAUCAGGCUAGGGUCCUCUGAAAUCUUGAGGAGCAGCCAUGGAAUCUUUUUCUAUUAAGUUGUGCUGGUGGAAUAUCCAUUGAAUGUUCAUGCAAUAAGCACUACGGUUCUCAACUGUCUGCAAUGAAUGAUUAUAUAAAGACUAAAAAGAAGCCCAAGUGAAGAUCCAUUGCACCUCGAAGUCAAGAAGCUUCUCUGUUUAUGGCAUAUCAAAACUUAUGUGAGAGUUGAAUUGUUGAUGUUUGAUAUCGUCAAGGAACAAUGAGACAGUGGCCUUCAUCUUCUUCGAUCGAGUUUUCACCAAUAAGAGACGCCUUAUUUCUUAAUAACACUCACACACACCUCAUCAUCACAAGUGGCCAGAUUGAAUGUUCAAAGAUUAACAUGAUUUCGCCUACCGCAUAACAAAGACAAGAAAAAAAAGGCAAAAGAAGACUACUUUUUCAGCCUAGUUGUGAAAUUCGGGUUUUAUCAAAUUAACUUGCUAAUUAAUGUAUAAAUUCACUCAACUAGCAACCCAAGUCUUCAACUCAAUUGAUAUAAAAAGAAAAGGAAACCAUCCACUAAAUUAAAAAUGUAUUUCGGGUCGAGUCUUACUUAUUUUAAAUCAUGAUUUAAAUUAACCUCAUAAUUUAAAUAUAAAUUCACUCUACUUGAACUCAAGUUUUGAAUCCGAUUGACAUGUAUAAAAAAUAAAAAAGAGGCCAUCCAAUUAAUUAAAAAUGUAAUUUAGGUCAAGUUUUAUUUAUUUUAAAUCAUAAUUUAAAUUAACCUAAUAAUUCAAAUAUAAAUUCAUUCGACUUGAACUCAAGUCUUGAAUCCGAUUGACAUAUAUAAAAAAAUAAAAAAGAGGCCAUCCAAUUAAAUUCAACUUAACUUGCCCACACAAACUCUAAAAAUGACAGGAUAAGAAACCCAACAUGGUAACCUAAAAUCAUAUCCCAAUUUAAUUUGAGCAUCAUCAAUGAAGUUAAAUCCUCACUGCAAGCCAAGCUGGCAUGCACUUCCAUCUAAUUUAAUUAUUAAAAUUUUAGCAUUGUAUUGCAUAAUAAUGUUUAAAAAUAUUUUUUUAUGUACAUUACUAUGUUAAAAUCACUAAAAAUUAUUUUUAAAAAUAUAAAUUUUUUUUUUCAUAUUAAAUAUAUUCUUAACACAGAAAGAACAGCAUUUUAAUGCGGUGAUUCAAAAAAAGCAGAGAAAUCGGAGUUGGGUGGUAGCGGCUUGUAUAUUUUUUUAUGGCUUCUGCACCCUUUGAGUGGGACAAGAUAAAAUAAUUUGGCUUAACAUCGUCCAAGAGAUUUUAGAAUUUCUUGACCUAUGAAACACACUUUACAUUACUGGCUUGUCGUCUUCGUUGUUUUUAAUGUUCUUGUCGAUUAUGACUGCUCAUGAGAGAAUUAGAGAAAUAUAGAGUACGAACAUUUUCAGAAGUGAUAGCUUAUGGAUUUUUUUUUUUUUUUUUUAAGUAUUCUUUGCACUCUUUUAAAUGCUAAGAUUAAUUCCAUUGAAAUUCAUAGCAAUUUUUUUUAAUAAAUAUAUUUUUUAAAGAUUGAACUCAUAAAAUAUUUCAUGUGAAAAAAAAAAUAACUGUUUCUAAGUUAAAUUAUUUUUCUUCUUCUAUAUAUGGAAAUGUAUUCUAAUAUUUUUAAAAUAAUUUAUUCAUUUACAAGUUGAUUUGGUGCAUAUUUAAUUUAACUCUCACAAUCUAUCAUUUGAUUCCAGACAAUAAUAAACUCAGUAAUCAAAUAGAUGUUUACUAUAUGAAUGAUUUAAAUAUUUGUUUCAUGGAAUAUAAAUAUUGAGAAUCUAAACUGAUAUCGAGAAUUUGUUGACUUUGAGCCACGAACUUAUUGGUAAAUGUGCUUGAUUACUUUUGAUUGAUUAAACCCUUAAACUAAUAAUAAUUAAAUUAGGUCAGAUGUUAUAAAAAUAUUAUUAAAGCCUAUGAUCCAUUUAACCUGACAUUUAGAUUAGAUUAAAUUCAACUAGUAUAUCAACUUAUAAUCUGAUUCACCAAGUCAAAUUUUAUUUUGAUUUAAAAAAAAAUAGAUUAAAUUAUUUUAAUUUUUCCAAAAAUAAUAUUAAAACCACCUUGAUUAACCCGUGUACUUGUAAUUUCUGUUUUGUCCGGGUUAUCUGCGUUUAAUAUCUUCGUUAUACAGUCGUAUCUAAUAAUCAAAAAACAAGAAAGGCUUGGUUCUGUUUAUAUAUAAAAUUGAAAAAAUAUAUAAAAUUGAAAAAGAAGAAGACCCUUUACGUUAUAUCAUGCAACUGUUGAUAGAAGAGACGUAAAGUGAAAAUCAGAAAAGCUAAUAAUAUAGUAGGUUGAAAGGGCCUCUGCCUAGCUAGGGUUUGCUGUCCCUUCCUUUCCCUUCCCAAUAUUAUUAUACCAUCUGCCUUCCUCUGCUCUCCACACCCUUCAAAACCUCCACACACUUGCAUACACCUCUCGUAAUGACGUCUCUCUCUCUCUCUCUCUCUCUCUCUGUUUUCUUUCUUGCUUUUCUCUUAUUCUUACCCUGUUGUGACGGAUUCGCGUACUGUGACACUUCACUAAAACUCUCUCUCCUCUCUCUCUCUCUCUCUCUCUCCUAUUUGUUAUACUGAUAACCCUAACCCCUGCAGACCACCGAUCUGGUGUCAAAAUUUACGUAGCUAAUGGACCAGACACGGAACAAGGCUUAGGGUUCUCUCCUUCUGAAAUCUUACAUUGAUUCUCCGUAUCAAAUGCAAAUUGUAAAAGAGAAGAAUUUGAGAGUUGUGUUCCAUACGAGCUUGAGUAUAUUAUGAUAGGGAGCUGAGUCCUUUUUUUAAUAUUUGUCAAAUAACUAUUUAACUUGAAAUCUAUAUAAACUCGGUAAUCAUUGUAAACUUAAGCAUAAAAUAUUAGAUGAACUUGCUGAUUGUUUAGUUGUUAAUAAUUUAAUAUUUAUUAAAUAAUCAUUUCAAUUCGGUAAUUUAAAACAGUAAAUAAAACAUUUAAAUAAUUAUAUAUUAAUAUCUAAUAUUAUCUAAUAAUUAAAGGUAUCCAACUUGGACUCCACCAGAGGAACAACACAUUCCCUGGACCCAGAUCGAUUAUGCCAAUUGCGGACCUCUGAGAUUUUUCUGUUCUUGAUAGAUUAUAUGCUUGGGUGUGUGUGUGUAAAUAUAUAUAUAAAUAUAUAUAUAUAUAUACACACACACACACACACGAUCGACAUGCACCAACCUUGCUUGCUUUUGGUGUACACAACCCUUUUCUUGAUUUUGCACACUACCCUACGUUAUUUAUGUUUUUUCAGUGGAUAUUUUCUUAAAUUGGGCCAUGCCCAGAAUAGAAAACUUGUAUAUUAAACGACAAUUUGAGAAGUAAAAUAAAAGGGGAAAUGCAUUCAUGUGAUAGAAAUCAAACACUUAUUUUCUCUUUAGAGUAUAUAUAUAUAUACUUUGCAUAUAAAAUAUGUGUUUGGUGAUAUAAUUUUUAUAUCACCAAACACAUAUUAAUUUCUUAAAAAGAUUUUGAGACAAUCAUUUACUCAACCUUUUACCAGUAUAAAAAUAAAGUAAUAUAUUUUUAUUUUAUGGGUGUUAAACUAGGUUUUCUUUUGAAGAAACAAAGGGAAAUUCAUUAUCCUUGCAUGAAGUUUUUUUUUCUGUUUUUUUGGAAUAUUAAAAUAGUAUUUGAAGUUGCAGUGCAGAUACUUCCCAAAAAUGUUUUUUAUUUAAGAAUAUAUUAAUAUAAUUUUUGUUAUUUUUAAUAUCAGCAUAUUAAAAUUAUUAAAAAAACAUUCAAAAUUUAUAUUUGAUUUUUAUUUAUGCCAAAAACAUUCAAACACAGGUAACAAUAAUAAGGCAAUGACAAAUAACAUCUAAAAAAUAUAAAGAAAACAUCUUUUAGGUACUAAGAGGAUGGAUGACAUCUGAACUUCACAGCAGAGGGAUGGAUUUUAAAUCUCUCAAAAAAUAAGGACUAUAUAAAUCAAUCAUUAAAGGGUGAGAUGGCAAGAAUCUCAAUCUUUGGGACCAGGGCCAACCCUGACCACUCCUUGGUCUCUCGUCACUCGGAGCUGGCACCAAACCUCUCGGAGCCGGUAGUCACAUGGAGCACAAUUCAUACAUGUGGGGUGGGGGUCUCUUCAAGACGAAAAAAUGGAAGUAAAAUGCAAUUCCUUGAUCUCUGUGUUUGACCAUUUAAAUUCUAAUUAGUCCUUGGUUUUUGAAAAUAUAUAUAAUCAGUCCCUUCACUCUUGUUCAACACUGUCUAGUUCCAAAUCCCUGUGUUUGACCAUUUAAAUUCCAAUAGCAAAGUUAUUAAACUGGACUCAAUAAUCAACCUAAUCUAAAAUCCAUGUCGCUGGGUGAGGGUUAAAUCUUAUGUCAACGAGUUGACCCGGCCUCUAUUGUUUUUUUAGAAAACAACAGAACAUCGUCCUUUUAAUAAAAAAAAAAAUUCUUAUACUUGACUCGGUCUAGGUCCCGAGCUGUUGGAUUAGAGGUUCACCUGCUGAAUUGUAUCGAAUUUAAUAACAUUAUUAGGUAGUAAGAGCUUAGAGAAAAACCAAUAGAUUAGAAAAAACAGAGUUAACAAAAGUUAAGGGAAUCAAGUUGGGAUUUUAAACAUGAGUAAUAAGAACCAGCAACCGUGGGUGUUUGUAUUAAAGAUGGAGAUUAAAGUAUGAGUAUGGAAUAUAUUAAAAAUUUUAUAAAAAACAAAAAAAAUUAACUUUUUAUAAUUAAAUUUUAUACAUAAAUAAGUUAUAUCCAAUCACAACCUUGCCACAUAAACUAAAACAAAAACAUCGUUCUACUCCCACGUUUUCAAAGCGAUUAGUGCCAUUGGCUUUGAAUGAGUUAAAAAAAAAAAAAGACAGCACAUGAAUGACGAAUUGAAUCAAGAUUCACCACAUAAAACAAAAGAAAGCACUCAUGCUAUUUUUUUUUCCGGGUAUUUGUAAGUGGAGUAUAUAUUAUAUUUUAAAGUAAUUUUUAUUGAAAAUAUAUUUAAAUAAUUUUUUUAGUUUAACAAAUAAAAUAAAAUAAAAAAUAUUUUAAAAAAAUUAUUUUAAAAAACAAAAAGAAAACAGUACAAAAAUUAUUACUAGCUACAUGCAUGCCUCUUUUAUCAUGUACAAGCCUCUCAUAUGCAGGCGUUACAAGCUACAUGCCUGCCUCUUGGACUGCACAAGAAGAGUACUACAAGUAGUACUUAAGUUCCUAUUUCACUAGUCAUGUUUGGAGGGUUUUGUGCACGUUUUGUCAUUCUUAAUUAACGGUUGUAUGUUCUAAGUAAAAUUUUUUAUAUAAGAAUAUUUGUAAUCUUUAAGAAACAUUUUAAAUAAAUGAUAAAUGUAAAUAUUUGACAACUAAUCUAUGAAUUUAACUCUCUCCUUCAAAUUUAUUUUCUACUCUAAUCAAUUUACUACCUAUUAAAUAAUGUAAUAUUUAUUGCAUUUAAAAUGUUACAAAUGAUGUUAUUUUUUAGAAGUAAUCAUUUUAGAUUUAAUUUGGUUUUUAUAAAAAAAAAAUAACUAAACCAAAUUUAAAAAAAACCUGAACCAAAACUGGUUCAAACUGACCGGUUUUGAUUAUGUUUGGCUCGGUUUUAGCUUGGUUUGGCUCGGUUGUAGCUCAGUUUUUUUAGUUUAGCUGUUUUUUAGUUUAAUUCGGUUUGGCUCGGUUUUUUUCCAGUUUUUUUGGGUUUAGAUUCGGUUUGAUUUUUUCAAUUUCAGGCUUAUAAAAUCAAAACUAAACCGAACCAAAUAGUUUUUUUAAAAUUUUAAUUGAUUUAAUCAGGUUUUUUUAUGAUUCAAUUUUUUCAGUUAUUUUAUUUUUUUACUUUCUUAAUUUAAUUAAUUUUUUAUUUUCUUACUCACAUCUAAUAUUCGAUGCAAAAUAAUGUAAUAUUUAUUGCAUUUAAAAUGUUAUACAUGAACAUAUUUCCUGCAAACCAGAUGACUUUAUCAAGAUGCGAAAUCAUUCAUGAUCACGAUUAAUGAUUACAACACCGCUAUUUUGGUGGCGAUUGGGAUUAGACGAGGAAGAGGAGACAAUUUGCUCGAGACGAGUGGAGCUAGAAGCCAUGAUUCGUUGAAGCUAGAGGCUAGAGCUGCCAUGGUGUAUGGCAAUUGUUUUUUAAAAUUUAUUUUCAACCCUAUCAAAUUAAAAUGGUAUAAACAUGUAGAGAAGAUGAUUUUAGAAAAAGAAAAAAAUAAAUCUUGGGACCAGCCGUGUUGAGAAGAGACAUUCGGACUGUCCCACAACCUUUAUCAGCUUUUUAAACGGCGGUAACCUACUUUUUUUCCCCUGCUAACAGAGCUUGGAUUAGAUGCUAUGACGGUGACUAAGCUAAUAAUUAGGGUGUAAGAAAAGCUACAUAUUUUCAAUCUUGCCAAAAGAUUUUUUCUCCAUCCUGUUCAUUUUUCGUCUCCACCUGUCCCUGACUUGUUCGUCGAGUGCUCAUGUGUUUUGUGAACAGAGGGGGGAUAAGGGAGUCCAGAUUUUUACAGUUCAUGGAGAUCAGAUUAGAUUACAGCAUGCAAUUCCUUGUCUUGUUCUUGAGCUCAUCUUUCUUCUUUUUCGGAUUUCACUGCCACAGAUCUUAGUUGUGUUUUAGGGAGGGAGGUUGUCUUCUUUUUAAGUUUUUUUUUCAGAGUGUUUUCUUUAAAAAAAAUAUUAAAUUUAUGAGUUUUUUUAGUUCUUUUAGUAGUGUUGAUGGGUUGAUGUAUAAAAAAACUAAAAGAAAUUAAUGUAUUUUUAAUGAAAAAAUAUUAUGUAAGAUAGUAUAAAAUAUUAGGAAUGAUAUCAAGAGAGUUUUUGUCAUUUUGAUUUUAAAAAAAUAAAUUUAAAAAUAACUAUAAAUUAUAACUUUAUUUUAGCCGGAGUUUUAAAAUAGAAUUUUAAAUGGGAUCUAUGCAAACUAUAACGUAUAUUGAUUAAUUAGAUAUUUUUAUAAUUAUAAUUGGGACAAAACACAAACUGCAUUAUAUAAACAAAUAUAAUCUAAAAAUAAUAUGAUAAUUUAUUCUAAGUUUUAUUUUAAAAUAAUUUGAAAAUUUAUCUUAUCAAAUAUUGAUUAAUCUCGUCAAAAUUGAGUGAGAUUUGAUUGGAUGAAAUUUUUUUAAAAAAUAAUUCAUAUAAUAUUUUUUUAAAAAAAUAUUUAAAGAUGUUUUUUUAAUAAAACAAAACAAUAUCAUUUAAAAAAACAAUUUCAUUUCAGUCCCUAGUCAAUUUAGUGAAUUUACCGAAUGUCAAAUCAAUAUCAUUUAAAAAAAAAAUCAUUUCAGUCCAUAGUUAAUUUAAAAUUUAAAGUGUCAAAUAAGUAGUUACAAUUAACAAAAAAAAAGUUAAAAAUGAAAUAUUCAUGUUUCAAUCAAUGAAAAAAUUGAUUAAUUAAAAUAAAUAUAAAGCAGUAUAUUAGAUAUCUCUUCUUUUUUUCAUUAUAUAGUGUAAAAAUUGUAUGUUACAAAUAACAAAUAUAAUAUAUAUAUAUAUAUAUGUGUGUGUGUGGGGGGGGGGGGGGGUAAAAUUAAUUAGAAACCUAGAUGUGAUGGUGUGGUAGCGGUUGUUUUUAAAUAGCUUUUCGUGUCGAAAUACAUGCCAAUUUUUUUUUUUUUUUUUAAAAAUUAUUUUUCACAUCAGCACAUCAAAACGAUCUAAAAAGUAUAAACCACACUCAAUUUUAAUAAAAAACAAAAAAUUUGAAUUUUAAUCAAACACAGGUUCAACCACAGAGCCAAUCAGAAUUAAAUUUUUGAACACCUCAAUCUCACCCUUCAAGUGGAUUUUUUUUUAAUUUGACCAUUUAUUUGAAGUCUUAAAAAUCAUAGCCGUGAAUUCUACAAGUAUGACAUCAUUUUUCUCCACCGGUCAAGUCUUGAAAGAGACCUCCUUAGUCAAUAGACUAAUCAUAGUUUUUUUUCCUAACUAAACUUAAAAAUGCGAUACCUCAAUUUUGAAUUCAGUUUUCCCAUGUAUUUUGGGAAUCUAAAAGUUGUCAUAUGAACAUUUAAUAGAUAUAAUAUUUUUGUCUUGCCAACCAAUAAUAGGUAUUGUAUGAAACUAAGAAGAGUUAGAAUCCUCCAAAUGAUCCUGGACCCAGCAGAUAAGCACACAAGGUAUUUUGCGCUACAGUAAUAUUUUGUUUUAAUACACUAAAAUAAAAUUAUUUUUAAUACUAGCAAAUCAAAAUAAUAUAAAAAAAUUAAUUAAAGUAAAAAAAUUAAUAAAUAAAAAUUAAUUUUUUAAAAAAUACUUUUGAAAUGUAUGAUUAAUAUAUUUUUGAAAAAUUAAGGAAUUUGUUUUUUGUAUACUCUUAAGUCUUAACAGCUUCCUACGAGAUAGAACGAACGCUCAAUAAAAAUGUUUGCUUGUUGAGUAAAUGGAUAUAAUUUUGUAUCAAUUGAAUAUAAUUGUUCUAAUUAUUAAUACAUGAAGAAAUUCUAUGAUAUUUAACUUAUAAUCACAAAUGAAAAAAAAUUGGUCUUGUUUUUUAAAAAGAAAAAGAACUUUUGGGCGUACGUAUUUAAAAAUGUGAUUGUAAUUGUUUUUUAAAAUAUUUUUUAUUUCAAAACACAUUAAAAUAAUAAGUUUUUUAUUUUUUAAAAAUUAUUUUUGACAUCAAUAUAUUAAAAUGAUAUGAAAAUAUCAAAAACAUAUUAAUUUAAAAUAAAAAAAAUAAAAAAAUUAUAUUUUUUUAAAAACAUUUUUGUAAAAAAUAUGAAACAAAUUUGGUGGCAAUCAAAAGCUAGAAACCAUAAAUCGAGAUUUUUGGAUCUUUGAAUUUCAUUUUAACAUAAAAGUAUUAGCAGACACUUUUACAAUUAUGUUCGCAACUACAAUAAUUACGGUCAAGGAAAAAGAGCUCAGUUAAAAACCAAAGUUAUACCAGAUGCGCUCCAAAGGGAAUUAGAAAAUAAGAAUACAAAUUUCAUUGCAGCCAGUAUUUAACAUCUUUUUUAGCCAUAGCCAUGGUUGCAUGGAAAUACCGAUGGAUAUAAAUGGUGUUUAUUUUUAUAUUUUAAAAGUAUUUUUAUUUUAAAAAUAAUAUUUUAUUAAUGUUUUUAAAUCAUUUUAAUAUAUUAAUGCCAAAAAUAUUUAACAUAUAUAUAUUAUUUUAAUAUAUUUUCAAAUGAAAAGUAUUUAUCACACUUCAAAACACCUCGUAAUUAUAUUACAAAUGUGUUGCAACGAAUGGGAAUUUGAACUAGUCAUGAGCAGUUUAAUUAAUUUAUAUCUAUCUAUAUAUUAUAAAUUCAAAAAUAUGAUUAUUUGAGUGUAUUUUUAAAAUGAAUUCUACAAUGUUUGAUUCAUCAUAAAAAAAGCAUCACAUUUAAACAAAAUUAUAAUCUUACCAUCAAAACUCAAAUUAGUUUACUUUGACAAUAUUAAUUAGUAUUUAUAGAAAAUCAUAUACAUGAUCACAUAUUAUCAAUCUAUAGAUUUAAUUUCUGGGUGAAAGACAUUAAUAUCUUGAUAGAAGACUAAAAAUUGUAACUGCUCGUGACAAACAGGGUGUUGAGAAAAUGCAAGGCAUGCAAAUUUUACAGCACAUGUUUUAUUGGUAAAAAUAUCAGUCCACCACACAUCAAUGACAAUUGAACAGUACAUGGAUGUCAUAAAAAUGCCUACAAGGUGGAGACAACAUAAAUGUGUCACUGUUUUCACUGGUUUAACGUCUAUUUAAGAUCGUGGUAAUAAUAAUAAUUAAAAUUAUUUUAAAAAAAUUAUUUUUAUAUUUUAAAAAUUAUUUUUGAUAUCAAUACAUUAAAAUAUUUAAAAACAUAAAAAUAAAAGUAUCUUAAACAAAAAAAAAAUCAAAAAUUUUGGGAAUACGGUAUACACUGUGUUUCCAAAAACACCAUUAAAUUUAUUAAAUUACAUUAUGUAUUUCAAUAUUUUUUAUUUUUAAAGAAUCAUUUUAAUUCAAUAACUUAAAUUAUUAAAUGAAGUUACAAUAUAUGAUUUAUAUUAUUUUUUAAUAUAUUUUUUCAAGUGAAAGUCAUUUGAGUUUGAAACUUGUAUAAGUUCAUAUUAUAUUAUACUUUAUUUUUAUCAAAUAAAUAAAAAUGGUGAGAUUUAAACUUAUGAUCGCUUGAUCAUCAAGGCUUUGAUUAAAUGUUAAAAUGUUAUCUUAAUCUAAUAAAUUAAAUUAUUAAAUAAAAUUUUAAAAUAUAAUUUAUAUUAUUUUUCAAUAUUAGUAGUAAUAACACCCGGAUAGAAAAUAAUUUUUACGUCCGAACCCUAGAGAAUGUGAUUCUCCUAAUUUUAAAAGAAAUUCACUUUCGAAAAGGGAGAUCUAGGGCCCUGUGAAACGUCAAUUUUGUGGAAUUCGAAGGUAUUUUUGCAUGUUAAUCGAGACGAGAUCACGUCUCUUUGACACCUUUAUACUAAUUUGAUACGUCUAGGAGAAUAAAAUUUCUUGAGCAUGACUUCGAGAUUUGAAUACUGAGGGUCAACAAACAGAGCAUAAAUCCUUAACUCGGUGAGGUUAUAUUAUAGAUAUUCCAUCACUUCUAUUUUGUAUGUUCACUUCUGAAUUCCAUGUUUUACAAAAUAUCAUUUAUUGUUUUGUCGGUGGUUUUUUUAUUUUUUCUCUUUGUUUUUUAGUUUUCUGGUUUAUUUAUGACUUUUAUCACCUUUUCUUUUAUUUUUGUAUUCCCUGAUUUAUUUAGGUUGUUUUUUUAGUUUAUUAAAUGAGCGAAAAAUUUCUUAGAGAGACUCACUAUUUUGACAUAAAAUAUUUAAUGAAAAAAUUCCAAAUCAUGUUUUUUUUACAUGGAGAGCCUUUUCGUCGGAAUUCUGUGUUCUAUGUUAUUGUACUUGCUUAUUUUCUUGUGUUGUUUUCACAUGUCACAAACAUGUAACAAUUCAAAUAACCCAAAAUUUUUCUUUCAUUUAACUCCUCACACUUUUUUCAAUUGCAAUCUUCCAUGACCAAUUUCUUAAAACUUGUUAGGGAAAGAAAUAAACCAACAAAGAGAACCAGUGUGUAAAACAAGUAAAAAUCCCAUGAUCAAUGUCAAAUUCACUGUAAAAAAGAUAUGUUUAGUUUAUCUACUUUCUUUUUUCUUACUUUAUAAUAUAUUUAGUUUUUGCAAUUUUUCUUUAAUAAAAAAAAAUCAUUUUCUUAACAUAUCAAUUCUUGGGUUUUAUAAAUGAGAGGGAAAGUCAUAUAAAAACAGCAAGGGAUAGAAAAAGUUGGUGAAUGAUGUCUUUUCAACAAUUAAACAUGUCGUUUGGUAUCGAUGAGUUCCUUUUGAUAGGAAAAGUUUGAUGGUGUAAACAUUUUUUAUAGACAUGCCUAGAAAAGAAGAUCAAGCUCCAUUUAGAUUUUUUUAUUUAGCUGAUUUUUGUUUUUUGAGUUAUUUUAAAGUUUGUGGAUGAUCUAUCAAGAUUUAAAAAGUGUUUUUGAGAUGUUUUCAUACCAUGAUGACUAGAAAAAUGAGUUUUUAGAUUCAAAAGCUUGGAGCUUAAUUUUUUUUGAUCAAUAUGGAUAACUAAGAAACAUAAAAACAUGUGACAUGGUAAGUUAAACAGGAUUGACUUUAAUAAUUGUUUUUAUUAUUUUUAAUUGAUUUUUUAAAAUUUCAUCAUUAAAUAUUAGAUUUCAUUGGCAAUUAAGUUUUAUAAUUUGUUUUGAUUUAUUUUGUAUGGUAUUACAAUGGUCUCAUAAUCUAACAUGUAGAUUAAGAGAUUAACCUAAAUUGAUUUAAUAUGUUUUGUCUCAAUGUUUAUAUAUAAAAAAUCUCACAAUGAAUAUUUAUUUUAAAUCAAAAUAUAAUGUCAUCAAUCAUUUGAGUUAUUUUUGGAUCCACAAAGUUGAACUGAUGAAUCCCCACACGUAUGGGUUUUAUAAAAAUGGAAACAAAUUGUUUUUAGUAACAACAAAUGCCCACAAGAUAAAAUAAAUGAAAGCAUUUUAAAUAAAAAAAGGACAGUCAUUGCUAAACAUUUACAUGUGCAUCUAUCUUUAUAUAUAUAUUAAAAGGUAGAUUCCCAUUUUAAAAUUUAAUUAUUAUUAGCAACUUUUUUUAUUUAUAAUUUCAAUAUUUCUUAAUUUUAUUUAUAUAAAACAUAAAUAACAUAUUUUAUUUUCUAAAUAAAAAAAUCAUGUUAAUAACUGAGUUUCGUAACUUAUUUCGGUUUGUUUUUCAUAAUGUUAUUGUCAUCUUAAACAAACGUUUCAAUAUUGAACUGGUACUUAAUUUUUUGAGUAUCUAUUUUUUUAUUAUAAAAUUAAAUAAAAAAUAAUUUCAUAUUAAAAAACAAAGUUUCUAAGCCCAAUAAAUUUUAAAAUCUGAAUCAUUGUUUUGAUGGAUUAAUUUAGUUUGAUUAGGUAAUUAUUAUAAAAAAAUUUAAAAAUUAAACUAUAUUUUCAAUGUUUAUUUAAGUUGUCUUUAUACAGUAUAAAAAUUAUCCAGGCAUAUUAAUUUGAGUCACGAGUUAGAUAAAAAGCCAUAAUUUGAAUAUAAUAUAACCUAUUUUUUUUUAUUCAUGUUAAAAGAACUCUAUCCGACGCAACAUAUGGAUUAGUUUACCAACCAAGAAUCAGUUUAAGAAUAUGGUUUCGGUUGCUUUCAAAAAUAUUUUUCAUUUGAAAAUGUAUCAAAAUAAUAUUUUUUUUUAUUUUUAAAAAUUAUUUUUGAUAUUUACACAUCAAAAUAAUCUAAAAACACCAGAAAAAUAUUAACUUAAAGCAAAAAUUAAAUUUAAAAUUUUCCAAAUAUACUUUUAAACAUAAAAAAAAGAACCUAAAACUUUUACCUAGCCUAAUUUUUUUUAUCAUCAAGAUUUCUUCACAGGAGAUUUGUGAAAAAAUAACAUAGCAUGAUAAGUUGGAGAGGGGUGGCAUUAAAGAGCUCGAAGCCCACCAAAACAACAAGGACAAGUGUGGCCACUGUCACAGCAAAAUAAGAAAGAUGAACAAGAAGAAGGGGAGAUGGUGGAUGGGCAUAAUAUUGGGAGUUUUAAGGCCCUAGGGUUAAGGUUAAGGUGGAGAAGAGGACAGCAUAUAAGUUAGGGAGAAUAUUAAUGGACACAUUGCUAUCAAACCCCCGCAUUAAAUAUUAGAGAUGAAAGGAAGAAAGAAACUGUAGUGUACUCUACAGAUACUGUAUGUGAGAGAGAGAGAGAGAGAGAGAAGAGACUUGUGUAGGGUUAUAUUGAUAACCGUGCCCCCAUCAAAACCUCCAUUUUACACCACAAAGAGACUAGAGGCAGAUUUCUUUCGUGGCUGGUUUCUCAUAUUUCCUCGAUUUGAUCGUUCAUUUUUUUUUUUCUCGCAACUUUGGCUCUCUCUCUGUCUCUCUCUCUCCUUUUUCUUCUUUGCCAGUAAUGGCAGUGGCAGUGCAAGAAAAGAGGGAGGUAGAGACUUGAGUUUUCAUUGGGAAGGUAAAGUUUUGGAACAGUCCCUCAAAGAUAACCCAAAUAUUUCCUUUCAUUUUACCAUCUAUCAACCCACCGCCACACCUGCUGCUGCUGCUCUCUCUCUCUCCCUCUCUCUCGCGUGCACUCUGCUAUUACCGCUUUCUUUUUAAAGACCAGAAACUCACUCGCUCCUCACUCAUUUUCCAAAGGAAAUCUGUGCAGUCUUUUUUGGCAGACAGAGACUCCUAUCUCGCUUGCCAAGAUCACCAAACCCUCUUACCAACAUAUAACAAGAUACUGACUCUUUUGCUACUUCUAUCUACACUAUCACUAUUUAGGAUUUCUCUGAAAAAGUCUGGUCUUUGAAGCAUAAAUCCCGGGAGGGCACUGCACAAUACUAAUACUACACCCCACUUUUUGAGCAAAGAAAAUACAAGGUUUUGCAUAGGUAGGUGGGAAAAAAAGAGAGAAGAAGAGAGAGAGGGGGGGGGAUGGGUUAAAAUUUGUAGUACUACUACUAAUACUUCACUAGUAGCUACCAAGUUGCAAGGCACACAAGUGAACAACUAAGAAAAAGAUAAGAUAGAGAGAGAGAGAGAGAGAGAGAGAGAUAAUGGAGGGUGGUGGUGGUGAUGGUGGUUCAAGUACCACUUCAUGUAUGAUGGCUUUUGGAGACAACAGCAAUGGACUAUGCCCUAUGAUGAUGAUGACGCCUCUCAUGUCUUCGUCUUCUGCUCAUCAUCAUCAUCGGGCUAAUGAGGGCGAUUCGUCAGUAUCAAAUACCUUAUUCCUUCCUCUACCUCCUACAAACAAUCAAGGCCAUAACCGUAUCCAUAGUAAUGCUAGUGGCUCUUCUUCUAUGAUUAUUGACGAUCACAACCACAACAACACUGUCACUGCUACUGGGUGUUAUUUCAUGGAUAACAAUGAUGGUAGUAGUUCUUCUGUAAAGGCCAAAAUUAUGGCUCAUCCUCACUACCAUCGUCUCCUUGCUGCCUAUGCUAAUUGUCAGAAGGUGAAGAACGAAGCUGAAUUUCCAGUUUCUGUAACCCUACUAACUAAACACCCCAAACCCAUAAAUAUAUUUGUGUUUCUUCCUCUCUCAUGCAUACCUAGUAGCAACACUCUUUCUCUUGUGGAAGCAGACUAACUCAGUUAUCCUCAAAUUUUGCCAAAAGUUCUUGUAAUUAUGGAUCUAAGAAGUAAACAUCUCCCAAAUCCUAGACUUUUUCGGGGUUCUUUUGAUGCAUCCACGAAAAAUUCUGUUGCAAAGAAAGUGAGAGGUCAAACCCUUUUAAGCAAAUACACAUGAUAGAGACAUGAGCUUAAUUAGUUCUUCUCUUUCUUACUUCCGCUUUCAUUCAUGGGAUAUAAAUAUAUAUCUCUCACACAUGUCAGUAUUUCUUCAGGUUGGAGCACCACCUGAAGUGGUGGCUAGGCUAGAAGAAGCUUGCGCAUCGGCUGCUUCUAUGGCCCCCGCUAACACAGGCUGCAUCGGUGAAGAUCCAGCCCUUGACCAAUUCAUGGAGGCUUACUGUGAGAUGCUGACCAAGUAUGAGCAAGAGCUCUCUAAACCCUUGAAGGAAGCCAUGCUUUUUCUUCAGAGGGUUGAGUGUCAAUUCAAAGCUCUCACUGUUUCCUCUCCAAUUUCUGGUGAUCAUAACCUCUCCCUCUACCCCCACUCCCUCCCCUCUCUUUCUUUCCUUCUCUCGGUGUGUUAAGGUCUUUGAGCUCCAAAUUAAAAUAUAUUUGACUUGUUUAUUAUUGUUGAUUUGAUUCUUUAUUAAAAUACUAAUAGGACUUCAUGCAUGUGUUUGUUUCCAAGAAGGAUUAAUUAACAACAUCGAAGAGCUUGUUUCCCAAAGUGGGUGCUAUUAUAUUCAUUUCCCUGGCAAUGUACAAUUUUUUUUCUUUCCCUAGAUGCAACUGUUUGAGGUGGUAUGGUAUCCAUAGAGAAGACGGUCUUUCUUGCUGAACAUCGAUGGGGUGGUAGGGUUAAUGUUCUCUGAUUUGAUUCUCUUCUCGGUGCUUGUGUAUUUUGUUUUGUUUUUCUUCAAUUCUACUUCCUGUAUUGGUAGAUAUUGGCCCAUUUAUUUCCAAUCAAUGUUGUACUAGUACUGUUGUUGAUGUUGUUGAAAGCUAGGUUCUUAUAAUUUAUAUGCGUUUUUUCCAGACAAUUGUAAGUACUUUUGGAGAUUGCUAGUUUAAUAUCUGGCUGCUAGAGUCUCGAUUGCAUAGAAGAUUCUUCGUAGAAAGUAACUCAUACAUCUGGCUGAUAAGAUGGCAAUUGCAGGGCUUGGAUGUUUAAAGUUUUGAAAAUAGAUGAGAUACACAGGUGAUCAUAUUUUAGUGAGUUGAGGGAUAAUAGUGUUCAUAUUUUUAGGGUUCCUUAAGAAUUUUAGUGUUCAGAUUAUGGAUCACGAGCUUAAAACUUUUAAGGAUGACGGAAACACGGAUGGGGGUAAUGUGAUUAGAGGCUGAUCAAUAUGGACUUGUGAUGUGUGAAGGAGAUCUGCAUCCAUUGUAAAAGGACCUUUUCUCUAAUGGUUGUGUAUUUUAUGGAAAUCAGAACAGCUUGUAGUGUGCUCUUUUGUUCUUUUGACAGCAAAGUCACUAGUAUUGCUAGAAUUGGAGCAGGUUCUCCCAUAGGAUACCUAAAUCACAAUACAUGUUAAGGGACUAAAUUUGAUUCACAAUCUUUCAUUUAUUUUUCAUAAUGAACUGUAGUGAUAACCGUGUAUUUAAGGGACGAAACUUCUUGAAGGGAGUUGUGGUUGUCUCUACCUCUUGAAAGAUUUCUGUAAUACAACUAAUAAUUUCUUAGCUAGCUAAAUUAGAGUUAUAUGAAGCUGUGAGAGCUUAUUUCCAGCCUUAUAAGGUAAUAUUCUUCGUAUAAUGAGUGAUGUGUGUUAAAUGUUGCAUCUAGGUAGAAUUUUUUGGUCUAUCUGGUUCUGCAUGGACAAUAAUGCAGUCCUCUAUGGAUUAACAUGUAUGCAUAUAUUCUUCUUACUUUGUUGGCUUCGGAGCAAGAUAUACUGAGUCGGAAAACGAGCACUUGUACGCCUCUAAUGGACUCGGACUCUUAGUAAAUUCAUUUGUUGUAAUUAAAAUGCAGUCCGUUUCAUUUGCAUCUCCUAAAUAUUAAUGGACCUCAUUCAUGCUCACUAGUUGUUACAGUGAUACUGCCUUGAUUCUUUAAUUAUAAUGUAGGAUUGCAUGAGCGUGAACAAGGUGUAAGAGUUUCUGGAGUGUUUUUCAAUCUUAACAACGAAACCCUAAUCUGUCUGAUGAAUUUUUCUAAGUCAGUACAAUGAUGAAUUUCUUAGUGCAAGAACGGUGCAGAACUUGUAUUCAGAUUAUCUCUUCUUUUUCCUCUGCAAAUAUAGGGAAAAUUCAUAAUGAGGUAGUACAUGUAGAGUUUUGUCGAUGUAUAUUCAUGAAGCCUUACUCAUUGAUGCAAGGAUAUCUUUCGUUGUCUUAGGUUAUUGCUAUAGUAUACUUUUUAUAUACCUUUUAGGUAAAUGGUUGUUUGAUUAGGGUUUUAAGGAUGGUUCAUCAGAAUCAGAUUCAUUAAAUGUGUUACUGACUGUCUGACUCUUUCCUUGUAAUUCAUGAAUAGAGUAAGAAAGGAUAGGACCAGAAAAUACAUUUGAAGGACUAGCUUCCCUUUUUUUCAUGAAAAUGGUGGAAGUUUAAAUAAUUGUAUAUUUCCAUAUGUAAGUGGUAAUGGAGCAAGGUUUUUCUGUUGCAGCAGCAGUAUGGAUGCUGCUUUACUGUCUUUCAACACACAAUUACUACGAAAAUAUCAUGCCGCAGUAACUUUUCAUGGGAUAUUUUAAUGCGUUUUGAGCUGCUAACUCAUUAAUGUUGUCAUCAGGUUGUGGUGAUGGCAAUGAUAGGAAUGUGUCAUCUGAAGAAGAGGUUGAUGUGAAUAACAACUUCAUAGAUCCUCAAGCUGAAGAUCAAGAACUGAAGGGUCAGCUACUUCGCAGGUACAGUGGAUAUUUAGGGAGUCUUAAGCAGGAGUUCAUGAAAAAGAGAAAGAAAGGGAAGUUACCGAAAGAAGCCAGGCAACAGCUGCUGGAUUGGUGGAGCAGGCAUUACAAAUGGCCAUAUCCAUCGGUAUGUAUGGUUUUUAUCAUCUAACCUCGUCAAUGCCAUACUUUGUUGCGCCUUAUGUGUAAGAAUUAGAAGCCGGGGAAGCAUUCAUGUCCCUCUUCAUGUCACAGCACCGUAAAAGCUGAUUUUUCUCCUCUCCUUUCUCUCAUCAUUGGCUUCUGUUUCAUCCGACAAGUGGUUCAUGAAGACUUUUAGUGGAUCUAAAUUAACCCUUGUUUGCUUCCCCUCGGUUAAUUACCUCUUGGUUUAGAUUUCCUUGUUUUUUCAAAGAUGUUUUUGGUGGCUGCGGAUGAUUCUCAAACCUUUUCUCGCAAAUUUGUUUGUGCCGGGUGGAAUUUUAUUUAAUGUGCAAAACUAUAAGUAAUUCAACUUUUGUAAGUAGGUAGUUAACUACAGUUCAUCACUUUGUGUCGGAGACAUUAUGUUUGACAAUUGUUUAUGUAUAUUUUUGUUCAUAGAUUUUUUAGCUAUUUUAUGCGUCAACAGGAGUCGCAGAAGCUGGCCCUUGCUGAAUCCACUGGUCUGGAUCAGAAGCAAAUAAACAACUGGUUCAUUAACCAAAGGAAACGACACUGGAAACCGUCGGAAGACAUGCAGUUUGUGGUGAUGGAUGCCGGCCAUCCUCAUUACUACAUGGAUAAUGUUUUGGGCAAUCCUUUCCCAAUGGACAUCUCUCCCACACUGCUUUGAAGAUCAUGCAUGAUACAUGAUUGAUCUUCACUGCUGGAAUGCAAGUGAAAUUCUUCACACGCUUGCCCCAUUUGACAUGCAAAUUAUAUAUGUUGUGUACUUUUAUGCAUCCGGAGGCUAUCUAAUGUAGUUGAAUGUUGUGAAACCAGCCCGUCUCUUAAUUAUAUAGAUAUAUAUAUAGUAUAGUAAUGUUGUCCACUCUCAAGUGUUGUUUAUAGAUGGUUAAGACUCUCAGGGCAUAAAGAAAUGCCAUUCUUUUGACUGGGGGCUCCUUGCUAUUGUACUUGCAUGAAUCAUAUCCCGCUCAAGCCUGUUCCGGGGCCAUGGAUGUCAAAUUGAAGCUUACGAGUUUCUACGUUUAUCAUCGGUGCAUGGCUCCAUUUUCCGUUCACACUGGAGUCUUUGUUGGCUGAAAUGAACUCUGGCUAAUGCGAGAGUUCAUGUUCUAUAUAUGAAGUUUUCAUGUCAAAGUCUUUAUUGUUUCCAGUGUUGAUCAUCAUGUUAUGUUUGUGCUUUUGCAUGUCCUUGUAGAACCUUAUAGUUGAAUUCGAUUACAGAGUCAUAAUUACUUUCGACAAUUUUGGGAUCUAGUCUGGAAAAAGGGGCCAUAUCUGGUGACUUGGUAGGGGUCCCGACCAGGCUUUGAAGGGUCGACUUGCAGGGCUAGAUCUAGUCUAAUGCCUAGGGGCAUGAGAAUUUACUAGAUUCUCAUUUGAUAAUGAGAUAGUUUAUUUGGAUUUUGAACUUGGAUUUGAUGGGAAGUUUACGUUACAGUUUGUUUUGAAAGAAAAAGGAAUUAGAAUAUCUGCAAAAAGGAAACAAGAUUGAGAAGUAAAUAUUUCAGAAUGAUACUGAUUUUACUAUAAUCCGAUUUCACAUGAAUUUCAAUAAUUGAAUCUAUGGGAUCCCCCAAUUGAAUCCAUACAAUCAAUAUCUUUGGAAAGAUUAAAUUAAGUCAAUAAAAUCCAAUCAAACUACUUCAGUACAAAUUUCCAAGAAAAAACUUCUUGUAACUUUAAUUUAUUGCAAUAAUACUCUUCUUAAUCCAUUACAAGCUCUAUAAUAAUCUAAUUGAUCCUUCAUGCCUGUUGACUUCUAUAAGUAUAAUUAUUGGCUUUGUUAUAGGUUUUUGUUUUUUUAAUAACUAGCUUUAUAUGUUUUAGAAAAAUUAAUUUGAAUAUUUUGUAUAGUACUGAAAAGACUUUGAUGUGUACAUCCAUCUAAUCAGAAAUUAUUUCCACCUAUAUAUUAUACUUACUUUCAUUGAUUUGUAAUUGUUUUGAAAGAAAAUGGAUUUUCUUCCCUUCUCUUCGAUGCUCGACCAAUGCUUUUAUUAAAUCCAUAAUCUAAUCUCAUAAUACCUAAAAAGUAACUACAGAAAUCAUAAUAAAACUUAACUUCAAAUUUUCCUCCAAUACCUCAUUUACCAAUACUACAUAUCUAGUACCUGUAAUAACAUAAUAUUUUUCAUAACCUAGAUAAAAUAACUUCAAUGCUAACAUUUCUUUUUGAAGAAAAAAAUAUUAUUUCUAUUGAUGGCAAACAAAGUAUAAAUAGAUCAAUAUCAUGCUUGCGAACACUUCAUUUUCAUGCAAUACUCAAGUAUUAUCAUCUAAAUAUCAUGAAAUAAUGCAUCAUACGAUUUGACUGAACAUGCUUUAUGCGUUUUUAUUGUAAUUUUCCAUUUGAAAAAAAAAACCCAUAAAGAACUUCUAUUUGAAAAAAAAUGCUUCUAUUAAAUUGAAAAUGGAUGAUUUUUUGAUCCAUUAGAAAUUACAGGUUAAUUUUUGAAUGAAGAGCUAUUUUUUUCACCACUCUCUGUAUUGCAUAUCCUCUAGUUAUAAAAUUUGAGUUGAUCUAACAGGUGGAUUGUGCUAAUAUAAAAUACAAGUUGACAUGUAAUCUGAUCAACUUAAAUAAAAUUAUUUUAAAAUUAGUUGAUUUUUUUAUCAGAAUAAUAUUGUUUUUAUCAUUGGUUUUUUUAUAUUAAUAUGAGUUAACUCUUUUUAUUUGUAAUCUAGAUCCUGUCAGAGGGAACCUUCUUAUUUGUAAUCUAGAUCUUGUCACGAGGGAACCUAUAUAUCAGGUUUUAAACCUGUGAUAUAUUCUUUACCUAACGGGACCUUAAAUAAUAAAAAACAAACAUGUUGGCAUAUGUUUUGUUUUUGAAGGCAGCCCAUAACUCUCAAAGGCUUCUUGUCAAGAGAGGAGUGGCCCAUUAAACUUCCCACGAAACCCCAUGGGAAGAAAGCUUUGGGCUUUUGCUUUGCUAUUCUCCUCUCCUCUCACCCACUCUUACAGUGCUUCCUUUCUCUCAAAAACGAUCCUCUCCGGCUGGAGGACGAUCGAAGACUAUUAAUCAUUGGUCUCAUUUCUACAUUCAAGGUUUCAUCUCACGGUACUCUCCUUUUUAACCCCAACAGACCCUGAGCUACCUUUGUAUUCUUUGAUGAAGCUUUUUAUCAAACACCUAGCAGUUAUUAUUAUUAUUAUUUUUUUUUCAUUUCCUUUAUGAAAGUUUGAAAUUUUAUUAUCAUAAUUAAUGGUCAAUAAUCCAAUCAGGGUUUCAAUAUUUCUGUUUAUUACAAGUAUAAAAAAGUGAAAAAUCUGAACUUUUUGAGUAAUAGAUGAACAGGCGAAGUGGCAUUGGCUUGCUUGGAUCAGUGGAGUUGUGUUUCUAGGUAGUUAGAGUUAUGACUGUCGAUUUUGAGAAGGAUUUUGCGUUCUUUUGGAUCCUUCUCUCGGCUUGGUCGCUGUGGUGAUUCUUCUAGUUUCACUAGUCAAUCAUUUCGAGCUUCUCAUGGUAAAGGAACUUGCUUUACUGGAAUUUUUCUGUGAUUUUUUUUUUAGAUUUUUAGCUCUUUGUUUGAAUUUUGUUUGCCUUUUCUGUAGCAGAUUUGUAUGGCAUUUUUCUGGUGAUUGUUUAUUUUCUGCAGAAUCUUCUAGCUUUAUCAAGGUUUGUUCUCAUUGUUUGUAAUUUUUUUCCUUCUUCGUCCACAUCAAAUUCUGAACCUGGAGGAUGUGGGUUAUUUAUGUGCGGCUUGUCAAACUCGUUUUGGAUUUGCAUCGACUGAUAAACUCAUGAACUGAUGGUGUUGCAUGUUUUAAUGUAGGGUAGGGGGUCUUCCCUUGCUUAUGGAAGGUUUCAACGUCCAACUGAACUUCUGAAUCCACUGAUGGAUUGUUUCCUUCUGAUUUAUUAUCUGCAAAGAAUGUGGUAACGCCACAAUGUGAGAUAGGUACGGACUAUGAAGAGAGUUUAAAUUUCACUUGUAUGGCAAUACAGUGAUAUGUCGUGCACUUGUUUUGCAUUUCUCCACAUUUAGUUCAAUGUAGUCCUCCCUGUGGUAUUAAAUGAUAAAAGGGUGAUUGGGAUUGUAACUUUUAUUUUUUUAACUUGCUGCUGAACAGAGACUCUCGAACCAACACCUUAAUAUGGUUCUGGUUUCAACUCUUUUAGUCUGGUUACACAAUAUUAUCAAAUCCUGGUCAUGAAGUUGGGCCAUUCACUUAUACAAUUAUCUAGCUAUUUUUCUGGAUUGAUCUUUUAGUUGGAUGUUUCCAGAUUAAAUGAGAAAAAAAAAACUAAGAAAGAAAAGGUAGUAGAAUAGUUUUGACCUCAGUUCUUAAACAGUUGCAUCUUCUUCAUAUUUUUAUUCAUGAUUACCACUUCUCCCCCAUCAAAUUUAUAAGGAAGAGGAAAAAGAAAAAAAAUCACAUACCGAAGGGGAUUCUAACUCUUUUGCAAUAUUUUUUUUGCCCUUCUGCCAAUUCACCUAUUUUUGCAUGUUAUGUGUCCUACAUGAUAUUGUUUAAUCUCUUCCAUGGAACAUGCAAUAUCAUGUGAAUACAAUCCAAUAAAAGUUCACUUUUCUUACUUGUUGACGCUGCAUUGUGAGUUUUGACUCUUGGGAGUGAUUUAAAUACAGUUUUAGUUAUGUUCUUUCCUUGAAUAUAUAAAAUCGUGAGAAUGAGAUUUAUAUUAUUGGGCUUAUUGAUUCACUGUAUAGGUCUGAAUUUUAAUAGCUCUGUAUAGCUCUGCAUUGUCAGUUUUAAUAGCUCUGAAUUUAAUUUUGUCUUCUUCAUCUUUUUUUUUUUUUUUAAAUAAUUACAAUCAGGGAUAUUAUAUUGACAUGAAGUUGUGAUACAGGACUGUUUCAAGACCUGGUAAUUCCAGCGACAAAUUUUCAUAACUAGGACAAGGGCUUAAUGGUUUUGGCUGGUGAUGUUUUUAAUGGCCCUAUCAGGAAUGAUAUUAUUCGCUGUGUUGUGAUGGCCGCUUGCAAAACAACAACAGGUAGUCUCAAACCACCAUGCUUAAAAUCUUCAAAGAAAUUAAUGGCUUAUGACAAAUGUAGAACUCUCUUCCUAAUCAUAUCAUUGAUAAAACCUGUUGGGUUUGUUUAUUAUGAAAAGCUGUCUGAUGACUUGCUAGUUUUUAUCUUGCCAUGUGUCAUGAACCGUGACAAGUAUUGUGUUCCUAAUUGGAUUAACUUUCAUGUUCUUAAAAAAAUCUGCUACCUGCAUGUUAGGCCUUCCUCUUUAUAAAUUGGAUGCCUCCGAUGCUGGUAUCAAUUGAGUUGUCAACAGGAAACAUAUUCAACUAAAACAAUCAGUGCGGUUAGAUGCUGGUAUCAAUUGAGUUGUCAACAGGAAACAUAUUCAACUAAAACAAUCAGUGAGGUUAGUGGUACUGGAAGAAAGCCAUAUAGACAAAAGCGCACUGGCCAAGCAAGGUAUGGAACGUUGCAUUGGCCCCAGGUAAAGAGCCUCUGAUGAUCUUUGUUUUACUUGAUUGUCAAUGCUUCUUUAACUUGAAGAUCAGUUAGGGGGGCCUAACAUUAAUGUUUGGAUCACAGUUUUGAGGUGGUGCUGUCAUGCAUGGUCCUAAACCACAAAGUCAUGCUAUUGAAUUAAACAGGGUGAGGCGUUUGGGUUUGAAGAUUGCUUUGUCAGCGCGCACAGCAGAAGGAAAGGCAUGUCUCUCUGUCUCUGCGUCUUUGAUUUUUGCACAUGCCCAUUUUUUUUUUCUUCAGCUUAUGCUGGGAAAAAUAUAAUUUUCACCCAUGAAUAUUGAUAUUCGUGCUCCAUAUGUGUCAUGUUCACUUGUGGUUGAGUAUCCUUGUUGCCCCUGUUCGAUGUGUGCUGCUACAUGCUUUUCCUGUUCAUAGCAUUCAUCUUAUACACCGCGUUCUUAGUUCCCACCUUUUUAUGCAAGUAUUCUCCAAUGUUUCAAAAGUUCUUCAAGUUCUAAAUUAAAAUAACUAUUGCAGAUGUGCUUGAACUUCUGCAUUUUUCUAUACAAUUGGGUUACAUAUUAUGGUGUUCACCUGUCUCUAUCGAAUGUCAGCUCUGAGCUAUCUCAGGUGAUCAUUUGUCAUUGCUUAAUCAAUAACUACGUCUUUUUUUUAGAUUUUCUGCCAAAUUAUUAAAGAUUGUGUCUUUGCAGUCAUGGUGAGGCCUUCGAUGGAGAUAAAAAGCUGGACCUCCCACAUGCACUCUAGUGUAUAAUACUUUUCUCUGGUUUCUAUCGAUGAGACUGGAUGAAAUUGAUCGUCCAUAAAAGUUCAUCGGAUGUAUAUGUAACAAAAGUGACUUGUGAUCGACCCUUUUUUUUGUUUGACAACGCAAUGAAAAUAGCUGCAUUUUUGUUCUUCUUCACGCAUUCAUUUGUGGGUGGAUAUCGUGAAGGCACCGAAGAAUAGCUAUUAGGACUAUUUGAAUCUACUAUAAUUAGUGAAAUCUGUGUAAGGUUUGCUGUGCGACGCAGCUGAUUAUGCCUCGUUGACCAUGAAAGUGUCAAAUUUGUGUACAAAUUAAUUUCCCAAGGGAUGUUCUAGCGUUGUGUUCGUUACUUCAUUUCUGUAACUACGAUCUUCUGAAAAAUUAAGAUUCCGUGCCAUUCGACGACUCCUGAUUACUAGCUUUUCCUGUUUAUUGUCAGCAGAUUCUCGUAUCUUGCAUGUGGGGAAUCAGUCACCAAACAAAGGACGGUGAGAACAUUCAUGGGUGGUGACUCGACGGACAGGUGAGAAUAUCAUAGAAAAGAGACAUUUCUCCUUAACAGUGAUGUCAAAUGUCUACAUAUACAAACACCGACAUUAAAAUUAUAAAUUUUAUGUUUCUUUCUUUCCCGUGUCUGUAUUUUUUGGUUUCGUAACACCGAAAGAACAGCCUAAUCUACUCAACGAGCCUCAGGAUAAGCCAUUCGAUGAUUGAUAUUCCUCAUAUAUGCAUUGCAAGAUGAAAUUUGGCAUUGAUGUCGUGAAAUUUGUUGAGGUUGAAUUGAUACUCAAUGCCACAUGGAAUCCCACUCAGGAUUAUGCGUGUUGCUGAAGCUACAAGCUUGGCAACAUAAUGACCGUUGUCAGGUCAAGAACACAAGGCUAGAGAGUUGAAAAGGAACGGUUGGUAGGUCACCAUCGCAUCGUAAAUUGUGGGCAUUUGAUUUGGACACUUCAUACAUGUUGAGAAUACGCAAGGAUCAAUGUGCCUACAAUGGCCUCAGUUCACUCUUAUGGGUCGCUUCUAAUGCCAGGACAAGAUUCCCUUGCAACUUUUGAAAAUUCUAUCAUCGAGUCAAGAUGGGUCUGACUAUUCCGUGACAAAAUUGUUGAUUAGAGACUAGGUUUGAUGGAGUCUUUUGAAUAGUUUUGAUUUCAAAAUGUCACAAUUAUAAAAAAAAUAAUAGUAUUUCAAUCAAUUUAUUUUUAUAAAAAUAUUCCAACUUUAUUAUUGAACAUAUAAUUAUACUAAGUGAUGAAAUUUUAAUUUAAAUUGUAUCCAAGUGGUUUUAAAUUGAAUUUAUAUGAUUGUGUUUUUAUCUUAGAAUAAUUAAGUAUGCAAGUCAGUGUUAUUAAUCUUGGUUCAACUUAAUUUUUAAAUUAAAUUAGAUGAAAGUUAAUUGGAUCAAACUUGAUUGAUUUAGUUAAAUUUGAGUAAUAUGAUAUAAUUUUGAGAUGAUUUCAAAAUAAAAUAACAUUAUUAAACUUGGUCGAGCUUGAAUUUUAAAUUAAAUUAGAUAGAAAUUGAUUUGAUUAAGUUUGAUUUAUUUUUAAAAUAAAAUAUUAAAAUAUCAUGAUUUUAAAUUGAUUUAAGGUAAUUCAAAUUAACUUAUCUAAUGUUUUGCAGUGCUGGCUAAAAUGUUUUUUUGUCUAAAUUUUGAUUUUUUUAGUGUUUUUUGAUUCAUUUUAAUGUAUUAAUAUAAAAAAUAAUUUUUGGAUUAACUCUAGCUUAAUCAAAUCUUGGAUGUGAACUAAUUGAUCACAAUCACGAGCUAUGGUAAAAGGGAUCAGAUUUGCAAUUCUUUGCAGCGAAUAACAAUAGGAAACGACUAACCCAACCGAAUUGAAUGGAAGCUCCAGGAGCGUUUGAAGCAUUUUGCAUUCCGCUAAUGAAAGGUAAUUGAGUGUACCAAUGUCCUUAAUGCUUGGUGGAAGAAAACAAAUUGGAGUUCUACUAAAAUUUUGUGUCGUCAAAGAGUAUGGCAAUGUAAACGAGGUAAAUCUGGAAUUUUUCAUUUCUGAAAACCUGGAGGGAAAGAAUAGCUUCAAUUGAAGAGAUGUAAUGUAAGAUGUGCUUGCAACAAUUCUAUCACUUUGAUGCAACCUGUGUCGCUCUAAAUCCAUAUUCAAGCUCUCAAGUUUUGAGCAACCACACAAAACAAGCUCUUCAAGUGAAUUCAAUCUACUCAUUUCUUUUGGAAGUUCCACAAGACUUUUACAAUUCUUCAUAUUUAAAUCACGAGAAAAUGUAAAUCACCAAUAGGCUUCCAUGUGAUGCCAUAUUCUUUGACAUUUGGGUGAUUCUUGACGAGCAAUUUCCCUUCUCAUAUCUCUUAUGAGUUGAAGCAUCCAUAACUUUUUAUCAUUUUUUAUUUUGAUAAUUUCUACUAGACAUUUAUUAAUCAGAUUGUCAAUUCUAAAUAUUGCACCUAUACCGAGUCCAUUUAGUAGCCUAACUGCAUAAUUGUAAUCCAUUCUAUUAAAGAAACAAGCAAUAUCAAGAAAUAAGCUCUUCUAAUUAUCAUCAUCAAGAGAGUAGUAACUUGUUGCAAGAACCUUUUGAACUUGAAAAUUCGGAAUCAAUAACACGUAGGGCCAUUUGAUUUGAUUUGAUUCAUUCUGAUGUAUGGGGACCUUUUCCUGUUGCCAUAAAAGGAGGGUCUCGAUAUUAUGUCUCUUUUAUUGAUGAUCAUACUCGUUAUUGUUGGGUUUAUUUAAUGAAACAUCGUUCUGAAUUCUUUGAGAUAUAUGCAGCUUUUCGAGCUCUUAUCAAAACUCAAUAUUCUACUGUGAUCAAAUGCUUUAGGUGUGAUUUAGGUGGGGAAUACACUUCUAAUAAAUUUUGCCAAUUGCUUGCCCUAGAUGGAACCAUCCACCAAACUUCAUGUACAGAUACUCCUGAGCAAAAUGGUGUUGCUGAAAGAAAACAUAGGCAUAUUGUCGAAACUGCUCGUUCUCUCUUGUUGUCUGCUUUUGUUCCUAGUGAGUUUUGGGGAGAAGCUGUUCUUACUGCUGUAAGCUUGAUUAAUACAAUUUCAUCUUCUCAUAGUUCGGGUCUAUCUCCUUUUGAAAAGUUAUAUGGGUAUGUCCCUGAUUAUUCCUCAUUUAGAGUCUUUGGUUGUACUUGUUUCGUUCUUCGUCCUCAUGUAGAACGAAGUAAGCUAUCCUCUCGAUCCGCUAUUUGUGUCUUUUUGGGCUAUGGUGAAGGUAAAAAGGGUUAUCGUUGUUUUGAUCCAAUAACUCAGAAACUUUAUGUGUCUCGUCAUGUUGUCUUCCUUGAGCAUAUACCUUUCUUUUCUAUUCCAUCCACUACUCAUAACCUGACUAAAUCUGAUCUUAUUAGUAUAGAUCCAUUUUCUGAGGAUUCUGGUAAUGAUAGCUCUCCCCAUGUUCGAUCAAUUUGUACUCAUAACUCUGCAGGUACUGGUACUUUACUCUCUGGCACACCUGAAGCUCCAUUCUCAUCUACAGCCCCUCAAGCUUCAUCUGAGAUUGUGGAUCCACCUCCACGUCAGUCCAUCCGUAUUCGUAAGUCCACAAAACUACCAGAUUUUGCUUAUUCUUGUUAUUCUUCAUCAUUUACUUCCUUUUUAGCCUCUAUUCAUUGUCUUGUUGAGCCCUCUUCCUAUAAAGAGGCAAUUCUUGAUCCGCUUUGGCAGCAAGCUAUGGAUGAGGAACUUUCUGCAUUGCAUAAGACAGAUACUUGGGAUCUGGUUCCUCUACCUCCUGGUAAGAGUGUUGUUGGUUGUCGUUGGGUGUAUAAGAUCAAGACUAAUUCUGAUGGGUCUAUUGAGCGAUAUAAAGCUAGGUUGGUUGCCAAAGGAUACUCUCAACAGUAUGGUAUGGACUAUGAGGAGACAUUUGCUCCGGUUGCAAAAAUGACUACUAUUCGUACUCUUAUUGCCGUAGCUUCGAUUCGUCAAUGGCAUAUUUCUCAACUUGAUGUUAAAAAUGCCUUCUUGAAUGGAGAUCUUCAAGAAGAAGUUUAUAUGGCACCCCCUCCUGGUAUUUCACAUGACUCUGGAUAUGUUUGUAAGCUUAAGAAAGCAUUAUAUGGUCUCAAACAAGCACCCCGUGCUUGGUUUGAGAAAUUCUCUAUUGUGAUCUCGUCACUUGGCUUUGUUUCUAGCAGUCAUGAUUCUGCUCUUUUUAUUAAGUGCACUGAUGCAGGUCGUAUCAUUCUGUCUUUAUAUGUUGAUGACAUGAUUAUUACUGGUGAUGACAUUGAUGGUAUUUCAGUUUUGAAGACAGAGUUGGCUAGACGAUUUGAGAUGAAGGAUUUGGGUUAUCUUCGAUAUUUCCUGGGUAUUGAGGUAGCAUACUCACCUAGAGGUUACCUUCUUUCUCAGUCGAAAUAUGUUGCAGAUAUUCUUGAGCGGGCUAGACUUACUGAUAACAAGACUGUGGAUACUCCUAUUGAGGUUAACGCAAGGUACUCUUCUUCUGAUGGUUUACCUUUGAUAGAUCCUACUUUAUACCGCACUAUUGUUGGGAGUUUGGUAUAUCUCACCAUUACUCGUCCAGAUAUUGCAUAUGCUGUUCAUGUUGUUAGUCAGUUUGUUGCUUCUCCUACUACUGUUCAUUGGGCAGCUGUUCUUCGUAUUUUGCGAUAUCUUCGGGGUACAGUUUUUCAAAGUCUUUUACUUUCAUCCACCUCUUCCUUGGAGUUGCGUGCAUACUCUGAUGCUGAUCAUGGUAGUGAUCCCACAGAUCGCAAGUCUGUUACCGGGUUUUGUAUCUUUUUAGGUGAUUCUCUUAUUUCUUGGAAGAGCAAGAAACAAUCUAUUGUUUCUCAAUCAUCCACCGAAGCAGAAUAUCGUGCCAUGGCAUCUACUACCAAAGAGAUUAUUUGGUUACGUUAGUUAUACUUGCUGAUAUGAGAGUUUCCUUUUCCCAUCCUACUCCUAUGUUUUUGUGACAACCAGAGUUCUAUUAGAUUGCUCAAUCGGUUUUUCAUUGAGCGGACUAAGACAUUGAAAUCGAUUGUCAUCUUACUCGUCAUCAUCUCAAGCAUGGAACCAUUAUUUGCUUUUGUUCUUCUUCAUUGCAGAUUGCGAUUUCUUUACCAAGGCGCAUUCCAUAUCUCGUUUUCGUUUUCUAGUUGGCAAACUCUCGAUGCUUGUAGCUGCCGCAUCGUGAGUUUGACGGGAGAUGUUAAAUAAUAUUUAUGUUGUCUUAUUUAUUAAGGGUAGAAUAAUACUUUCAGUUUAACCUAUAUAUACUUUAUUUGUAAUUAGGUUAAAACUAUGCAUUCAUAAUAUACAGUUUAUUCAGAAUUCUAGCUUUCUUUUUGUGUUUGAUCUCAAUUAGUUUAACACCCAGAAGCCAUUUCGAGACUAGCAAAGAAAAAAAGUUGCAGGAUGAAUGUCGAUAAUUCAAGAUCGAUAGCACAACAAUUAGCUGAUGUAUUUAUAUAAAAUAAUUUAUUAAUAUUUUAUUUUUUAAAAAUUUAUUAAAAUAAUAAAGAAUAAAUUUUACAAAUUAAAAAGUUGAAUGAAAAUCAAAUUUAAAAAAAUAUAAUUUCAUAAAUUAUCUCAAAUAAAAUAAAUAAUGAUCAAAAUAAUAGAGAUCAAAUCUAAAAAAUAAAAAAAAAUAAAAAUAAAAAAAUUAAAAUAAUAAUAAUAAAUAUUUCAUAAAUUAUUUCAAAUAAAAUAAGUAAUAAUAAAAAAUAAUUUUUUAUAAUUUGAUAAAUAAAAAAUUUCAAUAAAAAAAUAAUAAGAAAAAAGCUAAUAAUUAUUAUAAAAAUGAGGACCAAAAUUAAUAUAAAAAUAAAAUUUUAAAAAAUAAAAUUGAAAAAUAAAUAUUUAAAAUAAAAUAUAUAUAGCAAUUAAAAGUUUGAAUAUCAAAUUUGAUAUAAUUAAUAAAUAAUAUAAUAUUUUUAAAUUUUUUAUAAUUUUUAAAAAAUUCUUUUCAUUUAAAUUUUUCAGGAAAAUAUACCCUAACUUGUUUGCUCAAACUUUUAAGACAACCCUGGAGUCUAUGUGGCAUAAUAUUAUAAAUAAAGUAUUUUAUUAUAUAGGAAUGCGAGGUAUAGACACCCGCAUCAUCCAACUCAUCCACUCUCGCUGUGCGCCUGCUCUGGCCGUAUCUCUAUCCUCUCGCAUCCAAAACUAGCAUCAACACCACGCACCAAUAAGAAAAAGGCACGUGGAGGAUCAUGACUCUGAAUCAGCUACUGGGUCGGCUACCGAGCGGUGUUCCGUUUUGAGCCAUUGAGUAUUGCUGUGGAGUGCUGAUGGCAAGAGGUUUAUUGAGUGGGAGUUCUAUAAGAAUGGAGGUUCGAUGGUGUGAUAAUAUAAUCAAAUUAAUUUUUAAUUAAAAUAAAAUAUAUUCAAAUUAUAGAAUCCUCUCAAUCAUAUUUUCAAGACAUGUUCACUUUUUUUUUUUUUUUUUUAUUACAAGUGAACUUGUCUGAAAAUGAUAUAUGUAGAAGCCAAAAAAAAUUACCAAUCAAAUUUUACCAUGUAUUAUUUUUUAUUUUAUUUUUAUAUAAAAAGAUGAAAUAAAACAAAUAAAAUAACAUAAAAAAUGAAUCAUUACAUAUAUUUUGGCCCAAUAGAAGAUUGACACAUAAAAUAAUAUAUUUAACAUAUCUUAUUAUAAAUUCAAGAUUUUAUAAAUAAAAAUCAAUUAAUAAAAUAAUAUUAUAUUACAGGGAAAAAAGAAAGAAAGUGAAAGUCCUGACAAAUAUUUAUAAAUAAAAAGAUCUCAUGCUUUCCAUGAUAAAGAAAGGAGGAAGACACAAAACUAUUUUCAUGUUAAGCUUUUCGAGAGAAAAUAGCAAACCUCUACUUUGGGUAUCUUGCAAGUUCCAGACCUCUAUUUGCAAAAGACCACCAAUAGCCAUUGCCAUCAUCGCCGUUAGCAUGUAAAGCACAAUAAUAAUUUCUAAAAAUACGAGAAGCUAUUUUCAUGUUAAGCUUUUCAGGAAAAAAAAACCAUUUCAAAAGCUAUCCAGCUUUUUUAAUGUUACGGUUGAAAUCUAAAAAAAGCAAACCUCUACUUUGGGUAUAGACCUCUCUUAGCAAAAUACCACCAAUCGAUAUUGCCAUCAUCGACGUUAGCAUGUAAACCACAAUAAUAAUUUCUAAAAAUACGAGAAGCUAUUUCUACUUUGGCAGCGUGUGCAUCAUCGCUACUGUUGUGGGCAUUGAUAACUUCAUCCUUUGAUUGGAUAAAAUCAUCAUCCUUUCCUUCCUCUUCAUGCAACCAUCGUAUACCAAUCCUCCUUACUUGAAUAGUUGGACUAUGUGGACGCACUGAAAUACUCACGUCAUCACCAUUAUCAAAUGUAGGAUCGUUGACCAUUAAUUUGAAGUGGAAUAGCGAUUGGUAUUCAGUGCUUGACGACGCCAAGAAGAAGGCUUGACGACGCCAGGAUCGACCACUGGUAUUGUUUCUGAUUUCAAGAUCAACGUCACUAUGGCGGUACCCUGACGUCACGCUAUACCUUGCAAACAGAUUAAAGCCACAUAUCCGAGGCGCAGGAGGUAAGGAUAUUUUAAAUGAAAAGUUAUCUACAAACUCAUUCUGAAUUACCCAUUUAUCCUCUUCUUCCUCCUCAUAAAACCCCCUAAACUCAUCAAAAUCAAAUACAUAUACGUAGAGUUCGCCAUGAUCAAAUCUUAUCUGCACCACCAAAACAAUGUCUAUAAAAUGAGCAAAAGAAAAGUAUUCAAAUGUAGAUUUCAAAGACAAUAAAAUGGGCCAGGGAGGACCUGAAAUCUGGAUGGCUGUAUUUGAGCAUUAACAACCGUUUCUAUUAUUCUGAACAUGUGAGAGUCAAACUUUUGGAUUAAUUCUUGCUUUAUCCCAUCUUGGAACUCGACUAAGUGAUCACAACCAUAUGCUCCAAUCCAACGGUGUCGAUUUGCAAGGCUUUGCAGUGAAUAGCAAUAGGACACAUCUAACAAAUCCAAAUGGGAUGGAAGCUCUGGGAGUGCCUCGAGCAUUUUGCAAUUUCCUAAAUAUAGGUCAUGGAGCAUACCAAGAUCCUUGAUGCUUUCAGGAAGAAAACGAAUUGAAGUUCCACUUAAAUCAAGUGUCGUCAAGGAGCAUGGCAGUGCAAACAAGGUAAAUCUCAACAUUUUCCUCGCUGAAAACCUAGAGGGAAAGAAUAGCUUCAAUGGAAGAGAUGUAAUGUACGAUGCACUUGCAACAAUUCCAUCACUUUGAAGCAAGCUGCGCCCCUGAUGAUACUCUAACUCCAUAUUCAAGAUGUCAAGAUUUGAGCAACCAUUAAAACCAGCUCUUGAAGUGAAUUCAAUCUACUCAUUUCUUCUGGAAGCUCCAUAAGACUUGAACAAUUUUUAGAUUUAAGAUCAACAGUCUUUGUAAAUCACCAAUAGAAUUGUGAAUUUGAACCAAACGAAUGCAGUCUUCAAGUAUUAGCUUUUCAAGGGCUAGGAGACCCGAGAAGUCAGGGGUUCUAAUGAGAUCACGAGAGUGACGGAGAUCAAGAACUUUCAAUUUUGGAAGAAACUGUGACAAUACAUGAAUUUAGUUGUUAUCAAUUGAAAACAGAGAGAUAGCUAUAUAAACUGUGACAAUACAUGAAUUUAGUUUAUACAUACCAGUUUGCCUUUCCAAGCAUCAACUAGACAACUUCUGGAUAGAUCAAGAACCACAAGCUUCUCCAAGCAUACGUGAUUUGGUAUGGAUCUCCAAGACAAUCCAUGCCAACAUAACCAUAUCAAAUUCUUAGGAAAGUGCUCCAAACUUCCAUGAAAAUUAGUGUAGUUUAGUUGGAGAAAUUUUACAUCUGUCAUCUUUCUAAAAGCAUCAGCAGGAAACAAAUUUUUUUGUAAUUUUCCCCUAUCAGAAAAAUCAGAAAGCCAUUGUUGAAAGAAGUUAAGCC